CAUUAAAUAAAAAUAUUAUAACACUCUAAUAGUUGCUUAUCGAAUUAAAAAGAAGUUCUGAUUCAAAAUAUAAGAGGCUGCAUAUUUUAGUAAUAAUAACUAGGUUUAAACAUUUUAGGCCAGUGGUUUGGGCCCAAAGAAUUAUUAUUGCUGAUGGAUUGGAUUAUUACAUUUGGUAUUAGAGUCGAAUACCAACCGAAAGUAUAAGAAUUAAGUGCUAUGCACUUGGCAAUUUUAGUCUAUAUGUUUAUAAUCGGGUUUGGACCUGAUGAGAAAGUCUAAAUAGGAGAAGUCUAUAACACCCCAAUAAUUUCACAUCGGAUCAAUUGUUCUACAUUGAAUGACAAAAAAGGUUCCGAUUGAGAAUACAAAAAACUACAUAUUCUAAUAAUAAUAAUUGAGUAUAAAUAUUUUCAACCAGUGUUUUGAGCUCAAUAAGUUAUUAUUGCUAUUAGAUUAGGUCAUUACAAAAAUAUAUCUCAAAUUUUAGUGGUAGCAAAUAAAGAAGAAGAACGAAAGAAAAGGUAAUGUUCCAAGGUGUACAGUUUAUACUUUGGAUGCUUGAAGAGGAUGUGAAGUAAUAGUAAGAAGAAACUAAUCAAUAAGAGAAAAAAAAAUUGAAGUAGCACCCUCAACUUUAAUUGUAUUUUGAUUCACAACUCUUUAAUUUUUUAUUUUUUAAAAAAAAUUAAGUGACAUUACUCAAGUACCUAAGUUUUGUCAAAUUCGUCGAUAAUUCCAUCAAUCUUAAUUAUUUUAAUCGCUUUUUAGUAAACAGAACUAGAAUAAAAAACAGCUAAUAAUUAUAGAUUCAUUAAAUUAAUUCAAUAAAACUUUUUAUUUGACCAACCAAGUAACUCAAAUAAAAUAAAUCAAAGUCAAAGACGGUGUUAGCAAAAGUAGGUUAAUUUGAGGGGUGAAUUUCAACCUAGUUUAUAGUUGAGGGGGUCUCCAUGCAUUUUUACCCAAUGGCUAUUAGGUUAUGCUUCAAAAAGAAAGGGCACUCAUUUGACUCGGUUUUUUUUUUUUUUGAUAUAUUGUAGACUCGGCCCAUCACCAAUGGGCCAGCCCAUGGGUCAAAAUAUACUCUGCUGUUUAAUGAAAAUAUGAGCCCAAACCAGGCCCAUUUGAACACAUAUAAAUAAGUAACCUUUUUCUGAUGAUAGGCUACAAAAGUAAUAUAAAGCAACCUAAAUUUAGAGGUCGUUUGGCUGGACGUAAUUAGAAAUGCAGUGCAGCGAAGAUACAUACAGUGAAGAUGCAUCCAGUUGGAAAUGCUAUAGUUACAACUACAUUGAUUUCGUUUCGUUGGAUGUAGUAGAAAAUGCUGUAGCUAUAAAUUAUUUGUUUGAUUGCAUGUAGUCGAAAAUUUUUAUCAAAAUUAUUUGUUUGGUUGCAUAUAGUUGAAAAUUUGUAUCACUUUAUAUUUGUGGUGGUGAGAUAACUCCAUUACAGAAAAGAAAGAUAUUUUUUAUUUGAAAAAAUAAUUAGGUAGCUGAGUUUACUUUCUAUUUAAAUUUACUUUCUUUAACUGCUACAGUUAUAUCUACAACUAAUUCGAGCAUAGUUCCAACUACUGUAAUUGGGCCUCCUCAUGCAGUUCCAAGUGCAACAAUUAGACUCAAACACAUCAAACAAAUACAAAAUUUGGGAUUGCAUGUAGUUAAAACUAUGACUAAUAAUUUAUUUCUAUUUAAAUCUAUAUUUUGAUUAAAAAAAUUUAAAUUUAUAAAAAUAGUAACAAAAUAAUAAAUAUUUUGAACUUUUUAGGAAAAUUUAUAAAUUUUUAUUAUUUUUUAAAAAAAGAUAAAUUGAGAAGGGGUUUUGGUCCAACGGACAAUUUUGGUAUAUUGGACAGACCUUGGGACGAGAGCUCCUUGGCCAUGUUGGCCCAGCUAGGCCGUGCCGUGCAGGGCUGCGGGCCUCUUCUCGGCUUGGCAUGGCCUAGGCCCUUUUUGGGCCGGACUGUGCCGGGACGUUGGGCCUGAAGGAGCAUGGCCCGAAAUGCCGGGCCGGGUUGGGCCCACACAGAUGCUACAGUAUCCAUGCCCGCAGGCCGCUCGGCCCGUUUGACAUCCCUUCUAAGGUUGUAACAACAUUGAUAAGAACAUGGCAACAGGUAUUGCACAAUAAAGAGAGGAGCAAACUAGCUAAAGCACAGAAUUGUACAAUAAAAAGAAAUGUUAUCUCAAUUUCAGUAUCAAUCAAGAUCAUCUGAAAACUCCACAAGGUCACAAAAUGAAAACUCUAGUAUUCAUGCAUAUAUAGAAAUCACAUUGAUUGUUGUUACAUUUGAACUCUUAACAAAGUCAUGCACUUAUUCAUCAAUCUAAAGAUCUUCACAAGAUGCCAUUUUCAAACUAGUAGUGCUGUUCUCUAGAUCUUCAUAGCAAUACAUCAUAUACGAAGUCGUAAACAUACGUAAACCGCGUAUUGAGCUCAUAUAUGAAUCAAUCUUAGUCCAGAUUCAUGGACUUAACUCAAAAGAAAUACUUAGAAAAGAUCGAUUUUGUGGUGGUUUUCUUCUCGCCUAACCAGUGCUGCAUGUGAACUCCGAUCGCAUCCAAGUAUGAUCCACUUCUGCCAUGGAAUCCUACCACUUUGCCUUCUGUAGUAGCGGACGUAAAAUAAAUGCCUGUCUCUUCUCCGAACGGUCCGUACUUGCCUCUGUUGCUGAAGAACGUAAGCGAUUUUAACACCUUCGGGCCGUCAUCUUGAUUGUUGUAGUAGCCACUUAUGCAGUUCAGGAUUUCGUGCGGGUACUCGAACUUAAUCUGCGCAAGUUAGUAAUGAAUCAGUAGCGAGAUAAGUUUAAGACAGAGUUGAGAUUAGUACACAUAAUUUUGGGUGCUUACUCUAUGAUAGGUUUCUCCACUACCUCCGUGUCGCGUAGACCAAACCGAUUGGCCACUCCUGUCGUAUUCGAUCUGUAUCGAGUUUAUGAACUCACCUCGUAAGAUAUAAACUUGUUUGAUCCCUGAAUACACUCCGUCGUCCCACGGCUUACCUCCGUCUCCACCCCACGGUCCCGGUCCGACCGGAACCGGUUCUUUCACCACGCCAUAAGUAACCUAAAAGAGAGUCAAGCAAUGUUCGACGAUUAUUGUCCUUUUACCUUGCCAACCUUUGCAUUGAAUCGACUUUGAAAGGUUCAUUACCUCUUCUCCAUUGUUCCUCAGUGUCGGGACAAGUUUAUUCGAUCGAAAGGAGCUGUUCACCCCCCUAACCGCCAUAUCGCUUACACCAUUUGGAUCACUAGCAUGAUCUUGCUGAUACGAAACCUUUCCUUCGAGAACAUGAACUCCAAUGCUAUCUAUAAACCAUCCUUUCCGACCGUGGAACCCUACAAUCUUUCCUUCGGUCAAGCAAGAAGAGAAAAAUGUGCCCUGCUCAUCCCCGUACGGACCGUAAACCCUCUUCGUCGUGUGAAAUGUGAGCGAUUUGAUCACCGCAGGUCCCAUAUACAUCAUGGUUCCGAAAUAGCCAGUUAUGUAUGUCAAUAUCUCCAUCGGAAAAUCGAAUACUAUCUACAAUACAAGUUACCGAGUUAGUCCAAACACGCAGUUAGCAAUAAAAAUUUACUCCCGAAAACUGUUGUCUCACCUUGUCAGGACUGAUUCCUCCGCUCGUGCCGUGCUUAUUUCCCCAAACAGCCUGCCCAUUUCUAUCAUACAGAACCUUCAUCGAAGUUAUUCCCACAUUGCGCGUUAAGUUAACUUGCCUAACACCUGUGUAUACGCCGUCAUCGAACAUGACACCGCCCCUUCCCCCCCACGGUCCGUAUGCGACGGGCCCUCCCGUAGAUGAUGAACCUUCCUCUACAGCAUAACUCGGAAACGAUGUCGCCUGCAUAUAGUGAUGAAGCUCAACAAUAACCAGAGCCCAAGUAUCUUUGUGUUUCUCAUAUCAUAAUAGAUGUAUGUAAGAAUGAACAUGCACUUGUACAAAGUAGCAGAAAGUCUAGUAUCUCAUACCCUGCUCUGGAGAUUCAUUUCUUUGAAUCGCUGCGAAGGCAGCGCUUCGCUCGGAUAGCUGCCCGUGAGAAUCUUGAAGGUGUCCCCCUUUUCUCUUACCGCAAGAACUAUGUCAUAUCCUCCUUUAGUAGCUCUCUCGACGGAACUAAAGCUACUACAAUCACUGAGUCUCAUACUCUGAGACGGCGCCAAAUCCAUGGAUUGAUUCGGGCUCCACAGUUUCUUGAGGUAGACUCCUAUGCUGUCGAGAUACCACCCUGACCGGCCGUGGAAACCGACUACCUUUCCGCCGCUCACCGGGAGGGAGAAAUGCGUUCCGAGUUCAGAGCCGAACGGCCCGUACUUUGUGAGAUUGCUCGCGAUUGUCAGAGAUCGUAUGACGACGGGGCUGCCGCUCGACAGUGGCCCGUAGUAACCGCUUACUGAAGUGACAAACUCGUACGGGUAUUCGAGCAUCACCUGCCGAACAAUUUGUAGCAGAAACGUCAGAUCGAAAGACAGAAAAAAUUCUGAAAUUCUUCCUUAGUUUUCUCGGUUCGCGACCUAUUACUACUGUCGAAAGGGCAGUCUGUGAUUCAGAUUACAUCAGUCUGAACUAGAUUUUCACACUAUCAAUCUCUGACAUGAACAGUCUGAUGCACUAUGUAGACAGAUAAAUUAUGGUUCAGUAACAUAAACAGACCUUGUCGAUUCUGGAGCCGCCGUUGCCGCCGUGCUUCCCCGACCAAACCGAGCUGCCGUUGCGGUCGUACUCGAUCUGAAUCGAAUCGAUUGCGGCGCCGUGCACGACCACCACCUGUCUCACAGUGGUGUAAACACCAUCAUCCCAGGGGCUCCCUCCUAGCCCUCCCCAUGGCCCUACCUCUACCAGGUUCUUCUCCUUCCCAUCCUUGAAACUCUAUUAUAUAAAUAUACAUACAUACUAAAUCACACACCAACAUCAAAAUCAAUUCAUGUAAACUGCAACUAAAAUUAACUAACCAUGCUCUUCUAUGUUCUGCGAAAAAUCUAAAAAUUAACUGCAAUGCAAACAAGCACCAAAAAUCAACUCAUAUUGAAACAAAAACUGCCAUAUUCUUCUAUUGAUCAUCUUUGAAGCUCUACAAAUUAAUUGCACUCCAACACCUAAAUCAGCUCAAAUACUAUCACGAGCAAAUUACUAAAAUUUGCACUUAAACUUUAAUUUGUUCUAAUUUUGGCUCGAUUAUUUAAAAUUGUUACAAUCAAAUUUCACACCGUAAUUUAAUUGGCUAACCGUUGGCAUACGACUAAUGUAAAAAUGAUGUAACAUUUUAAUUAUUCGCAAUCACAAUAUUUUUCACAGAAUCUACGUUAAAGUAGAGUGAAACUCUACGAAUUAAUUACACACCAAAAACCAAAAUCAAUCCAUGUACUAUUCCUAAGCAAAUAAAUCACUAAAAAAUGCAAUAAAAAUUACCAUCCUCUUCCAAUUUGGGGGGCACGUACGUACAAGGUUAUGUUCUUUACUACAACACAGCUAAGGCGUGGUUUACUUAUAUAAUAUGAGGAAUUCAAUGUUCAAUAUCACAUCAAUCAACGAAUUGAAUGCUCCAAAUGGAACUAGAUUCCCAGGAAUUUUCUUUUUCCUUUUCUUUUUCUUUUUCUUUUACUUUUUUUUUUUUUUUCUUUUUGUCUCGUUUGAGAGAUUCCAAUAAUUCACGAAGGAGAUUAAAAGCGCACGAAUUUUAUUUUGAGAGAACGAUAAACAGCACCGAAAUUUUGGGUGCGUGUGCGUCUUUCAAGAAUAAAAGAAUGUCAAAAACACGGAAGGAAUUAAGGAAUCUCUUUUGCAUGAACAUCGAAUUAAUUAAGAAACAAAAGCGUGUAGAGAGUCUCUUAUCGUGGUUGUUCUUUUUAAUUUUAAAAAUAAUUAUUUAUAUAUUUGUUAAACAUUUAAAAUAUUAUAUAUAUAUAUAUAUAGUGAGGUUGGUAUGUUUUCGGAAACACAGAGCCUUCCGUGCUUUUAAGUUAUUUUUGAUGUUAAGACUUUCGAAUCGACGAUCGGCUCCGUUAGAUUUAAUCUAGAGUAUUUGAAGUAUCUGGAAAAUAAAUUUUGCGAUUUUUCGAUAUCAUUUGCCUAGCGAUCGAAGUGGCUCAAAAUCAACGGCUGAAAAUAAAAAUCUUAUAAAAUUGGAUGAUUUGAUAUUAAAAUUUUAAAUCAAAAAUAUUGAUAUUGUUUUAUAUAGUAUAAAAAAUUUUCUAUCAAAAUUUUAUAUAAUUUGGAUAUUUCUAUACCGUUAAACUUGCAAACGGCUGACCACGGCUAUUAAAAUUAUUGAUUUUAAGUCCCUUCGAUCACUAAGCAAAUAAUAUCGAAAAAUCGCAAAGUUUAUUUUCUAAGUAUUUCAAGUAUUCUAGAUCAAGUAUAACAGAGCUGAUUGUUAAUACGAAGGUCCCAACAUUGAAAAUAACUUGGAAGCACGGAGAGCUUCGUGCUUCCAGAAGCAUACCAUUCUCUCUCUCUCUCUCUCUCUCUCUCUCUCUCUCUAUAUAUAUAUAUAUAUAUAUAUAUAUAUAUAUUUGAAUUAUGCUACUAUACUAUUGAUAGUACCAAGUGUUUGAUGCUAUUGAGUUUUUGGCCGUUGGAUGAAAAAAUGUGCGGUUAGGAUGAUAGUGGUCCUCUAGAGUUGAGUUGAUGGUUGGUUGAAUAGUAUAAUGUAACAAAUGGAAAUGAUUAAAAAACAGAUCUAACGGCAGGAAACUCGAUAGUAUCAAAAGCUUGGUACUAUUGAUAGUAUAGUAGCCAAACUCUAUAUUUUUACUCUUUUUUGUUUCAAAUAUGUUUUUUUGUGUAUUUCUUCGUUAUUCAAAAAAUAAAUCCGACGUUACCUACGUCAUCUCGAAUUAAAGUCAGAUUAAAUUUUUACCAAAAUUAAAAAAAAAUCAAAAUAAUUUUUUUGUCUCUAAUAUACGGAUAAAUAAAAAAAAUUGGUGACGGUAGAGAAAUAUAUUUGAAAGAAUAAAAAGUCAAAAUGCUUUUUGGUAUCUGACUUAAGAGGAAACAAGAACAAUUGGGAACAAUAAAAGUAUAUUUGUAAGGGUAAAAUAGUAAUUUUAUAAAGAUAAUAACUGAGUUCAUUAACAGAAUUUAAUUUUAGAAAUAUAUUUGAAAGAACUCAGAAUGUUACAACGUUUUUUUUAUAUUAAUCUUCCAAGUGAGGUAAAUAAAAAAGACUGAAAUUUUUCAUAAAUAUAUAAGCAAUUGCCUCUUAAUUAUAAUAAUUAUAUUUUUAAAAUUUUAUAAAAUAAUUUAAUAAGUAGUUUAAUAAUUACACACCUGUUUUGAUCAGAUGUCGUGUAUAUGAUCUUAUAAUACAUCAGAAGAUAACAAAAUUUAUUUUUUCUUCUGAUUUUGAUAGUUAAGUUUGACAAUUGAAGGGUUGAACUGAACUUUAAUUUUUAUUACUUUUCUUACAUGUUAGAGUACAAAAAAUAAAUAUCUUUGUGUUUUGAAGCUUCAUAAAAUUAUAUGCUACACAAACUACUAAAACUAUUGUUUUGUUAAGAACUUUAAUUACUGACUGUCCUAGCGCAAGUAGUAAACGGCUUAGUGGUUGGUAUCUGAUAUUUCAAAUUCAAAUUCUAGUUGAUUCACAUUUCCAGCUAAAUUUAAAUCUAAUUGUUAAAAUUGGAAGUUCAUGUACAUGCUGCUGAGGCUCCUUAUACAUUUUCCAAAAAAAUUUAAUUGACUUUAUUUAGAAAUAAAUUUAUUUAUUUACAUUAAAUCAGAGUGCAAUUCAAUUUUAUUCUUCUUUACUAUUUGGCAAAAAGAUGAGAAAUUAUUUCAAUAUGAUUAUUUUUGGCAUUCAAUUUUCAUACAUAUAGAUAUAGUAAUAAAAAUGUUAUAACUAAUCUAAGAAGGGGUAUGGAAAUUAUUGAUAAUAUAUACCUAGUAAUAAUAAAUUCUCAUCCAAUUCAACUUCAAUAUUUUUGAAUCGAAUGAUAGUCGUUUGUACAAUGAGAAUUCCCUAAAAAUCCUUUUUAAUUAAUUGAAUUUUUAUUAACUUAUCAUAUCAAACAACAUAUAUAAAAAAAUUAAAAUUUUAAUUGUUUAAAUAAAACAAAAAUUGGGCAAUAUCCUAAAUUCGAACCCAUGAAUGAGCAAAACGAGCAAAGCUCCAUGUGGUUAAGGAAUUGAGGCUUGGAGUGAGAAUCGGAAUAAUUUAUUUAUAUUGUUGGUGUUUAGUUCGAGUGAUUGACAUUUUGAUUUUUAUUUCAAGAAAAGUAGAAUCCUUCUUUUUUCGGAAGGGAUUAGAAAAAAAAAAAAAAAAUUUCCCUCACAAAAAAUUAUUUAAAUUCAAAUAUUAAUCUAUAUUUAAUUUAGAAUAAAUUGUAACUGUUAAAUUUGAAUUGAAUUAUGGGUUCAAUUUUUUAUUUUUAUUUUCUUAAGUUCAAAUUAAAUUCUAAUAUAAGUUUGAUUUUGAAUUUAGUUCUAAAUUUCAAUUUUGACUUUAAACUUUAGUUUGAAUUGUGAAUUCAAAUUUUAUUUUGAGUUUAAAUUUAGAUUCAAAUUUUGAUUAUGAAUUUGGAUAGUAAAUUUAAAUUCUGAUUAAAAUAUAAAUUUCAGUUGGAAUACAAUUCCUAUUUUGAUUACUUCUUUAUUUUUUUUUGACAGAUAGGUAGCACGCUACCCGCUUCAUUUAUUUUAUUUAGAAAUAAACUUAGCUGGAAAUGCGAAUCAAUUAGAAUUCGAACUUGGGUCUCGGAUACCAACCACCAAACCCUUUGCCACUUGUUCUAGGGACGGUCGGUAUUUUGAUUAUUUUUAUGAUCUAAACAAACGAGGAGUUUUAUCAAUCCAUUUAUGGAUCCCAUUCCAUUCCUAUUCCUAUUCCAAUUUCGAUUUCUAUUUUGAAUCAAACGUGCCGUGUAUAUCCAAUAAUAAGAUUAUCUCUAUGUAGAAAAAAAAAAGUACUUUUUAUUUAUAAGCUAUGGAGGAGGUAAACAACUUUUAUUUAAAGUCACUCUAUCAGAUAACUGCGGUUGAAACUGUGACUAAUUUAGACAUAAAUUCAACUUCAGCAAUUGAGCUUCUUUGUGCUAUUUUAACUGCAGCAACUGAAUUAAAAAAUAUCAGAUUAAAGCGCCGAAUUUGAAUCUGCACGCAAUUAUAACUACAAUUAAGUUAUAAUUAUACGCAACCAAAGAGCCCCUUAGAUUUUUUAGAUGUUGUGGAUUGCAUCCCAUUAAGAAUUUCACUUCAGUACUUGAAAAUCUUUGGUGGACCAACUCCAAUCAAUCAAUGAGCUCAAAAGAGGGAGUGAGAAGAGAAUGGAUACAUUACAUAAAGGAUAUAUGUAUAUAACAACAUGCAAGUGCAUGCAUGUGUUGUGUAUAAUAUCCUUGCUUAUUACACUCCUUAAAUCAAAUGCAACCCUUUUCCCCUUUAUUUUUUGUGAUUUUAGACACAAUAACACUACAUAAAACACACAUGCAUGCACGCAAAGGACACCCAUUUUUACCCUGUGUGAUAUCCUCAUUUAUUACACCAGACAUGUAAGUAUAGCAUAUAUAAACCCUUUUGAACCUAGUUUGGUCCCAGGUAGACGCCGACCGCGUCGAGGAGCGCACCGGAUCGACCGAAAAAUCCAGUGAUCUUUCCGUCUUCCACGGGAACGGAGAACGCGGUUCCCUCUUCAGCACCGUAGGGUCCGUACGUGCUAACAUUGGUGCCGAAAGUAAGCGAACGGACGACGUUCAGGUCGCCGAAGUUACCGUAGUAGCCUGAUAUUGAUGUGAGGAACUCCCCUUCCUGGAGAGAUAUCUGUGAACGAAAAUAUAUAACAAAUGAAGCUUAUUGUGAUCACUAAAUGUUUAAUUAAUACAUUAUAUGUGUCUAGUUUUAUGUAGUAUUAAUUAAAAAGAGUGUGUGCACAAGUUGUGUGAGCAUGCAAAUUAAGAAGUUUAAUUGGUAACAAUAGUAUAUGGAACAUUAAUUAUAUAUGCUGCUCACAAAUUAAAAAUCAGUUUAGAAAAUUUAAAUUAGCGUAAUUUUAAAAAUAUUGUUUAAAGCGACUCAUCUGUUUUUUACAUGACGUAUUAUAGAUCUACAGUAUAAACUGAUUUGACGAAGAGACUAUACUCACAAAUAAAUUUUGGCUAAAUUACAUAAAAUCAACAUGUCAAAAUUUGAUUUUUCGCUUUCCCCCCCUGUUAUUUCAAAAUCUAUACUUUGCCCUCUUGUAAAAUAAAAAAUGUUCACAGGGGGGUACGGUGUGUAAAAUGACUAUUUGGCCCUAACCAUUUUUGUCUUCUCUCUCAUCUUCCUCAACCGCCGCCUCGAUCGGCCACGAUUCACACCUCGAUCGGCCGCGAUUUCUCUCCAUUUUCUUCUCCACCUGCUCUCCUUCUCCUCCUGCACCCUUGUCGUCCCUCGAUUUCGGCGACAGUAGAGAGGAAAUCGAGAUGGGCGCUGAUGGAGAGGUAGGCAAGGGCAACGGGGGUGAGGGCGAGGCAAUGGAGGAGGGCGAGGCGGCGGCAAAGCGGCGAGCCGGAGGGAGGCGAAGCAACAGGGAAGAGGGCAGAGGGAUUUUUUUGGCAUAAAAAUAUUUUAUAACGGAACCAUAACGGAUCACUAACGGUAGGGGGUGAAGUGCAUAUUUUUUAUUUUACAAGGGGACAAAGUGUAGAUUUUUAAAUGACGGGAAGAAAAAAAGUAAAAAAUCGGAUUUUAACAUGGUGAUUUUCUGUAAUUUAGCCAUAAAUUUUUGCAACACUUUACAAACUAGCGUACGUGGCAGUGUUUAAUGGGUGAAAAGGAUGUAAAUCACAAAAAGAUAAAUAUGAAAUUCAGUCAUUCAGUUGUACAGUUUGUAAACUAUUACGAGAUUUGUUUGUAAGUAAAGUAUAGUGAAAACCACCGAGUAAACUAUUGUGACAGAGUUAUGAGGGAUUAAACAUAGAAUCUCGUUUAGAAAAGUGAUGGGCACUUUGGACCACCUUUCACGGACCAAGUGAGGUCGUAAAAGCAAACGCCUUCAUAUAAAGCAGAAGUUAGGCCAAACAGAAGAUCUAAUUAAAUACCUACUUCAGUAAGAUCUCCUCCAUUGUCUCCAUACUGAGGAGUUCACUGAAUCUUCUCGUCAACCUCGUACAUGACCUGGACGGCGUCAAUGGCGCCACCGUGCCAAACUCUGAUGCCCAGAAUCUUCGUCGCGGCCCCCAUAUCCCAUGCGCCGCCGCCACCGCCACCCCACUUCCCCACCUUCACCACUCCGGCCUUUGCAUCAAGUAGCCGAACACAGAUAGUAAAUUACUAAGAAUAUAAGCUAUAAAUAUAUAGUAAUCAAAUGUUGCAAUAUGAUAAAAUCAUGUAACUCACCAUUGGAAGAACUACUUGUUUGUUAUGUACCACAAGAAGUUUUUGUUAAAAUGCUUGCUUUGUGGAUGUGAUGCAUGCAUGGUGAGGGUAUUUAUAGGGAGGCAGAUGAUGUUCAUGGUGAAUUAAUUAACUAUAUUUUGGGGAUUUUAAUUAAGGGGAUAAGUAUGAGGCUAAUUAAGUUUGGCAGCACGAGGAUUAAUGUGGAAAACUAUGUGUUUAAGUUCUCUAAGUGCGUGACACCCUUAUUAAUUUUCUUGUCCCAAACCAACAACAGAGUUCCCACUAGUUGCUUUAGCAAUCGAUCAAGCACAUGGCUUUAACCUUUGGCUACGACUUUUUUAUUUCCCCUGUUAUUUUUUAAAAAAAAAGAAAAAUAAAAGAAGUUGGUAGGCUCUUUAAGUUUCAAGAGACCCAAAUAUAUACAAUCGAAUAUUUAUUAUAAUAUUUUUUACAUUCUAGUAUAAUAAGAUAACUGCAGAGCAACUAUUUAAGUGUCGUGGCACGGGAUCGCGUAGGAAACUUACCGGUACGUUACGGCACGGUGCGUGUCAAGCCGUGCCGAUGAAUACCGGUCAAAAAAAUUCUUGUGCACCGAUACAUAAUAGUAUAAAAUAUUUUUUUUUUUUAACAACAAAAUAUUUUAACUAUUUAUUAUAUCUUUUUAUCACAUCUUUUGAACUUUGUUGAGAAAAUUACUUACUAAUUUAAAGAAUAAAAAAUUUUAAGCUGUGCUAUCGGCACGGGGUCUGUAUCGUACCGGUAUCUUAUUGGCACGGUACGGCACGGUGAAUACAGCCCGUACUGACGGGCACUUAAAAUCUUGCUGUAGAGAACAAAUCGAAUCCUCAAAUUUUUAAUUCAUAUUCCAAAUAAUAACCAGUGAAACUGUUAAGAAAAUGCUAUUCAAAACUUCAAAAAUAUCUAUAUAAUAUAUCUCUUUUAGACCAAAAUAUUUUUAUUAAUUUCCAAACGUUCCUUCAAUUAAUUAAAUUAGAAAACAAUUUCCAAAUAUUUUUAUUAAUUAAAACUUUCUUCAUUAUGAAUGCCAACAUAUGAGUAUUACUGAACUUUUGUAGGGAUAAAAAUUAAAAAUUAAAUUUUAUUGAGAUAUUUUUUACUAUUUCAUAUAUUUACAGAAAGAGGUAUGCAAUUAAUUCAAUUUAAAAUAUAUAACCCAAAAAAAUCAAAAUAAUUCAGCACCUCUUUUUCCAAACAGUAAAAUUAAAUUUGAGUUCGCUUUAACUAAUGUCAUAGAGCGAGUUGGAAUUGCAAUGAGUUCCCAAAUACGGCAACGAAUUUACCGAGAGAGAGCUCCCAAAUACGGCAACGAAUUAACAGUAGAGAGACAGAGAAAGAGUCGCAAAGUCGGCGCCGUAGUAUUUUUAUCUGCAUGAACCCCCGACUCCCUCUCCUGCGAUCGCGUCAUCAUCCGUCGAUCGCGAUGCUUUGAAAUUCGCGGUGCUCGCGUGAUGAAACAGCGAGUGGAAGGGAACGGUGUAACGCGGCGAUCGUCCUCAACGCACGCGCGCGCUCCACGUGCGCGAUCGCCACAGGUCGUAUCGAAGUAAACUCUGCGUCCGCUCAGAACUAGAACCCUCUGAACACCUCUCCAAAUCUCUCUCGCUCUCUCUCUCCCUCCUCGUAUUCCCAAAACGCCCCUUCCCCCACCAAUCAUGGCCCUUCCCAAAACGCCCCUCCCCAAACUCCUCUCUCUCCUCCUCCUCCUCCUCCUCCUCUCCUCCUCUUCUUCGUCCUCCUCCUCCUCCUCCGCCUCCUAUUCCGAGCUCUUCGAAUCAUGGUGCGAGGAGCACGGGAAGAGCUACGCCUCCGAGGAGGAGAAGCUCGCGCGGUUCCGCGCCUUCGAGGACAACGCCGCCUUCGUCGCCGCGCACAACGCCGCCGCCGAUGGCGCCUCCUCCUACGCGCUCGCCCUCAACGCCUUCGCCGAUCUCACCCCCGACGAGUUCCGCGCCGCUCGCCUAGGGCUCGCCCCGGGUCUCGCCUCCGCCGCGGCGCCGCGCCGCGCCGGGGAUCGCCCCGUGUUCCGGGGGUUCAGCGGCGACGUGCCCGAGUCGAUCGAUUGGAGGGAGAAAGGGGCCGUCACCGAAGUCAAAGAUCAGGGCAGCUGUGGUACGAUUCUUAAUUUCUAUUAAACUUGCUAUUAUUGGAUGGUUCUCUUGAUCUUGGACUAAUGAAGUGUUUUUAGAAUACGAUUUGUUAAUUUGGAUAUUGGGGGAUUUUGAUUGAAGUUUCAAUUUAGGAACGGUUCUUGAUACUCUCUGUAAAGAGCUCUUUUUCCUUCCAAACGUAAAGAAGUUGAGGCAAGAUCCUCUUUAUUCACUUUUGGGAAUCACCUCAGGUCUUGUUUUGCCCAGUUGGAGCUCCCUUAUUAAAGCGAUUGAGAUGCGCUACCACUUUUAAUAUAAAUUUGCCAAAAAGCUUACUGUUGAAGGUAGAAGUCGAUGCUUCAGAUUGGAGCUUUUGCUUUGAGGCUAUAAAAGUCUAGUCUUUGUUUGAUUGCUAUCUUCGGGUUCUGCUUCUUGAGUAGAGGAGAUGUUCAAGAAGCUUAGCUCAUGCACUAGUUAGUAAUCAAGAUGAGAAAAAUACGAUGGCGGAAAAUUAUGUAUCAGCUCUUAUUUAGGCUAGUUGAUGAUGUAGAUCUACGUUUCAUAUUUGACCUCACUUUGCUUGUUCUUGGAGAAAAAAAAAAAAAAAAAAAAAAAACUUCAUACUAAAAGUAAAAGGUAUAGUUGAAGGAGAAAGGUGGGAAUUUCUAUUUACGCAGUUGUAUUGAUCCUUAGGAAUUAAUAAGCUGAGAAGCAAACAAAAAACAGUCAUUGGUUUCUGAAUCUCGAAAAAGGUUAUCAGUUUGUUCUUAAUGUUUGUGAACUAUACCGAACUUUAUUUUGUUCAUUUUUAUUGUUUGGUUACUUGCCUAGGUGCUUGCUGGAGCUUCUCAGCAACUGGAGCAAUAGAAGGAAUUAAUAAGAUUGUGACUGGAUCUCUAGUCAGCCUUUCUGAACAGGAAUUAAUUGAUUGCGACCGAUCUUAUAAUAAUGGUUGUGGCGGUGGACUCAUGGAUUAUGCUUUUCAGUGGGUGAUAAAAAAUAAAGGAAUCGACACAGAAGAUGACUAUCCAUAUCUAGGCACAGAAAAGACAUGUAAUAAGAACAAGGUAGUAUUUCACAUCCUGCCAAUAAAAUUGCCCUCGUUUUCUUCUCUUCAUAUAUUUUACUCCAUCAUAUCAAAUGCUAAAGAAUGACCGUGUUUUCCUAUUACAGAUGAAUCGUCGGGUUGUAAACAUAGACAGUUACACUGAUGUGCCCUCGAACAACGAAAAAUUAUUACUCCAGGCUGUGGCAACACAACCUGUGAGUGUAGGAAUAUGUGGUAGUGACAGAGCAUUUCAGUUAUAUUCGCAGGUUUGUUCUGCUUUUAAGAUUUAAAAGUAUUACAGGUUUGUUCUGCUUUCAUGUUCCUCUAAUAUAAGAGCAUUUAGAAAAGUUUCUGAAGGAUAUUCAUGAAUUUAGAUUAUGUAGGGACAUGUAUGUAAAUCAUAAUUUUAUUUAGGGUGUUUAUUAGUAAAUAGUCAGGUUUUUUGGGUGUGUAUUUGUAAAAAAAAAUUUCCAUUUUCUGAUGUAUACUUUAUCUUAGGCCUAACUUAAGUGCUCAUCUUAUUUUUCCUAUUAGGGUAUAUUUACCGGACCAUGUUCGACAUCAUUGGAUCAUGCUGUGUUAAUUGUUGGUUAUGGUUCACAAAAUGGAGUCGAUUACUGGAUUGUGAAGAACUCAUGGGGAACAAGCUGGGGUAUGGAUGGGUAUAUCCAUAUGCUUCGUAAUGGCGAUAGCUCACAAGGGGUUUGUGGCAUUAAUAUGUUACCUUCCUACCCUACAAAAACAAGCCCUAAUCCUCCCCCUUCACCCGGACCCGGUCCAACUAAAUGCAGCCUCCUGACCUACUGUCCAGCUGGAAGUACCUGCUGCUGCUCUUGGCGUGUCUUAGGACUGUGCCUUUCAUGGAGUUGUUGCGAACUGGACAAUGCAGUUUGCUGCAAGGAUCAUCAGUCCUGCUGCCCGCAUGAUUAUCCUGUUUGUGAUACCAACAGGAAACAAUGCUUUAAGGUACUUUUGCGCCGCUAAAGAUAAAGAUAAUCUAGUCGUGAAUUAAUCAUUAGUCAUGCUUGAGUAGCUACUGGUAAACCAAAAAAAUUGUUUAUUCCUUGUCGUUUUGCUAACUUAGAUGCAGUCAAAAUGUCCAAAAGUUGAGAGGUGCACCUUUUCCAGCUUGUUUAUCUCAAGGUUCAUCUGGCCAUGGAUUUUGUCAAUUUUGAGUUGUAUUUUUCUUUUUCUGGUAAAAUAUUGAGUUGUCUUUUAUGUCAAUCUGUUCUGCUAAUUUUUGUUCAUUUCAGAACUUACCAUUACACAUUAACCUAGAGUCUCCUAUUAGUUCACUGCAGCAGCUUAUUGUCCUUGCUUUCUCGUCUGCUUACUCUUAUGGGUUGUCCUGACUUGCACAAUCGCAGGCUAAUGGGAAUUCCACAGGCAUACAAGCCAUUAAGAGGAAAGAUGCUUUACUGAAACAUGGAUCUUGGAAUAAUUUACUUGACCUGUGGGAUGUGUAGAAUAUUACACCAAUAACAGUAAGGUUCUCUUUUUUCUUAUUUUCAUGUCAUUCCUUUUUUUUUCCCUUCUCUUUUCAGGCAAAAUCUCUCUCUCUCUCUCUCUCUCUCUCUCUCUCUUUUCUUUUUUUUUCGUCUCACACUUCAAUUUUGCAUUGACUUCCCGAAUUCCAGAUUUCAAUGGAUAUGCUGUAUCUUUCCCUCGAUGUAAAGUUGCGGAUCGGUAAUUUACUUCAGAUAUCCCUCUACUCAUUCCGAUUUGCCAAUUGAUAUACUUACAGAAGUCCCUCCAUCUUAUACCGAUUGAUAACCUUUAGUUGCGUGUGGUGUUCUGUGGUCAUUGAUGAAUUGUUAUUUGUGCAAUUUAAUGUUCAAUAAUCCCAACUAGUAUACCACUUUAUAUGAUGAUAGAUUUUGUAUCAUUAAUGUAAAAUUGCUUGUAUGAUCGCAAUAAGUUUGUAUCGUUGACUAGAGUUUUAAAUCGUUCAGUUUGUAUCAGCACUCUAUUAAAGCAUUCUGUGAUUAUUUAUAGCUCUAUUUGGCAUCCUCUGUUUGAAGCUUAUUCAUUGCAAGUUCCUCUCGAAAUAAUCUACAUUGAUAGUAAUCAGUUACACUUGUGCCGAGAAUAGUUCAAAUAUCUCCAAUGAGUCCAAUCUGUUGUAAACUUAGCUUAAUGAUUCUAUAUGUAGCGGUAUCUGGCGAUUUCAACUGCGCUCUAUAGUCUUUUGAAUUAAUGCGCAUAUAUACGUUUUUUAAAUUUGUGCACAAUUGUCUGAUUUGAUAAUAGCAAAAGGGGAUCUUGUCUAGAGUGACAAAUUAAAAGAGAAUAUUCUAAUUGCCUUCGAUCCCUGUAUUGUAAUAAACAAGAAUGUAGCAUACUUGUAUGUGGUUGUCCUUCUGCAUGUUCAUGUUUGAGUAAAACAACAUUGUUUCUGAAGUCUAUCUCUGGUAUGAUGUCGACUUUUUCAUAAUCUUUCCUGCAUCCUUUGUGCUGUGUUUGUUACAGCAAAGAAUUUUUAAGGUAGAGAAUUUAUUAUUACUCACUAAUGGCUGCAGAAGAGCAAUUAAGAAGAAAUUAUCAUAUGUGCUGUUUAUAACAUGAAUUAGUUUCUUAGUAUAGAUCAAGAUACCUGCCUAAAUACAGACAUGUGAAUGAGCAUGCGGUAUCUAUGCAUGCACAUGUGCAGCGUGUGCUUGUCUGCGCGCAUGGUGGUGGGCGAGCCUGAAGGAAAUUUUGCAGAAUCUAUUGCGUAUUACACACUCUUUGAUCUAGUCUUUAUGCAAUAUGAAGACUUUUUCCCCUUCCUUUUUGUGAUAUCAAAUCUAAGUUUGAUUUUAGCCAAUUGCAUGAUGUGCAAUUUUGAAUUUUUCACUUUGUGGCAGUGGUAACAUGGUAGAAGUAACCCUCUCCUGUCAAAACAAAUGACGCAACUUUUAGGCCAUGUUUGGAUGCAUGAAUAUUUUGUUAAGUAUUUUUUUUUUUUUCAAUUUUCUCAUGUUUGGAUGAGGAGUAUGAUGAAAUAUUUAAAAUCAGAUUCCAACUUCAAGUUAUAUUUUGGAAAUAAGAUAAAUUAUCUCACAUGUGUAAUAUGCUAGCCUACCAAGUUGUAAAUAUCUAGUUCUUUCAAGGAGUUAAAAAUCAAAUUCUUCGGUUACAGUCAUACCUACAAAUCUUUGUGCUGAAUAAGUUAUUCAAGUUGGAUAACUUAUUCGAACAUCCAAACACGACGGUUCUUAGUUGGUUCAUUUGAAAGCAUUAUUAGAUAUCGACAAGCGAGAAGGAUUAAGUUUCCUUUCCUCCACGGCAUUAUAAAUAAGCUCAUUAGUGGUAUUUCCUAUUAUGAGAAAAUGGUUUGUUCAAUAUGAUCAUAGCACACAAAGAACAUGUAAACUCUAUCAUCAAUUACACCCAACAAUCCUCAUGAAUUCAAUAACAACAAACCCAAUCAAAUCCCUCCCCUAAAAAGAAGAAAAUUUAUAAAAGAGAGAAAAGCAUCCAACACUGAGAUGUAAGAAAAUAACCUCACCUGCCUCAAAAAACAGAGGCUUAUGUUUAUUUCAAAAGCAAAUCAAAGAUCAAAGAACAUAUGAAGGAUUAUCACUUGGAGUCGUCAGUUGGGUUCCAGUAUCUGUUGGUGAACCACAUAGUAUCGGCAGCCACGGCGUUCCCGUCCUGGUUGCGGUGCCAACUGUAGUAGGCGUGCGUCUUGUUCUUGAUCUCGAAUAUGGCAUGGCCGAAGCUGGCCUCCCUGAAAGCUGAGUAGCUAGGCUGCGGCUCCGUCAUGCUGUAGUGUUAUUCAGGAAAAAUUUAAGUUUUUUAUCAAACCAGAGGAACUAAAUUCGGGCAGUGUCUGUGAAAAUGCUUUCAUAGAGGAUUUGAGUCUUUGCAAGAAUCUUACUUGUUGGCAAGCCCUUCGAUGUUUCCGCCAUCGCCGAUUGUAAUGUAGACCGGAGCUGAUUGAUCAGAGACCGGGGUGCAUUUCGCAUUCGUGAUGUUGUAUGCGAUAUUUGAUAUCCUAUGCUGCAAUGAGGGGGAGAAGCGGCAAAUUAAGAAUAAAUCGAAUCAGUAUGCUCCUAUUGAUUUUGCAAUUCGUACUAAGGUAGGAUAGUCAUCAGGUAGAUUCAAGGAAAACAGAAAAUAAGUAGGGAAAACAAAUCCAAGAGGAAAAAAAAAGAAAAUUUUUGCCCAAAAUCGUCUACUUAAUAUCUGAAAUAUAACUUGAAAAGGACUGAAUAAUGAACAAAUUACAAAUAAUACAGAAAAAACUCACGAAACUAGAAACUUACACUGCGUUCGUAGGCAUGAACAUGGCCAGCAAAGACCACGUCGACUUUGUAUUGCACAAACCAUGAUUCAAAUUGUACCCUCAUGGUUUCGCCCUCCAUAUAGUGGUAGUUGUAGCUGUUAUACCACGGCGAGUGCAUGAGAACGAUCAACCACGGGGUCACAGUUCUGUUCACUUUGGCGAGCUCAGUCUGAAGCCAUUGGUACUGCGGAGUGUACUUACCUAGUAAAGAAAGGGAAACAAAAUUAAGUACCAAAUAGUUGAACUAUCUUGAAGAGAGAGGCUACAAAUCCAUUACAUCAAACUUGGAUUCAAAAGUUUAUUCUAACCGUAUGCAGAGUAUGAUGCAAGGACGAUGAUGUGGGCGGAGGCUCGCUUGAUCGAAUACCAGAAAGGAGCCGUGCUGUUCGAAGCCUUGUAGGGGGUCGGAAACCUGUGUAGGAAUGGUUUGAAUGGCUCAGUUUCACCCUGCAAUUGUACAUCAGCGUAUCAGUUUCAGUUUUUCCUUUUCUUUCGGUUGUAAAGUCAGCAUACUAGUUCAUUGAGAUCUUAUUUGAAAAGUAAAGCUUUUGUAAACUGUAUUAUAAUAGAGUUUACAGGCUACAUCAGGUGAAUUUUUUUUUUUUUCAAGCUUGAACAACAUCAACUCAUGACAGAGAAUAGUACAGUGAUUGAGAAAGCUUUACAGCACAAGAAAAGGUCGAGCCAUGAGCAUAAAAUGUAAGUUCUCUUUCUAAUUAUUUCUAACAAUUCUUGCUUUUUCUCUUGCUUUAAUUUCCUCACUAACCAUGACUAAUGCUUCCCCUUUUCUUAAAUUUCUAAAGGUUGAGCAAUGCUUAUUUCAAUUUCACCUUUUUCUUCUUUAUAUUCCCCUUGUAUCAUCUGUUCAUGUGGGUUGAGAUGUAGAAGACAUAACAGCAAAUAGCAAAUGAUCAUAUACACAUUAUGAUGUUCGCAAAUGAUCGAAAACAACACUAAAAUUAAUGUAUACUUAUUUUUGUUAGCUGUUUACUCACAAUUUCAGGAGCAAAAUCGAUCUCAUGGUUUCCGACUGUCCAAAUCCAAGGCUGGUAGGCGGCGCUUCUCUCAAUAAACCGGCUCCAGGUAUCCCAUCUCACAUUGUCAUGAAACGGGUAGUCAUCGGCAUAACUGAGGUCACCCACAAAAAGCAACGCCCCAGAGUUCGAAUUGGAGUCGUAGUGUGAGAGCGUAAUGUUUGAAUCAUAAGUUUGCCCAAGAUCACCUGCACGAAAGAACUUAGAUUGCAUUAUAGUACACAAAAACCGACUAGACUUGGUGCCAAAAUAACUACGGCAAGGAAUGUACAUCCAUAAGGUGCUCUGAAAACUUUAUAGGUGUUAAGAUCUCGUUUGGUGUCGACAUUAAUAGUGCAGGAAUUGAUGUACUCUAAUUUACCAUGAAAAUGCAGAUUCGGCUUACCUGUUUUGUGAAUAACAAUUUCUAUUACACUGACAUCGGUUCUCGAAAGCAUUUGUUGUGUACAUGUUUAUGUGGAACCAGAGGAUAAACUAAAAAGAGAAAAGGAGAACCCAUGAAGGGAAUUUACCAAUGAGGCCAAAAGUAUACGGAACAUCGGGACCGACUUUAGGUGGACUUUUGAACCAGAACUGCCUUUCUGUUUGCCCGACUCCGACGGUAUAGUAGUAAGUUGUAUCAUACUGCAAAUUACCGAAAAAAAUGAGAAUAAUUUAUUUAAGUUAUUUGCUUAUAUUCGAAUUCAUAAGCUGUGAAAGUGAGUAGGAAUCACCAUCAAAUCCUUGAGGACACAGUGAUGAAUGUAUCCCGAGGUGUAGUUGUAGAAUUGAUAGCGAGUGUAGCUGCCCUUGGCGGAUUUGUUGAGCUUGUCCUUUGAGGUUCCAUAGAGCACCUUGCUAGAUCCUGGCUCGUCGGCAGUAGUCCAUGAUACGAUCACGGCCGAGCCCUCAAGAUCACCUUGAGUUAUGUGAACCUUCGUCGAGCAAAAAGAUCAAACACUUUAGGUGAGAAGUUCACUUAAGAAUGAGAACAUAUAUGAUAAAGAAAGAUAUGAAACUGAUCAGAAUGAAGGAAAAAAGCUUAGUAGGAUGCAUUCUAUAGGACAAAAAAGGUAUAACAUGUUUGACAGUUUCUAAUGUAUGACUCGCAAAUAAGAACAUGACAACAUUUCUAAUUACUAGUCCUAUACUUGUUAAGAGUUAAGACUACUACUUCCUGUGUUGUUUCCUAUCCGAUUGAUUUGCGGAUAAUAGAAUAAAUUUCACAUUUGCACAAAAUAUAAUUGUAUAUAUACCCUGCUGAGCUUUGUUUGUACAUAUUUAAUCAGUAAAUAGCUUGAUUUCUUAUGUUCAUACCUUUUGAAGUCAAAGUUUUGCAUCCAUGUCUUUCGAAAGCCCAGUUAAGUAUAAGGAUAAAUUUAAGCAAUGAUUCACGCAAAUGAAUAAAAACGCAUCACCACCACUCACUAGAUAGGCUGGUAUGUACUUUCUAUCCGAACUCUCUCACCUGUUGAGGGGCAUUGCGGCCAGGUGGCACGCGGAAGACGUUGCUGUCGAGCGGCAUGUCGACGGAAGCCAGCAGCUGCCGCCUGUAGGCGCUCGUGACACCCGCGUCAACGCACGUCAGCGUCGUCACCGCGAGCGCCGCCGCGAAAACCACAAGAAGUAGUAGACCCACAUGGGUAGUAGGAUGAGCUCUUCUGCUGCUUCCACCCAUCUUCUCUCUUCCCCUCCUCUUCUGUUUCUAGUUUGUAUUUGCACAAGUCCACACAGCUACAGAUCUGGGUCAUGUUGGGGUCUCUAUAAAUAGGGGAAGAGAAGAGUAGCAGGAGAGGAGGGGAAUAUUCAUGAGAAGGUGCUCAUUACUUUGAAGAGAAAAAUGAGGGGGGUGGAUUUUGGAAGAAGCAGUUGACUUUGAAUGUGAGCAUUGGAAAGAGAGGUUUGGGUUUCAUACAGAUGUUGUGUUAGUAUGUCACUCUCAUCAGGAAAGUGUGCACAAAUUGAACUUCUGGUUACUGUAACUCUCAGUCUAAGUCUUAUUUUUGUCCUUGAAACUUUUAGAUGCCAAUUUGACUGGAAUUCUUGCUUCUGCUUUCCAUUUGAACAAUGUUCAGCAGAGUGUCUGACAGAGAGACAAAGGUUGGAACUUGGAACUUUCCAUCUGCUGCAGCGAGAAGCAGAUUUAUGAUUAUGAGCAUAGAAAGCAAGAAGGCAAAUUCGAUUUGCAAAUAAGAAAGUACUUCUAAUAGCACUAUUCAGACUAUAUUUAUCCAAUUAUGCCAUUUUCUAUGGCAGGACCAAACAAGACCACAAGUAACAUUCGACAGCCGUAAAUUUUAAUAUUGUUCUACUUUCAUCCUUACAAUCAUCUACUGUUGGAAAAAAAAAACAGGCACAUCUGUGCACAACUAAGUCAAUCAUCUAAACUUUUAGCAGAGAAAAGACUACAAUUCGGUGGUAGGCACUAGCAUAAGAGAUGAGAUCGAAAGCAGAUGAUGCAUAUUGAUAUGUUAACACAUGAUAUUGAGGAGAUUUUGAUUGAUUUAUGCAUGCAGCUCAAAUUGUCAUAUGGAAUUGCCAAAAUGUUAAUAUAUUGUGAAGCAUCUAGAGUAUUUUCCACUGCAAAAUGAAAAAAAAAGUUAACUGAUUGAUAAUAACAAUAGCUCAAAAAACUUUUUGCUACUGAAAAGCUAAUGAUUCAUCCUAAACUAUUUGAUUCCUCUACGCUACGGUAUAAUAAGUCUUUUUGAAUUCUAUAAUGUCAUUUUUUAAUGAUAGCUCUAGUCAUAGGGGUGCAAAUGGAUUCGGAUUAAUGGAGCUCCUGUUUGAUCCACCACUGAUGGAGCCACCAAGUAAAUAUAGCAGUAGGCGGAAGACUCUUUUCUUCCUUUCUCCUUUGAUAUGUUCCGAUCUUUUCAAAAUUGGUCAAAAAUCAUUCUUCUACCGAUCACCCGAAUAGCACGGUAAUUGGGGGCCAAAUAUAGGAAUAAAAUUAAUAUGUCAUGAAUCUAUUCCGAUCAGAUAAGAAAUGAAGCGGCAGGUGGAGAACCCCUUUGGAUUCCGGAUCUGUUCUAUUUGCAUUCCUAUCAGAACAAGUCAGGCGGGGAUAUCUAAAAGAUAGAAUUUUCAUCUUAAGAUAUGGAUUGUAGAUUAUUUGACUAAGCCUUCUUUGACUGUUUUUAAUAGAGAGAAAGAGAGAGAGAGAGAGAGAGAGAGAGAGAGCAUUGCAUGGUAGUCGCGUUCUAAGUUUCAACAUCACAUACAGGAUACUUUAUUUGAGUUCUAAUGAAAACGCGAAGCUAAGGUCGAAUCUUUUUUUGUUUGUUUUUAUGUGGGGAAAUUAAUUGAUAUAAUUAUAAUAUACGAAUUGCAUAAAAUUGUUCGUUGUGACAAUGAUGUCUCUGUGAAAUGAUAAAUAAGAACAGCACAUAUAGUGUUACAUUGAUGUGUCAAUUUAUGCCCUGUGUAUAGGAAGGCAAAAGUCUCCUGAGGAAAAAAUAGUACUUUAAUUUAAGUAAAAUAUUAAAAGAUUUUUUUUAACAAAAAAAGUUUAUAAAUGUGUGUUUUGAUAUGCAGAUAAAGAUUCACAGUGAUAGUUUAUCCUGCUAUCCCAGCCUUAUUUUGCCAAAUAUAUAAUGCAAAAGUUAAAUUAAUAUAGGGAUAACAUUUCAAAAAUAUUAGCGACAAUAUUUAGUGGCCGUUUGAUUGAAUGCAAUAAAAAAUGUACUAUAAUUGAAACUGCAUGUAGUUGAAAAUAUAGUAGUUACAACUAUAUAUAUUUUGUUUGGUUUAAUAUAAUAAAAAAUAUUGCAAUUGUAAAUAAUUUGUUUGGUUGUAUGUAGUUGAUAAUUAUAUUUUUGAAAUUUUAUUACUUUAUAUAAGAGUAAUCAGAAAAUUAUGUUUAUUUUUUAUUUAAAGUUACUCUCUUCAGCUAUUGUAGUUGGAAUUAUGACCAAUUUGAGCGUAAUUCUAAGGACUCCAAUUGGUCCUUUCCAUGCAGGUUCAAUUUAAAUAAUUGAAUACAAAUGGAUCAAAUCAAAUACCGGAUUUGGAUCAUAUGUAGUUACAAAUGCAUGUAGUUGUAACUACAUACAAUCAAACAAAUUCUUACAGAAUGUUUGGCUCAUAAUUGGAAUAAGAAUGAAAAAUAGAAUUGAAUUGUAUUCGAAUGAAAAAUAGAAUGACGAAUCAUACAAAAAUAUUUGGUUCAUUAUUGGAAUAGAAAUCAAAAUGGACAUCUAGAAUUUUGAGAAAUGAUUCUGAUCAAGAGAGAGGAGAGUGAUGAAGGAAGAGGAGAGAGGGGUGUUUGUGUGAGAGAGUUUUAAAUGGUUUACUUUGAAAUGCACCAAUCCAGAAUUCAAAACUAGAUUAGACCAUAUAUGGAUUGGAUCAUUUUCAUUCUAGAAUGGAAUGAAAAUGAAAAUUCAAAUUCAUGUAUAACAAAUAAUAACUAUGAAAUCAAUGAAUCUCAUUCUGAUUCUAUAGUUUAAAAUAGAUGAAUCAAACAAGCCCGUAAUGCAGUUGGCUAAGAAAUUGAUUAUUUAUAUUCGAGGUCCACUAUCAUCCUAACUACACAUCUCUUCAUUCAAAGGCCGAAAACCUAAUAGUGCACCAAUGACUCUGAGUAGGGCUAUUGUGCUAUUAGGAACACAGCAGCUCUUAUGUUUCUAACUUUCUAACCAUCCAUCAAUUUUGAUAGGUCAUUAGAACAAGAGAGAGAAGAAAAAUUGGGAGAAAUUGGGUGUCUCAAUUUAUCUUCUUUUUGAAUUUCUCUCCAAUUUCUUUUUUUUCUCAUCUUAAUCACUCAUCAAAAUUAAUAGGUGGUUAAAAAGUUAGGAGCAUAAGGGCUGUUGUUCCUAAUAGCACAGUAACCCUACUCUAUAUAUAUACUAUUUCAAAUCCUGAGAUGUCUCAUAGAUCACGCCAAUUUUGAUUAAUAUAUAUAUAAUUUUUUUAUGAUUUUACUGACUAAUGGAAAACAUAUUUCAAUAUAUCUUCGGCUUAGCUCUGUUUCGUCUAAUAGUGUCAGACGGUAUCUUAAUGCCUUCAUCAGGUUUAUGUCGUCUCUACUUCUUCUUGUUUUUUUUUUUUUUUUUUUUUUUUUGAGAGAUAGAUAUCACUCUAUCCGCUUCGUUUAUUUUAUUUCGAAAUAAACUUAGCUAUAAGUGUGAAUCAACUAUAAUUCAAACUUGGGUCUCGAGUAUCAACCAAUAAGUUUUUUUGCCACUUGCUUUAGUGACGGCCGGUUGUGUUAAUUUAUUAGUUUCAAGUAAUGUGAACAGGUGAAUCUUAAUCAUUNAGUGGGUGGUUGGUUAAAUAGUUUAAUCUAAUGGUUGAAAAUGAUCCGAGGAGUAGAUCUCACGGUAAAAAACUUGCAAACAUCAAGUGCUUGGUGCUUUUACAAGCACCAUAGCUGGACUCUCUCUCUCUCUCUCUCUCUCUAUAUAUAUAUAUAUAUCAUAUGAAGUCUCUUGUGAUAUUCUCUAUAUUUCAUUUUCGAAAAAAAAAAAAACUAAAUGAGUUCCUUUUAUUAUUAUUAUUAUUAUUGUUAUUUUGAAGUAGGGAGGGAAUCAAAAGAGAGUUUACUAAAACAAUCAACUACCCUCACAAGCCAUAUGCAACUAGGUAAAGCAAAACAAGUAGCCAAAUAAAUAAGGUUGGCGAGCAUAAUUAUCCUCUAAAAAAAGAUAUUAUUUAUGAGAAAAUUAAAAAAUAUAUAAUCUAAGAGUUAUCUAAGGAGAGUUGACAAUGCGAGAAAAUUCCUUGUUUUUUCAUUUUAACUCUUUUUUCUUAAGAAAAGAGAACAUUCCUUUUAUAUGCUGAAAUGUCAACGUGCAAGUCAACUAUCAUUCAAGCUUGUGCAGAUAUUAUUUUACGUUCUAUAUAUGUACAUGCAAAUUGAAGUUCAAAAAAUUAUAGCAAGAGAUGCUAAAGGAGAGAUGAUUAUGUUAAUUAAAUAUGUUAAAGCGUAUUUCUCUCUUUGAGCUUAAGUUUAUGAGCGUGUUUGGUUUGACAAUUUUUCAACCAGGAAUUUGAAUUCAGAAUGAAAAUGGAUUGCUUCGUUUGUAUAUGUGACAUCCCCAAUAGUCCCACAUCGGAUGGGAUAUUGAUUCCGAUCAGUUUAUAUGAGACCUACACGCUAAUAAUAAUAAUCGGACUUAAGCAUUUUGGGUCGGUGAUUUAGGCCCAACGAGUUAUUAUUACUAGCGGGUCGGGUCGUUGCAAUUGAUAUUAGAGCCGAAUACCAGCCGGAAGUAUGCGGGACAAAGUGCUACACCAACGGGUUUUGGUGGGAGCCACCUCUUGAAUCCGUAGGAGCCACCUCUAGAAUCUCACAUUGCCUGGUAAUGGUCCUAGUAUGUCUGUGAUCUGAUUUGGACCCGACGAGGACGUCAGGAUCUAAACAGGGGGAGAGUUUGUAACACUCCCAAUAGUCCCACAUCGGAUGGGAUACUGUCUGAUUAUAGUCCCACAUCGGAUGGGAUACUGAUUACUGAUUCUAAUAAUAAUCGGACUUAAGCAUUUUGGGUCGAUGGUUUGGGCUCAACAAGUUAUUGUUGCUAGCGGGUCGGGUCGUUGCUAUGUAUGUUUGGUAUACGAGAGUUUCGAUUCUUGUUUCCGAAUGAACUUGCUUUGAAAGUACCACAGUUAUAUUUUAUCUUUUUAUUUAAUUUUUUAGUUUUUAUUUUUAAUUAAAAUAUAUGUCAAAAUUUAGUUUUUCAAUUUUAUAUCUUGAUAAGAACUUGAUGUGAAAUUUAAAUUCGAUCAAGCAUUUUGAAUUUGAAUUUUAUUUGAAUUAAUUUUUUAUAACAAUUAUUUUCCCAUCUCAACUAAAUAGCAUAGAUGGGAAUCAACUACUCCAAUUUGGAAUGUUAUUCUAAACCAAAUAUAUAAAGGGAAUUUAUUAUUCCGUUCUAUUCCAUUUCUAUUGGAAUAUACACUGCCGAAUGUGUGUGGCAAAUAUAUCAUUCCUAUUGGAUUUUAUCAUUCGGUUCUAUUCCAUUUCCCCUCCGUGCAAAUAUAUCAUUCCUAUAUAUAUAUAAUAUAUUAUAUAGGGCAUGUUUGGUUCGAAGUCGGAGUCGGAACUGGAAUCGGAAUCAAAAUAAGUUGGAUCGGAAUCGGAAUAAAUCAUUUUCAUUGUCAGUGUUUGGUUUCAGAUGGAUAUAAAAAACGUAAUCAAAUUAAUAUACUAACUUAUUUAUAAUAUAUAAUUUAAUUCAAAUUAAAAAUAAAUAUUAAAUUAUUACAUCAAAAUUUUGAAAUAAUGUCUAAUUUAAAUCUAAUUUUUUAAAAAAAAUUAAACUUUGAAGUUGAGUAGAUAAUUCAAAAUAUGAAAUUAAAUUUGAUUUAUUCAAAUUCAAACUUAAAUACAAUUUAAAUUUUAAUUUGAAUUCAUAAAUUUAAUUUAAGUUUGAAAUAAUUUGAAUAAAACUUAUAUAAAUUAAAAUUUAAUUAAAUUCAAAUUCAUAGUUAGAUUCGAAAUACUUAAUUAAAUUUUAAUUUUAAUUUAAGUUCAAAUUAAAAUUAAAAUUAAUAUUUAAUUUUUAAUUUUAACUCAUAUUUUAAUUAAAAAAGUUGAAAAAAACAAAUUUAACCAAAUAAAUAUCCAUUCGUCCGAUUCACUUUCAAUCGACUCCUAGACCGGAUUGAAAAAAAGGUGAUUGGGGGAUUCCCAUUCCAUCGGGAAUCAGAAUCGGAAUCGGAAUCGGACUCCGCGUACCAAAUACAACACAAACGAUUCAACCAUUCCCGAUUCCGAUUCAGGGUUAAAAAGAAGCGAGCCAACACGCCCCACUAGAAUACUUUUAAAACAGCCAAAGGGAUAGUGUUUGAGUUUUAACAUUGAUGGAGAGAUGUAGGCAUGAGAUGAUGGUGGUAGGGUGAUGUAGGUGGAAUAGUAUUUGAUCCAAGGGUAUUAGUAAUUAAGGAGUAAUCUAAGGGCUAGAAACUUAGAAGCACAGAGGAUUGGUGCUUCUAAAGUAUUCUAGCUCAAUUUAUAUAUAUAUUUUAUAUAUAUAUAUAUAUAAUAUAUAUAUAUAUAUAUAAGAGAGAGAGAGAGAGAGAGAGAGAGAGAGAGAGAAGUGAGAAGAGAGAGAGAGAAUAGGCUACUAUACUCUUAUGAGUAUUGGGCCUUCGUACUCAUAAGUUGUUUUCAAUAAUGGAGCUUCCGAAUCGACAAUCACUCCGUUAAAUAUGAUCUAAGUAUUUAAACUUGUAGAAAAUAAUUUCGUAAUUUUCAAAAUCAUAAUAAACCCAUUAAGAGGGUAUAAAAUGAACGGUCAAAAUCGAACAACGUCCUAAAAUGGAUGAUUGGAUCAUCAAUUUAAGAUCGCAGUUAUUGGUCUUUAUCUAGGUUGUGAAUAGAAUUUUCUAUCAAAAAUUUAACCUAUUCCAAUUUUUUUGCACCGUUAAACUAGCAAGUAUUCCAUACCGAUCGUAAAAAUUAUCAAUUUGUGAGAUUGAUGUAAGGUAAAUGAUGUCGAAAAAUUUAAAACUGAUUCUAGAACUUUAAAUGCUCUAGAAAUGUUUACGGUAUGGAAUUGUCGAUUCGGAAGCCUCUUCAUCCGUAAACGACUUAUGAGUACGAGAACGAUCGUACUCAUAAAAGUAUAAUAGCCGGACUAUUAUAUAUUAUAAUUAUAUAUAUAUAUAUAAUAUAGAAUGUGCGAUUAGGAUGAUAGUGUUCCCGAUUAAUUAAUAGUGGUCCCUAAGGUUGAGUAGGUGGUUGUUUACUAGUAUAGACUAUACGGAUGAAAUGAUCAAGGAUAGAAUCUAAGGUAGAAAACUAAUACUACAAAGCUUGGCUAUUUUAUCCGAUAGUAUAGUAGCCGGACUCUAUAUAUAUAUAUAUAGAAUUAGGCUGGAAUACUAUUAAUAGUAAAACGUUUUUUUUGCUAUCAAAUUUUUAACCCUUGGAUGAAAAAUUAUACGGUCAGGAUGAUAUUAGUCAGUUAGAGUUGAGUGGUCCCCCUAGGGUUGAGUGGUCCCCACUAGGUUAUAGUAUUUAAUCCAAUGAUUAGAAAUAAUGAAAAGAGUUGAUCCAAAGGCUAAAAAACUGAUAGCAACUAAUAGUAGCCCAGUCCAACUAUAUAUAUAUAUAUAUAUAUAUAUAUUUGAGCUUUAUGCUUUUAAAAGCACCAAAUUAUUAGUGCGUGUAGAUUUUCAAUAGAUUUUCAGCUUUUAAAUAAAGGAUCGUAGGGUUAAGAUAAUAAUAGUUCCCUAAAAUUGAGUGGAUGAUUGAUGGAAUAGCAUAAGGAAUAGACCUAACGGUGUAAAACUUACCAGCAUCAAAUACUUAAACGCCUUUAAAAGAAACAGAGCCAGACUAUAUAUAGAGAGAGAGUCCGGCUAGUAUACUCUUAUGAGUACGAUAGUCUUCGUACUCAUAAGUCGUUCUCGCUGAUAUCUGAAUCGACGAACCCAAAUACUAGUCUCUCAAACCAAACACCAACAUAGGGAUCGACCAUUCCAAUUUCCAUUCGAGCCUAAAAUCCUUCAAAUCAAACACGAGUUCAAAUCGCUUUCGCUAACAAACCAGUUCUCCAGUUAAUUACUCUCAGAGAUUUGCGAGCCUGAAUCAUGCUUACCAGUAGAGUAAAUGAUGCAGUUUCUCUUCAUAGAUAACACAGUACAAGACAAGUUUCUAAUCCCUGAAGUAUAUAAUUUAGAUCAAAUUAAUCAUGUCAUAUGUACUACCAAAAGAAGCAUCUUGAAUGUAAUUCCAUAAGCAAAAUACGGGCAGCGCGAAAAAACGACUGCCAUUUUGUUACAUACAAAUGAAUUAGCUCCCAUAGAUGAGUUCUACAGAACAAAAUUGCACAUUUCCACCUACAGAACCAAAAAAAAAAAGGGCGAAGCGAAAAGAACAACAUUAAAACAACAAUGAUAAUGUGCCAUCUCACUUCAGUAAGUGCUGAAAUAAAUCUUGGAAGCCAUUCAUAUGAUAUGAGGGCAUAUAUCCACAAAUGAUACAGUUUUUUAAGUUACGGCGAUACCACAGAUAAACAAAUGAAAACAUGAAUUUAAACAAAAAACAAAAAAGGAAAAGGGAAAGGGAGGAGGGAGGGGGCGCAUGGUACCUACUCGACAAAAGCCUGCUGUGUUCAUCCUGCGGCUUUGGCCGCAACCACGGCUUCCAAUCGUCUCCACGCAAGUUCUCGCUGCUCCUCGACUUCCUUGGCCUUGGCUUCUUUCUCGAGGAACUGCCUCUGGCACUCCUCGAACAACUCGCUGUCCAUGUCGAGGAACAUCUUGCGGACGUUUGCUGUUAGGCCGUGAACGGCUUGGUUCCAAUGGCUCCGGAUGUUCUUCUCGAGGGCUUCGAAUAUGAUGGGGAAUAUGACGCUACGGUUUUGGGCUAUUAGGCUCACGAUGUGGUCGUUGUUCCAUAGGAACAAGGCCCGUUCGGCAACCUUGGAAAAAAUGUACGAGACAAGUAAAAAAAAGGUUAUCUUAGAAAACAGAACAAUGAUGACAAAUGAUUGGUUGAGGAAAACACCAGCACAAGAUCCAGUUUAACAGAAAGGGAUGCAAAAUAAAGAACCAUCACGUGCUAUCCAACAAGAUGUCCAAAGUAGGGAGUGAACUUACCGUGAUGAAAAUAUAAGAACUGAAAAGAUUGACGGGCACUGAGACAUGCAACAAAUAUGAAAGUUGAAGUUUCAUUUCAACUCUAAAUUGUACUUUAUUUUUGGAGUUAUUAAAGUUCGACUUUGUAUUUUACACUAAUUUGAUUUGUUACAAAUUCAGUAAGUUUCCAACAGAUUACCAUCCAAUGGUAGGCAGUGGUUUGAUCAUAUAAUAAUAGCUGUGAAGUUUCGGAACAGGGAACACACUAUUUCUAAGGUUUUGGGGGGUUUUUCUUCCAUUUUUUUCAGUUUCUUUCAUGCACAAGACAACAUCAUGGCGAUAAUGAUUUUAAAAGCACCAGCACUGUAACAUGUUAUGCAAAACCUUUACUGAUGUUUCUGGCAUUCUAUGAAAAAAAGCGACAACUACAUGUAACUGAAAAUGUUUUUUAAAUUCAAUAUUACAAUGAUUGGCAAGGAUAAUUUACCAGCUAAUGAAAAGGCCGAAAUUAUUAAACUUUGAGAAGAACAGCUAUGCCAUUAUAUUUUUUUUCUUUUUCGAAAGAAGACUUGCCAUUAUUUCAUUGUCCACUGUAUUCCAUUUGACUGCAAAUUCAUAUUUGGAAUGUCACUGAAACCAUGGCUCUAACAAAGAUUAAUAAUGCCACUACACACUAAAGAUGCGGCAGUUGCAAUCCAUUUUCUCUUAAAAGAAUUUUAACGAAACAAAAAAGGGGAAUACUGACGUUCUAAAAGCUAACUAAUAAGGCACCAAUGGUGUGUAAACUAACAAAAAGAAUAAAUAGCUAGAGGCCAACAGGUAAGCAACACACUGAACAUAUAUAGGCAUAGUAAGGUAAAAAUCAAAGCCUGCAGGCUCCAGUGUACAGUGAAAGUAUAAUUGCACAUUAUUAGAUUACAUUUUGCAAGAAUUAUGAAUGUCCUAAAUAUACAUCAGUGACUGAAGGACACGAUGCAGUGGUUUGUUUCUGAUGAAAACUACAUGAUAAAAGUCAAUGGUGCCCUCUUGCAUGAGGUCUAUCCUACACGUUUUGUCCCACCAAAGAUCCUCAAGAAAUCUUGAGAGGCUUUGAUCUUUAAUCAUGAAAUUGGAUAGGUCUAACAUAAGCCUUCCUGAGCAUUUGAGCAUGGUUUAGAAGGUAUUUACGUUAACUUAUUGAAAGUAUUUGCGAGGAACAAAACACAUACAAGUUAACCUGCCUUAUCUGACAAAACGUCCACUCAAAAAACGCCACUUACAUAACUGAUAACAAUAUGACGUAAUUUUUUCCUAAAGUUAUGAAUCCUUUAGAUAGACCAAAAAACAAUUCUUACUAUCUUUAAUAAUCAUAAUAGUGCUGAAUACAGACAAUAUGUAAAAAACACACACUACAAGAUGACCAACCUAUACAGCAGACAAGAGGUGGCCCAAGUUUCAAAAUACGCACUACAAGACGACCAACCUAUACAAUGGACAAGAGAAGGCCUCAAAAGUAAGGAUUCAUGCUUCAGCGUGCUCUAUACCUAGCCAAUCAUUCAUUAUAAUGCACGGACUACAUUAGUGCCACUGUCAGAGCCGAUAUGUACUCACCAGGGAAGGUGCAUCACAUGCAUAUAGAUUUGCCUUACGUACAUUGUGACUAGCGGAAGCCAAUCAGGUAAUCAAGUUUAAUUAACACGUCUCUGAAUAACAGCCCUUCCUCUGUAAAAUGAGUUGAUGGUCUUUUGCAAGUCUAGAAAGCUGGAUUAACUGACAGAGUGGACCGUCAACCAGAACUUUUAUUGAAUCAGCCUAAUAUUUAAAACUCUCUUAAGAAUUACAUUUUCAUGAGGGAACUAAACUUGUGUCCGUUGACUGUUGUUCUAAGAGAUAUAUUGUGUAACGUUAAAUAUUGUUGUAGGGAUCUUUCCUUCCCUUCCUUACCCCUGUCAUAACCAUGAUCACCAAUGCCUGUUGGAAAACAAUUUUUCUAUGACAAGAGGAAGUCAUCCGAAACUGUUGGGCUCCUCUCCGGCUUAGGGAAGACAUUACUAAUAGGAGAAUCCAACAGGAUAACUGUUGAAGUGCCAAUCACCAUGCCACUCUCCUCUGUAAGGAAGAGCCCAUCAAAAACACUAGUGGUGUAUACUUACUCAUAUGUGGGUUCAGGUUUCUUCUACAUCCAACAAUCCCAAAACUACACAACUACAUAAAGGUCCAAAAUAGGAUUUAUUAAUAUCAAAAAGCUAAAGUUCAAAGAGCAAUUACCCAACAAUAAGGAUCUAAGAAAAUAAAACCGCAGAUACUGUGCAGAAAUACUGACACUUCCAUGCACUAAAGGGUGUGAUACAUAUCUCAAAAAGUGGGAAGUGUGCAUGUUUUUUUGACAAAAUAACGAAAACAUUGAAUAAUUCAGUAGCUUGUACAACAUAUAAACAACUAGACUAAGAAGAUCUUACAAAUCAUCUCUUUAUAGUUCAACAAAUCAAUUUUCCACUCGACAGUUCAAACUAUUGCUAACAAUAUAUGAAAUGAUUAAGCUAAAAAUUUAUACAGAAUAACAUAGAAAACACACUUAUGUUAAGAUAACAUAUAACAGUCUUGCAUGGAUGACUCUUUAAAUAUGAUCAUGCAAAACGAGCCUGUCAUAAGUAGUGAUUUGAAUAUUGAACUAUGGACACCAAAUUUGCACUUGGUCUCCAUUGGGCCUAGGGCAUAAGAGCACCUAGCAACUGGCUGCAUAACCUAAAGCCGAAAGUGAUACCAUAUGGUAGUUGAUAACUUUUUAUUCUUUGUCACACACCAAUUUUGCAAUUCAUUUCGAGAAGAACUGAAAAAUGAGGAAACAAGGCCAUCUUUACGUGUUGCUACCUUCUCUAACAAAUUCUCAUGAUGAUGUUCAUGGCAUUCCCCUCAAUCUAUCACAAAUUCCUUAAAGAGCAAACAGAUCAAUCUUGUCAGUCCAUUGCAAUAUGCCGAUCCUUCAUAGCCACAUGCAUGACAUUCCGUCAACUUAAUAACGGCAACAAGUACAACAAAAGUCUAUGUUUUCACAUUUUGAAGUAUCUAUCCUACAAAACGAUAUCCUAGUAGAAGCUUCCUAGAGAUCAUAACUUUGCCUCAAAUGAAAAUUAUUGAAUCAUUAGAUUCAAGAAGAUCUCCUUUUUGCCCCAAAAAUUAUGAAAAUAGAGACCUAUAUGUCUCCAUCUAAUUUUACUAUUUUCUUUUCCAUCCUCUAAACGACCUUACAGCUAUCAGCAUUGUAAUCAAUUAAUUUUCCCUCCUAAAACCAGCAAGAUAUUUGAUAAAGAUUGUCACUUCAACCUUCCCAUACUCUCUCCCAGAUCAUCCUCUAUAAUGUAUUCUUAGUCUCAGAUCUUAAAUUUGAAGCUCUUAAUUCUCAUAGAACUUGCGUUAUUCCGCUACAAAUUCAAAGCAGCAAUUGCAAAUUCACGUGCAACAGAUCUUAAAUCACCUUUAUCUUGAAGGGAUCUUAAAUCACCUUUAUCUUGAAGGAAUAUUUUGUUUGGGUUCACCUCUGUGGAAGUAUCAUCAAUUUUAAGCCGGAAAUACUAACACUAGCUAGCUAAUAGGAAGGAGAUCUUAGACAAACCAAACAUGCAAACUUACAACUAAGGUGCUUUAAAGAAAGAUUGGGAGGAGAAUAAAUGCUUCACUCGUAUGGAAAUAACAAACAUUAAUUGUACUGGGUACGGUUGGAAUUCUAUGCAUGGUUUAGCAAUAUGAGGGACAUUAAGCUCAAAAAGAAAGGGUUGGAAAAAAAAAAAAAAAGAAAAAAAAGAAAAAAAACAGUGUUGUGUCUUCGAUUAAAUUCUUUAAAUAAUUCGUUCCCAAAAUUUUGCCACCACAAGGAAAUUAAUGUUUAAUUUUGUAAUCUUGGAUUUCUUUUUUCCUUUGUUUUUGUUUUUGUUUUUGUUUUUGUUUUUAAUAAGAUAGACUUUGGCUUUUGUGAUUUAUUUGGACAUAUAAAUGGGGGGUAGUUUUCUUAGUUGUAUUAAUUUAACUGGUUGUAAUAAAAUAGUAAAAAAUUAGUAAGUGGUGUUAAUAAGGGGCCCUAAUCAACAACUCAUUGGAACUGGACACACACAUAUAUAUAUAUAUGAGCCCAUAUAAUGCCCAUGAAUUGUUUUCUUUUUUUUUAAAUUAAAAACAAUUUUGCUCCUUUUUGGCCCAUGUUAAUUUGGUCCAGCUUGUUUAAUCCUUCUUCCUCCUCCUCACUGGGAUUUCUUUUUUUAUUGGAAUGAUAAAUAAAUUUAUUUUAUUAAUAAUAAUAAAUUUUUUUCUUUACUUUUUUGCAAAAUAGGCUUGCUUUUUUUAAUAAAUUAUCUUCUUUUUUUCUCAGGAGCUGUACGCUUAUAUCUUGCUUUGUUUCGACAAAUUUUAAUUGCACUAUAAUUAUUUAUAGAGUGUAUGGGUAGCGUUAUUGUUUUAUUUUUAGCUCAUUUUCUUACUUUCUAAUAGCGAUAUUAAUAAGACGUAAACUUUUAUUAAGAAAAGUGUAGGAUAGAUAAAAAAAUUUUGCUCCAAUUUUUUACAACAGGAUUAAUAAUUAGGAACCAUACCAAGAUGUACUAAAUAUAACAAGUAUUUGUAUAUUAGAAUUAACCAAGUUCAUUAGGCAAAGCCCUAAUCAUGGGAUGCACUAAGCACAUAUUACUUGGUACUUACUUUACUCCAAUGUAAUACUCUAAACCAACUAAUUAAUGAUUUUGGCACUUUAUGAGUGUGACUGAGACAAAGUUGUGAUUUUGUUUUAUCCAUUUAUUGAUUGAUACCACAUGACUCAUUUCUUCUUUGAGUGGAUUGAAGGAGAAGGGAGAUGUCCUCAUCAAGGAGGUUUCAUGAUGUUGAAUCGUUUUUGGAUAAUGUGAAUUGUUAUGAUUAUAAAUUUGUAAUCCCAUGCAAAGUACAAAGAUAAAUUAGCCUACUUUAUUAUGUAUUAAUUCAUUAUUAUCACCGACCGUCCCUAUAGCAAGCGGUAAAGGGUUUAAUGGUUAGCAUCCGAGGUCCUAAGUUUGAAUCCUGAUUGAUUCACAUUUCCAGCUAAGUUUAUUUCUAAACGAAAUAAACAAAGCGGAUAGUGUGCUACCUAUCUCUCUCAAAAAAAAAAAAAAAUUCAUUAUUAUCAAUUAUCAACCAAAGAUGAGAGACAAUCAACUUGCGACGACGAAGACGUGAAGGUAAAAUAUUGAUCUAAUCAUUUAAAAGCAAAAGGUUCAAUUUUACGGUCUAUAUUUCUGUUGUUUCGAAAAGCUGCUACUAAAAAAAUUUCUUAGGAUCGGCUUGAUCUAGCAGUACGACGAUAAUAUUUUUCAAUCAUGCCGCGAUUUUUACAAACGGGACUAAAAAAAAUAUAAGGCUAAGUGAUCAUGCGAGACUAUCAUAUUAGAAUUUUCUAUUCUGGUAUCAUAUAAAAAAACUAUUAUUCUUCAAAAGGUUAAAUUACUGAAAAAUAAUAUUUAUUUGUUAUAUAUUUAACACACAAGAUGUCCUACCAAUUGUUGGUUUGCAUCUGACCAAUGGAUGGAAGCUAAAGCAUUUCCUUUAUUAAAAAAAAAUUAUUAUCAUUAAAGCAAGGGAAGAAAAGGAAGAAUGGGAGAGUUACAAAUGAAGGUAAUUAACCAUUAUUUAAGUGCUAAGUGUAGAAGCCACUCAUUUAUGUUAUGUAGAUAUGGAGGAAUCUAUAAUAAUUGGGACUAGAAUAGAAAUGGUAAGUCACAGUUGAUUAUCUAAGAAAUAAAGAGAGCAAUUGUGUAGUCAAAUGAGAAGAAGGGCCGACAAUCACUUUUCAAUCCAAAAACGCAUUUUAAAAGUUAGGCUAAACACCCCCGAAGAGAGAAGUGACUGGGAACAGGAGCAGGAACAAUGAGUACAGCUAGGGAUGCAAACGGAUUCGGGUUGGUGGAGCUCCCACCCCGAUUCGCUCCGAAUUAGGCGGUAAACGAAAAGAAAUAAACAGAUUCGAGGCAGGAAACUGGGUUAUUUUUAUGAUCCGAGACAAAUUCAGGACAGAAAAUGAAAAAAAUUUUGACCCACUCCUAAUCCGCCUCAAAAACUAUUUAUAUUUUAAAAAAAUAUUCCUAAAAAAUAAUAUAUUUAUAAGAAAGUUCAAAAUACACAUAAAUUGGUGUUCUCAGCUUUCUCAUGUAUUUGAAACUUUUGAAUUUUGCUUCGGAUUGUGAUUAAUAUUUUUAAUUUUUAUAAUUAAUGUUGUUAAUUUUAUACAUAGCUUAGUAACAUUAUUUAUUAUUAUUAAAAAAUAUUAAUUUAUAUUUUAUAAAAUAUUAAUAAUAUUAUAAUUUUUUAAAAAUAUUAAUUGGCGGGGGAUUGGGGGCGCCGGUAGGAGGUGGAUUAUUAGUCUGGGUGGAUUAUAGAAUAUAUUUUUUAAUCGAUCACAAAUUAGGGAUGGGAGGCGGGGCGGGGCGGGGCGGGGCGGCCGCCUCCAAAUCCACCCCGUUUGCAUUCCUAAGUACAGCUUCAACACUUAAAAAAAAAAGGAAAACUUCAAAUACCUUCUCACUUUAGUACCCUAUGGUUUAAAGUGUAUCAAGCUAGUACUCUGUGGUUUUACACUUUUUUACUUUAGUACUCUGUGAUUUAAAGUGUAUCAAGUUAGUACCCUGUGGUUUCACACUUUAUCACUUUAGUACCCUAUGGUUUAAAAACCAUAGGGUACUAACUUGAUAAAAAAAUAAAACCACAGGGUACAAACUUGAUACAAAAAUAAAACCACAGAGUACUAACUUAAUACACUUUAAACCACAGGGUACUAAAGUGAUAAAGUGAGAAAUCACAGAAUACUAACUUGAUACACUUUAAACUACAAAGUACUAAAAUAAAAAAAUGCGAAACCACAUAGGAGAUUUGAAGUUUUCUCAAAAAAAAAAAAAAAUAAAGGGCAAGUACACUAGCAUGAAAAUAGUUUUACUGUCGUUUUUGGGAGGGGGAGGGGGCUGGUAUCUUCUUUACAAAUAAAUUUAUGAACUUUUAAUUUUGACAAUUACAUUCUUAAUUUUUAUCAAAUAAUUCAAUACAACCCUCAUCUCAGAAGUCGCGUACAUAAUUCUGUGAAACCCUAUAAUAAAAAAUUUAUUUUCUCUUCCAAUUUUGAUAACAAAGUAAAGAAUAAGUAAUACCACACUCUAAUAAAUUUUUUUUUUACAUGUUAGAAUAUAAAAAAGGGUACAUUUCAAAUACCACCUCUGUGAUUUUAUAUUUUCUCACUUUAUUAUCUUAUAGUUCAAAGUGUAUCAAUUUAGUACUAUGUGGUUUCAUUUUUCUCUUUUCGUCAGAUUUUUUCAUUAAAUCGACGAAGUUAAACUUAAAAGAUAUUAAGUGAAUAUUUGAUAAAUAUAGGUGGGGUAUCUGAAGUUUUUUGUAUAUAAUUUAACGAAAUGUUAACAGAGAAGCUAAUAAAAAGAGAAAAAUAAAACCAUAGAAUAUUAAAUUAAUACACUUUAAACCACAAGGGUGGUAUUUGAAGUUUAUCCUUUAAAAAAUAAAUUUGCUUGCAUUUUAAAGUUUUAUAGAACUAUAUGCAAAUGCACACAACCAAAAUGAGUACAUAAUUAGCAACUUUAAUUGAGAAGAGGAGCCUAUUGAACUAGGUGAUAAAGUUUAAAAAAUAUAAUUACCAAAAUUGAAAGUUCAUUAUUCAUAUGCUUAUUUUGGAUUUCAUAUCCAAGCCCCAAAAGUUAUUUAAUCCACCCAACUAACAACAAGAUGAGUAGUAAUUGGGCCUCCAUAAUCAAAAUUGGGCUUCAAUUGACUUAAUUGGGCUUUUUAAUCAGCGUUGAACUAUUUCUACUUCCACCCUUUGAAUUAAGAAAUUUAUUAAACUUAGCAACUAUUCAUCGUUUAUUAUUUUCUUUUUUUUGUAAAAAAUAAACCCAUACGUUGUUUAAACAGUUGAAGUCAGAAAAGUUGACAGCACGGCUGAUUAUACUUUAAUAAAAUUUUCAAUUAAAAUAAAUCAACUUAAACCAAAAAAUAAAAAUAAAAAAAAAAUCAGGGUUCCAUUUUACGGUCCAGUGUAAAGAGGACACCAGGGAAAAAAAAAUAUAAAAAAAAAAAUCCUUGAAAAUAAAAUUGCUAGAGGACCAACUUGUAUGUACUAGGACAGGCCUCUCAUUCCUCAAAAAGGGUUUACAGAUCUUCCGCUGCAAAAUCGAUCAGAAAGCGAGCUUCUGAUUCCUAACAAAAAUACAACUCGAGUUUCAAAUGCAGAAGAAACAAGAAUAGUUCAUCAUUAACAAACAAAGUAAAGCAUAUACUCGUAGAUAUUAAAAAGCAAAAAUAUUAGAAAAUGAGGGAGAAAAAGAAUAAGAAAUACAAUAGCUCUGAAUCUGAAGAGAGAGAUUCAUUAAAACAGCUGCAUGAUAAAGCCUUCUUAAGUUCUAAAUAUAUAUCUACAUGAAAACCAUAAACAUCCCAAUAUUAGUAAACUGCCAACACAGAAUCUUGAGGUUACAGAAAAUUUGGCCAAAGUAACUAAAUACCAACAGCAACUACCACCCUCCUUUGCUACUGCUUCCUCCCUUAGCCCCGCCCCAGGCCCCGGCCGCUUUAUCCCAGCAGCUUCCCUGAUCCGCACCGCCGCCUUCGGCUUCUUUGGGUUUCUCCCGCGAGCCCCCUCCCGACAUAGCUCCAACAUUUCCGGGCGAGCUUUUCUCCCACCCGGCGCUUUGAUCACCAGAAGCUCUUCCACUUCCAGUCGAAUUUUUCUCCCAGCCAGAACUCUCAACUCCAGAAGCUCUCCCGGUGUUCCAGCUGUUCUUCUCUUCAGUGUUGUUAUUCCAACUAGACGGUGCGUUGUUCCCCUUGAUUUCUGUAUCAUCCUUUCCCCAGUUAGAGCUCUGCUUGCCCCAUGCUGAAGCGCUUUCUCCAGCAGCCGGUUUUCCCCGACUCCAAUCGUUGUUCCCUUGUUGAUCACUACUGUUAACGGCAUCCGAUUUGCCCCAGCUAGAUCCUUGACUAUUCUGGGAAGUUCGAUCACCGAAGUUUCCUCGUCCGCCCCUCCAACUGUUAUCCUGAUUUCUACCGCCCCUCCAACUGUUAUCCUGAUUUCUACCUCUAUUUGCUCCAUAUCGACCCCUUCCUCUUUCCCCGCUAGUUCCUCUACCGCUGUCAGAAUCUCUUCGCUGAUUCCAAUUGCUACUUCCAUUGUUUUCAUCUCUGUUCCAACUAGAUCGGUGAUCGUUCCCGCGAUCUGCUGGUUUGUUCCAGUCGUUGUCACGAGAUCGAUAACCACCUUCUCCAGAAUAGCGUCCUCUUCCUCUUCCACCACCAAACCCACCAAAUCCACGACCCUCAGAAUUUCUUGGUUUAUCCCAGGUGGAUUCAUUGCCUCCAUCAAAUGAAGAACAUUUACUCCAGCUGUCUGUUGGAGUUGCACCUUUAUCUUUUGUCUUCUCCCAGUUAUUCCAUUGUGACUCUGAUUGGCUCCUUUGUGAAGCUGCUGACUCCCAUUUGCUUCCGCUGUUUAAGCUAGUAUCUUGCUCUUUAUUCCAAGUUGAACUAUUUCCAACAUUGGUUUCGGUGGUGAUGUUCUCUUGAGGCUUUGAAGCUUUGCCCCAAGCAUCUUCUUCUUCACUUCCCAACGUCGACUUCCUCCCUUUAGCAUUCCACGCAUCUGAUUUAUCAUUGGCUGCAGGAUCACUGCUUGCAUGCUUUGUUUUCUCCAACAAAUCAAAGUUGGUGCCACUUUUGGUAGAAGCUUUGUUCCAUCCCGCAUCAAAAGAAUCGUUUCCAGCUUUAGAAGUCACCUUACUAGCCCAAGGAUCAGCUUCACAUUCUUGACCUGCUUGAAAACGCAAGCAAUCGGCUUCUCAAAAUCCAUUCACAAGGAAUACAAGAUAAAGAACAAAUAACAAAUGCACAAAACGGCACAUCAACAAAAGACCUGCAACACUAUUUCGAUUCCCAAAUAUCCCAAAAAGAAUACCUAUUCAACAAAACAUACAAAUAGACUAUACUGUUGUAAUAUAACACUUACCUCCAGCAUCCUCAGCAGCAAAUGUUUUCCCAGAGAAGCCACUUGAUUGCUUGUCCUGCAAAGAAUUUGAACUAUUCCAUCCACUUGUAGGUACAGAUGCAUCAGCUGAUUUGUUUUCAGAUGAGAACUUAUCCCAACUAGAAGAUUUCGACGCAUUCCACUUAUCUCCACCACCAUCUUCACUUCUCUUGGACUGCCCAAGAUUCCACUUAGAAUCCGAAGAAGUCCAAUUGGUGUCUGUGUCAUCCUUCUUCGGCUCCGACAAGCUUUUAGCACCCCAACUCUUCCCUGCCUCAUUAGCAGCAUCUUUAUCCUGAAUAAAAUUAUCUGUUGGUUUUUCAUUUCGACGAAAGCUACUAGAUUUAUCCCAGCCAGCACCUUGAUCACUAGCCCAACUAGAAGGAGCUUUAGAAUAAGUUCCUUCUCCGGAACUUUGCCGUUCAUUCCUGCAAUCAGAGGAGUCACCUCUCCCGCGACCACGGCCAAAGCCACCACCACGACCUCCACCGCGACCAAAAGGUCUAUAGUCUACAGAAUUGUCCCUGGAAUCCCCAAAUUCAUUGUUAUCACAACCUCUUCCUCUUCCUCCAUAUCGACCUCCUCUAUUCCAGCUAGACCCCUUAGAUCCAUCAAAAUCCCCUUUCCUGUUCCAAUUUCUCUCCUCAUGUUUUUCUCCACCAGCACCAUUGUUUCCAUAGUUACCACUUGGUUUGUUCCAGCCACCCUGUUUAUCACUUUUGGCCCAAUCCCCUCCAUCGAAACUCUUUGGUUUGUUCCAGCUAUCUGUUUGGUUAUCUCUGUCAGCUUUGUCCUCUCCUUUGUUCCAGUUCGACAUAGAAUCACCACCAAAAGAUUUUGGCUUAUACCAGUUGUCAUUUGGAUUUUGAUUAGACACUCCUGCUUUAUUCCAAUUGCCACUUUCAGUUUCAGUUUUCUCCUUUGCUGCUUUAUCCCAGCUGCUGGUGUUGCCUCCAGCUGCUGAUGAUUGGGUUGAUUUAGCAGCAGCAUCCCAACCACCACUUUGGUUUCCUUUGAAUGCACCAUCUUUUUCUUGACUUUGGCUUGAUCCCCAAUUUUGACUUUCAUUACCACUCUUGCUUUGGUUCGUUGCAGCUCUGCCCCAAGGAUCAUCUUCAUUCAUCUCUAUUCCCUUUCCUUUAGCUUUGCCCCAAGUAUCAUCGUCGUUUAUCACGAUUCCUUUCCCCGUAGCUUUGCCCCAAGAAUCGUCCUCCUUUAUCACUAUACCUUUUCCCUUAGCUUUGUCCCAAGAAUCGUCCUCAUUUAUCACUAUUCCUUUUCCCUUAGCUUUACCCCAAGUAUCACCAUCAUCCAUCGCAAUUGCUUUGCCCUUAACAUCCCAAGAAUCUGUUUUGCUGGUAACAGCCUCAGAUUUUGUCCAAUUAUUUGGUUCGUUCCAGCUAGAACCCUUCCCUUUGUCCUUAUCGUUUGAUGCUUUAUCCCAGGCAUUGUCUCCACCAGUUUUUGAAUUAUCCAAGUUGCUUAUUUUGUUGCCCGUGCCCCAGCUUCCUCCAGAAUCACUUGCCAGCGUUUUUUCUUUCUCCCAUCCACCGGCGUCAGAAGUGCUUUUUUGAGAACCUUUGUUACUCCAAUCAUUUGAGUUAUUUUGCCAAGUAUCAGCUUGACCACUGGCGGCAUUAGUUGUUGAUUUAUCCCAUGAUGAAUUUUGAUCUCCGCUAGGGGCAGCUGCAUUAGCCCAGGUGUCUGCUGAUUGAUCAGAUUUCACCUUGCUACCCCAUGGGUCGACGUCAUCUGAUGAUAGCAAGCAAAAAUGUAUAAUUGCAACACAAGAUAACAUGUUAAUGAAUUAUAUCAAGAACUGACAUCCAUUAUUACCCAAGAAAGCACAGUUUGAUAUAGUUAUAUUCUACCAAAACAUUCUACAAAAGAAAAACUAAUUUAUUAAGCAAGCAAUAGAUCGAGAACUCACCUUUUUCACACAUAUCAAGGCUAAAGAUAACUUGUGAUUAAGAGGACAGCAAGUCAGCAACAAUAUUCAAGAUAAGGGUCAAGACAGGAAUGUCAAGGGUGGAGAGAAAUUUUCCACCAUCUAUAUACCCCCAAAUGCUCAGUGGGAACAAAUUCUAUUGGGAAAGUGAUUUUUCAUCAUUCAUGUUCCCCAAUUUUAAGGCAACAAAUGAAAGCGAUUAUCCAUCUCAAAAAUUAGAUUACCAUAUAAUGAGAACCCCCGAUCCCUCCAUCUAUUUAGUAAUAUUCUUUUUAGGUUUCUUUGACACCAAAGUUUGUAGAUAGCAUAUUUCACAGGUUAUCCUGCUUCAGUGCUAAAACAGGUAAUGUAUCCUUCUCCAAAAUUCUACAUAACUUGACGUCGUUUAGGUAGAGAGAAAAUGAUGGCAUUUAUGAUCUUCCACCCCUAAUCAUCAUGCUGUAAUGGACUUCUCAAAAGAUGAAGACUGGCUAUCGACUAUCAGCAAUUUUUUUUCAGCAAUCUAAAGUUGCUUCCUGGUUGGAUAAAGUAGGAGCACAAGUGCAUCAUUUAUGCUCAGAUUAGCUAGCCACCAGUUUGACCCAAAACUAGCCUUUUUUAUAUCACUCUCAAAUUGAUAAACACCAUUGGGCUAAUAUUCUAAAAAGCCAAAUUUCCACCACUUUUUCAGUCCUCUUUCAACUGCAAAUAGAACAAGGCCCAUUUUACUGAAAACCAUAUCUUGCCAAUAAACUACGGAUACAGUUUUAUCAUGUCCAUGUACGUUUCAGGAAUGAACAUGACUUGGUCAAAAUUUCAAGAGUACAAAAUAAGUACUGGCAUACGAGAACUUUAUGACUAAUUCCAUUUUUGUUGACUCAUUCGGUCUCCAUUGGCAAAGAAGGCCUGAUAAAAUGGGAAAGAAAAACACUUUCACAUCGUUGAGAAGAUUAUACAAUCAGGCAUUAUAAACAACUAUUCACAAUAAUACAAGGAAAAUACAUUCAAACUUGACAUAGUAGUAUCCAAACCAUCAUGAAACUAUAGGAAAAUGGCACAUCUGCUAAUUCAUAAUGUGACUGUUAAAAAUGAUACCUGUUUUAUUGUCAGUAUUGCCAGCAGCUGAUAGCUUGGAGGCAGAAAAUGGUUGCCAACCGUCACUGCAACAUAGUGAAUGGUGAAGUCAGCAUAAGUGAAACCGCCUAUAUAUUUUGAUGCAUAUCUAAUUGUCACUAUUCAUCUUACUUAAUAAGAGAAACAGGAGCAAUUGAUCUACCGAAUUAGUGAAGCUAUUUCUCAAAACACAAAGAGCAUAACACAGCUUUAUAAGACAACUGUCUUCAUGCACGAAAUGUAAAGAGAUACAUAGGAACUAACUCAUUUUGCAUCAUGUAUUCCCAAAUCAAAGAAUUGCAUAAUGCUAUUUAUCACUAGACCUCCGUGUAAACCCUUUUCUGCAACUUUGUUAUGAUUUGCCGUUGCAUUACAUUGAACAAAAUAGAAAACAGAAUUUCUUCGGGUGGCAACAAGAAGAAUGAAGCAAUAACUAACAAAAAAACUGACUGAUAAUUUUCGUAAAGGUUGGAAAAAUAUGCAUAAACAACAAAAGCUAAUGCAUAGAAAGAGAGAAUUAAAACUAAUUCUGAUAGAAAACAAGCCAACCUGCCAAAUGAUGGUAAUGGACUAUCCCAUGAACUUCUACCAGGUUGUGAUUCUGUUCCAUCAGCAGAGAAUGGACCUACAAAUGUAAAGGAGACGGGGGAAUUGAAAACAUCAAAUUACUGAUCCAUUGAACUCAAAUCUUCAACCUAAACAUUAAAGACAAAGGAGACACAGACAGUUCAAAUCCAAAAUAACUUGAUAUAGAGAAAGACAAAUGCAAGAGAUUGAAAUUCAUCACUAUAUUAUAGUCCUUGAAAACGCUUCUAUAGACCCAAAAAAGGAUGCUCACUAGCAAUCGACGGGGCUUUGUAUCCCUUGAAUUCAGCCUAAUAUAUAGAGAGUGAUGAAAGUUCCCAACAAAAGAACAAAAAUGUAUGAGUCUACCUAUCGAUGGCAUUUCUUGAGUUCCAAACAGAUCAGAUGCUGCACCAGUUGAAUCAUCCCUUUUGAACACAAACAGCAGGAACAGUAGUAAAAGUAUAAGAAUAAAGUAGGAAGACAAACAAAGACACAUUUGCAUAACAUAAGAACAAUAUUGCACAAAAGGAAACCAAACAAACAAUAUACAAAUUACCUUUUUCUGGUUGGAACAGAAAGAAACUUGGCAUCAACUGCAUAAGCAAAAGAAAGAACUUGUUUUAAAGGAAGUUAUAGUACAGUAUGCCAAAUAUGUUUUAAGUCAACGAACCUGUAAUAAUUUUCACUAAAGAAUCCAGCUUUACUGUCACCUCGGAGCGAAAGAUGCGCACAACACGACAGAGGUAACCUUUUAAAGGGCCUUUACAUAUCCUCAAUGUCUGCCCAAUGGAGAAGAGGGAAUCUCUAUCAUAUUGGCGACGCCUACCAGCUGCACCAUCAAGUGAAUUAGGAUAAUCACAAUCGCCUUCCAUAGCACUAGAGGUAUAAAGUGAUCAGACAUACCACCAGAAGAACUAUCUUGAUUCUCGAAUGAUAUGGUAGGCGGCUCUGAAAAUAGAGAAGCUGACCCAUCUCCCUGCUAUAUAUAUAUAUAUAUAUAUAUAUAUAUAUAUAUAUAUAUAUAUAUAUAUAUAUAUAUAUAUAUAUAUAUAUANNNNNNNNNNNNNNNNNNNNNNNNNNNNNNNNNNNNNNNNNNNNNNNNNNNNNNNNNNNNNNNNNNNNNNNNNNNNNNNNNNNNNNNNNNNNNNNNNNNNNNNNNNNNNNNNNNNNNNNNNNNNNNNNNNNNNNNNNNNNNNNNNNNNNNNNNNNNNNNNNNNNNNNNNNNNNNNNNNNNNNNNNNNNNNNNNNNNNNNNNNNNNNNNNNNNNNNNNNNNNNNNNNNNNNNNNNNNNNNNNNNNNNNNNNNNNNNNNNNNNNNNNNNNNNNNNNNNNNNNNNNNNNNNNNNNNNNNNNNNNNNNNNNNNNNNNNNNNNNNNNNNNNNNNNNNNNNNNNNNNNNNNNNNNNNNNNNNNNNNNNNNNNNNNNNNNNNNNNNNNNNNNNNNNNNNNNNNNNNNNNNNNNNNNNNNNNNNNNNNNNNNNNNNNNNNNNNNNNNNNNNNNNNNNNNNNNNNNNNNNNNNNNNNNNNNNNNNNNNNNNNNNNNNNNNNNNNNNNNNNNNNNNNNNNNNNNNNNNNNNNNNNNNNNNNNNNNNNNNNNNNNNNNNNNNNNNNNNNNNNNNNNNNNNNNNNNNNNNNNNNNNNNNNNNNNNNNNNNNNNNNNNNNNNNNNNNNNNNNNNNNNNNNNNNNNNNNNNNNNNNNNNNNNNNNNNNNNNNNNNNNNNNNNNNNNNNNNNNNNNNNNNNNNNNNNNNNNNNNNNNNNNNNNNNNNNNNNNNNNNNNNNNNNNNNNNNNNNNNNNNNNNNNNNNNNNNNNNNNNNNNNNNNNNNNNNNNNNNNNNNNNNNNNNNNNNNNNNNNNNNNNNNNNNNNNNNNNNNNNNNNNNNNNNNNNNNNNNNNNNNNNNNNNNNNNNNNNNNNNNNNNNNNNNNNNNNNNNNNNNNNNNNNNNNNNNNNNNNNNNNNNNNNNNNNNNNNNNNNNNNNNNNNNNNNNNNNNNNNNNNNNNNNNNNNNNNNNNNNNNNNNNNNNNNNNNNNNNNNNNNNNNNNNNNNNNNNNNNNNNNNNNNNNNNNNNNNNNNNNNNNNNNNNNNNNNNNNNNNNNNNNNNNNNUAAAUUUAUAUAUAUAUAUAUAUAUAUAUAUAUAUAUAUAUAUAUAUAAACAAAGAGUUAGACAACAAGGUUAUAAACAGGAGAAUCAUUAUCAAGCAAUAUAUCGUCCACAUAAAUACCAAAUUGUCAUCAAAAGAAUUCACUGAUUCCCUUGACUUCUUGAUUUUCUCACAUGACUCAGACUUGGCACAGAAGAACCCACUAUUCUCAGUCUCAUUUUCAUCAUAGAUAAAUAUUGAGCCCCUGUACAAGUGCUUCACAAUGCCUUGUCUACCCUGCCAAAAUGAUUCAACAAGAACACAUCAACACCAAAGUGGAACUCAGUAAUUUAUAACAGUCAAGAGAAAUUUGCUAAAACAAUUCAUAACUUAAUGCAAGAAAUCAUAAAACCAAUCGAUGGGCAGUAUUCUCCAUAUAAAUAACCAGUGUUAACAAAUGGUAGCAUUCUUUAAAGUAUACUGCUUCAUCUAAAGGACAUGUCUCUACCUCUAAGGAUCCCUCCAGAACCUUGACAAUGUCAUUAACAGAUAUGGUCUUCGAGUGCCGGUCUAAAGCAGUGAACAUUUUAUCAACACAACCACUCUUAAUAUCCUGCUUCCUAAGUGUCACAACGGCCGAUCCUUCAGUGCCGCCUUUUAGUAUCUGAAAGAAUAUAUUUAAUAUACAAGAUUUAGCUACAAAGGAAACUAUAAUAAGAGAAAAAGGUUAAAAUGAAUGCAGUUACCCGGACUCCGUCUUUCUCCACAGUAACAAUAACACCAAAGUCCUUUUGUCUGUUAAUCCAAAAGAGCAAAGAGCAAACAACAGAGGUUAGUUUUAUCAACAUUACAGGGUUUAGUUUUGUCAAUUAUAGAGCAUACUAAACAGAUGAAGUAACAGAAACAAACCCGAAUAACACGAGAUCAUGAAGUUUGUACUCAUUCUUCCUAGAAGUAGUUGCAACAUUAUCUGAGUCGUCAGUCAACCGUACUUUCUUACGACCACUAUAAACACUUGAAACCCAAUCUAAGUCCUCGCUGUCAUCCUUAUUCACGUUAGAGAACUUCAGAAGUUCAGAUUCAGAUGGCUGUACUCCCCAGAAAACAACUGAUCCAUUUGAAACCCAUUUGUACAUGUAACCAUCUUUCAACAUCAUACCAUCAAGUACUUCGAAAACUUCACCACUUUGACGAUCACGUCUCGUUUCAAUAAGGGGUCUGAACUCACUGAGGAAAGAAAUAGGAUCGCGAGUAUUCAGAGUUAAAACACUAUAGUAUUGAAGUGAAACUGCAGAACAAAACAAGCUAUGGAAUGAUGGAAAAUUUUACUCUAGUUCAUGCGAGCUAAUAAGACGUGGAGCAGGAACUGCAGCAUGCUUCAAAGAUAGUCCACCACCCUGCAUAUAAUUCAAAAUAGUUGACGAUAAGCAACAUGCAAGACUCUGCACAUAUACGGAGGGAACUUGAGCUUCAAUCUCUCACUCAUAACAUGAAAAAAGGCAACCCAACAUAUCUGGAGCCUGGUGAUUGGAGCAACAAUACAUAUAUACUCUAUUAGGAUCUAAAUAUGCUUGCCUGCAUACUCUACUAGCAUCUGCAUGUGCUUGUCAUGUCAUAUCUAGUGAAAACAGACAAAACAAUCAGAACGGUAAAGUAGCUGAUGCCAAUUCUGGAGAGUAUCUCCCGUGAGAUCGCUUCAAGGACCAAGUAUAACUUAGAAAGAAAAAGUAAGAAGGAUGGUGAAAUAAAUAGAAAAAGGACUAUAUCUAUACAAUUGAUUAAUUUGUUAUGAAACUAGUUUUAACUAACCCACCAUCCGCAUCACAUAUAACAAGAAAAGAAUAAACAAUAGAAAAUAAGAGAUUGAUCUUUACAAAUUUUUUUGAAAUAGCUUGCAGAUCAAUUCUAGGAAUCAACUUUAUCAUCACUCUUUUCCGUCCAUCAUCAAGAUUAACAACCUACAAAAGAGAAAAAUGAAAAAAGAGCAAAUAAACCUCAUAGAACAGAAGCAAACAGAAAACUGGAAAAUAGAGACAAAGUAAGAAAAGAGUUACUAAUUCGGAAUACCUGUGCAAGAUCUCCUUUAUAUUUCCCACUCUUCAUACGGACCCACGAACCCUGAGAUAUUCCACAAGAUUUGUUACGACUAGAGAGCAAAUGAGAAACUUCACUUGGGGGGACAAGGUUAAUUCUGCCUGGAUAUAUGUUACAAAAUCCUUUGCAUGCCUGAAGUACAGUAGAUACUAAUUAGACAAAACAAUGGCAACCUUCCACUCUGCCAAGUUAACAACCACUAACAGAUGGAAAAUCGAAAAACAAACCUCGCUAACGUCAUUUGCUUUGUCCGCUUCAACAAAAACAAAACCUUUCACAUGGUCAAGUGCAAAAGCAGAAACUAUUUGCAGUUUGUUUCCGAGACAGUCCAAGUCAACAAACUUUUGCAUGAAGCAAAAGGCCAUCUGCCUCUCACGACCAAUCUGUAUCAGACAGUCAUGCAGAACAGCAAUUAGAGAACAAUAUUUUAGACGAAAUAGCUUAGUUCAAAGAGACUACAACAAACCAUGCAUUUAAUCUUCCAAACAGUAGGAUCCUUCAUUAAAUCAGCUGCAGAUACUUCAUCUCCAGAUUCUUUAGAAUCUUCAGCAUGCACUACAUACUUCGAACUACGACCGUAACGGUCUUUAAUUAGUUCUUCCAGUUCAUCACCACUCAACUCCUCUUCCUUCACAAAAAAGGGAAGGUGAGGAGGCCUCGCUGUGCCUUUCAAGUCUUCAUUUUCAGCUUUGCAUUCAUCAGGAAAAUCUGUUCCAUUAGGUAAAGAGAAAACAAAGAAUAUCAGAACCGUUCCAUUAGGUAAAGAGAAAACAAGAAUAUCAGAACCGGUAAAGCCAAGCUUGCAUAAUAGCUGAUAUCAGCUUCUCCUUUGUAUUGCCAGUCAGGCUUUCGGGAAGCAAUAUGUGAUUUGAUGUACAAAAUAAAUAUCUAAAAUUAAAAAUCCAUUAUAACUUAUCUGUACGAGGUUAACAGGAUAUGGAAAAGAGAAAUAGACGUGACUGGACCGAUUAAUAUACAUAGAAAUCAUUUCUUCAAGAAAGGGAUGCACAAUUACAUCCACAAAAUUACGUAGACAACUCAAAGAACGAUAAUGAAAACCAAAGAGGAAAAACGAAGGCAGCAAACUGUCAAAAUCCAAGAAACUUCAUGUCAUGCAUCUACCGGAAAUUUAUAGUUAAAUAGCUAACUAUGCUGUCUAGCUAGCAAAAGUUCUGAAUAGUUAAUAUCAAAUCACAUAAUGCCAGAAUAGUUGGUAAUGUUGCAACAGAAAACUGCAAAAGGAGAAACAAAGAAAGCGGAUAAAUCACAAGAAGUUGAAAAAGGAUAUCAUACAAAACGGCUCCCAUAAAACUAGAGCGAAUAACGUUAACUAUAUUAUUGUGUUACUCUUUGAUUUUUGCAUAUGAAGAUACUAGUUAAUCUAUAAUCCAGACAAUUUGACAGUUUCUAACAACGGAGAAAAGUAUACUGCUGCCCCAUCCCAAUCAAGGAGCACGUUUCUGCUCUAUUAAACAUUAAACCUAGCCACUGAAAAGCACAAUUUAAAAUUCUUGCAACAGCGAGACCUACAUCAAAAGCUGCCAGGAAAUUCUCCACACAAAAGAUAAGCACAAAGAGUAAAAUGUGAAACAUCGUAAUAUGUGGCAGAUAGAAGAUUCUGAAAAUUUUGGGUUUAUGAUAACAUGCAGCCUGAUGCAUACCCAUCUGUAUGCCGCAUUGACCAUCCAAGGAAACAGCACAAGGUACAUAUUAUGCUGUGUUUCAUGCAAAAGGGGCAUGCAACAGCCUGUUUUACGGUUUGAGGGCACAUUUAACCUCGCUGGAGCUUUCGGCAAAAGUGUUCUUAGAGCUGUUCAGAAAAGCAUUUACAACUUUUUUCAUCAAGUCCGACCAACAGCUUCCGCUGCAGCAGAACCCUAAAAUUGGAGCAAUACGUUUUUGCAGCCCAAAAGCUCAUCUUAGGUUCCAACCACAGAAAAAGUUCCAGAUUUCUUGUUUGCUAAACAUCUUGAUGUUGAUUUUCAGUAUAGCGAAGCUGUUGCAGAAACCUUGCCCAAUAGGCACAUAAGUCCAAGAGGGCAAGCGCCUUAUAAUCACAACUUUUCCCAUUGAAGGUGCCAUAACACAUGACAAGUUGGCAAUGCGAUGAUGACAUGCAAAACAGGAAUUCCUUGAAUCCUUACACAAAGACCACAAUUAGCUUGAAUUCCAAGAGAAUGUACCCAAGCUAAUCCGGACUCAAACAUUAUGUCGAGCCCGUAGAUAUAGCACAUUGUACUGAAAUUGACGGCUCACUCUUUUAUCCAAAUCCUAUCAUUUAUAUGCUAAACAGACGCACCAAAAAAUUAUAGAAACUGCAACCUAAGCUCAAGCAUGCCCUAGAACAAAAACCCUAACGACGUCGCUUGUUACGAAACCCCAAAAACCGAAAAGAAAGCGAAUCGCAUUGAGCAAAGCGAGUCUCAACAAUUAGCAAGAGGAAACCCUACACGAGUAAGAAGAAGAAGAAGCACGGAGGUAAUGGCGAAGGCAUCAUUCAUACCCUCCUCGGCGUCCUCGCCACCGGACUCGAGCUCGUCGUCGUCGGCGUCCAUGGCGGCGUCAUCGAAGAACUGCAACACGCCGGGGCGGCCCCGCUUCGCGCGGCCGCGGGAGGAGGCGGCGCCACCGGAGCCCUGCGCUGCCUCGGCGGCGGGGUUCUUUCGCUUCGCGGAGGCGGAGGAGGGGGAGGAAGCCACCUGCUUCCCCUUCCCCUUCACCGCCAUUGAUGAGCUCGACGAGAGAGCUCAGAGGAAAAGGAAGAAGACGACGACGAAGAGUUGGAGAGAGAGAGAGAGAGAGAGAGAGACGAAGAUGGGGCUCUACUCAACCCUUGUGGUAUGGUCGAGGAGGGGUCGAGGGUAUAAUCGGUAUCUUAUCCUCGAGGUGCACAAUUAUCAGAGUAACUGACACGUGGCGCGAUUUGAAUGGGCUAUUAGUGGAAAACUAAUACGACACGUAGAUGGUGCAGCAUAGUUCAGGAUGUUCCUUGAGCAUAGUUUUUUCGUGAUGGGACGGUUUUGCCCCCGGGAGUGUGAGCGACGAUAGCGACAAGUGUUCGACGUUUCGUUUUGAUACGACACCGUAGGGAGAUAGGACACGUGGCUACAUACAGUGUGUAUGCGGCUUUGGGGCACGUGGACGGUGAUGAUUUGUUUAAAUGUCUGUUUUGUGUUUGCUAUGAGAUAGCAAAAGUUUUACUUGAGUAUUUUGUAGACUCCACUAAACAGGCGAAAAAGUUUGCGAAAAGCCGCAUAAUAUGAAAUUAUCUGGACCGUUCGAUGGAAAGCAACGGUUGCGUGAACGGACGAGAUCGGCCAAUCCUGGUAGCGAGAACGGUAGAUCAUCAGGAAUUGGUACCCACCCAUUUUUUGACAAUAUAAAAAAGGAUUAAUAGUAAUUUUAAUUAUUUAUUUAGUUGAGAUUAUAUUUUUACAAUAAUAAUAACUAAAAGUAAAAAAAAAAUCAUCAAUGGCGUAUCAUACCAUGUAAAUUUUUUACAUUUAUAAAUUUACAAAUUCAAAAAGGACUAAAAUGAAAAACUCUGCAUCAUUUGUAUACUUUUCACUAUAAACUUUUUCAACAUUCCUCAAAAAGAUAGGAACAUGCAUAAACAGUUUCUAAACUCUACAUCAUUAUCAAAUAGCCCUUUAUUAAACUUUAACUUCGGACAAUUAAACAUUUAAACUUUAUCAAAUUAUUCAAUAAUUCUAUUUCUUUGAAAAAAUUUACUAAUUAAGUAGCUAUUUUAGUGGUAUCUUUUAUAAAUAAUCAUGUAAAACUUCAAAAUACAAAACAAAGCCUAGUUUUUUUUUUAAGUAUGCAAAUUAAAAAAUAAUGCUGAACUUAUUUUAUAUUUUAUUGCCUUUUUAAGUGUUCAAAUAGAAAAGAUAAAUUUUACAAACUUUUGUGCAAGAUAAUUUUCUUUAAAAAAAAGUCUAUUAAACUAUUAAGGAAGUCCAGUUGUCAAAACGCCAAAGCUUAGGGGGUGAUUGUACAUUUUCCCCCAAAAAAAUUGACUCAGAUUCAACCGGUUCAAUUCACGGGCCGCUCCGGUCCGGUUUUUUUGAAACAUCGGAUCCUCUCCAUCUAGGGUUUAAUUAAAAAAACCAUAACCCGCUCCGCCACGUUAUAAACCCUACGCCCCUCUCCAUCGUCGUCUCCCCCGACACAUCACCCCCCCCACCCCUCUUCUCUCUCCCGCAUGAGGUACGCUCCCUCUCAUUCCCCAUCCAUCCGCCAUUAAAACCCUAAUCCCAAGCUCCGCUUAUGGCUCCGCUUCUCCAGAAGCUCUCCUUCCUCCUCCGCACCUCUUCCUCCUCUUCCCACCUCCUCCGAUCCCUUCUCCUGUCCACGGCAACAGCUUCGAAGAAGCCCCAAAACCCUUACGCUCCCGAGUCCCAUUUCAUGGUCGAUUACCUCGUCUCCUCCAUUGGGCUCUCCCGGGACCAAGCCAUUAAGGCCUCCAAGGGCCUCGCCCACCUCCGAUCCCCCGAUCGCCCCGACGCCGUCGUUGGCUUCCUCAAGCGCACCGGAUUAUCCGACGCCCACAUCAAAAGCCUAAUCUCCUGGCACCCCAAAUUGCUUUGCGCCAACACGGAGAAGACCCUCGAGCGCCGCGCUAAGGAGCUCGAGGAGGGCGGCUUCUCCGGGCCGCUGCUCGUCCAGGUCGUCCGGUCCAACCCUUUUGCUUUCACCAUCAAUGGCGUCCUCCAAAGGCUCCAGUUUUGGAAAGAGUUCGUCGGCGGCGACAACACGGUUUUCUCUAAGGUUGUGAGAAGAAAUAGGAUGCUUAUUAACUAUGAUAUCGAAAGGAAGGUUGUUCCUAAUAUUACUCUUCUGAGAAACUACGGAUUGUCCGACAAGGAUAUCACGCUGGUGAUGAUGAGGGUGAACGGGUUCAUACUCCGCUCGCCGAUCUCGAUUAAGCAUCUGCUGAAGCAAACAGAGGAUUUGGGCUUCUCCCCUGAGUCGAAGAUGUUCGUGCAAGCUCUGUCAGUGGUGGCCAUGAUUAAAAGUACGACCUUGCAGAAGAAGAUCGAGCUUUUCAAGAGCUUUGGGUGGUCUAAAGAUGAGGUUCAUAAGGCAUUUCGGAAGUGCCCGAAUGUGCUCUCGCUCGCGGAGGAGAAUGUGAGGUUGAAAAUGGAUUUCUUGCUGGGGAAAGCAGGCUGCCUGCCGGUGUAUAUCAAAGAGAGGCCGAUGCUUCUUGCCUACAGUUUGGAGAAGAGGCUGGUGCCUCGGCAUCAUGUGAUGAGUAUCCUCAAGGAGAAGGGGAUUGGAAAGUAUUUUAGCUUUUAUAGUGUCGUUGGUUUACCCGAGAAAAACUUUGUUGAGAAGUUUAUUAGGCGCAAUGAGAAAGGAAUGCCAGGUCUUGACAAGGUCUAUGCUGCUGCUUGCGCCGGAGUGAUACCCACUUAGUGGUCUCGAAGUUUCUGAAUGAAGUAUGGUGCUUUUCUACGUAAACGGCAAGAUCAUGAGCUCUUGUUUAAAUUUUAAUGCUCAAUUUGCACCUGGUUGUGGAGAGUACCUUCAUUAUGCUUGGAGGAAUUGUAAAAACUUCACUAAGUCAAGGCAUCGAUAUUUCUCAUGACCAUGAUUUCUAUUCUUUCAUGGUUUUGUUUAGAUUCUGAAUUUUCCUUUAAGGUCCAAUCUGUUUUGUGGUAGCAAGUAUGUAAUAUUUAUUCGAUCCCAAGUUCAAGCCUCUUAUCAGCAUGUCUUAUCUUAUAAGGCGCUUACAGAGCUACACGAGUGUUCAUAAUUUGCUGGGAGAUUAUCAGAGAGAGUUUGUCAUUCCCCUGGUUUGGUUGCUUCUAAAACAGCUAAUAGUUUGCUUCUCUAAUAGGUUGUUUGAGUUCAUCUGAGUUGUAUUAAGCAGGAUAGUUUUACGUGAUCCAUAGCUAAUGUAGGAAUUGUUUAGUCUACUGUUUUAGUCUAGUAUUACGAUAUAUGAUUCUUUUCUUGAUUCAUCAAUUUGUAGCGCUAGCAACUCUCCUUUGUUAUUGUUAUUUGCGUGUGGUUUCAAGUUGGAUUCAAUUUGCAUUGUAAUUUUUAGUUUUGUUAAUGUAUUCGUACUUACAGUCUUACACCAUGCCACCACGUCUUAGCUAGUGUCGGUUGAAAGACUGACCAGCUAAGUCGCUAACCUUCUGCACAUCGGAGAUUAACAGACUUUGGAAUUUGAUGGACAACUUGAGUUCUAAUGUGUAUUUAGUUGGAUCAGAAGGGAAGAUAAUUUUAUCAACCCCAAAAUGGAACUAAAAGUCAGGUACACCUUACGAUUCUCUCCAUCUUUUACCUACGCCCCCUUUCAUUUCAGUUUCAAACUUGUUACAAUGUGUUAAAUUAAUAUAACUUUUCAUUUUUACAUAUUAAGUUUCACAUAUCUUAUUGAGUACAAUGCGAUAAUUGUGUAUGAGAUUAUAUUUGUUUUGUUUUUUUUGUGCCUUUUCUUCUUUUCUUCGCACUUCCAUGAAAUUUUUUUUGUCUUUCCAAUUAUUCAUGUUUGAAAAACCAAUUUGGCGCAGCAUUUUUACCCUUCUCUUUAGUGAUUAAUUGCUGUCUUUUUCACUAGCUCCUCCAAAUGCAGCUAACCUUAAAUGUAGCCGUGUUUUGUCCCUAUAAAUUGUUUCUCUAAUGCAGUUUUGACAACAUUACUGUAAAGCACCUGAAUCUAUUUAUUAUGUUUACGGGCCCCAAGUUAUUUCGUUGGUGUCCAUUGACAAGAAUGGUGCAAAGAAUGCUUACCUUCUAAUAAAAACUUAGAACUGUGAUGACCUCUCUGGUAAGUUAUUUCCACUGGGGUUGUUGAUUUAAUCAUUUGGGAUUUAAUUAUUUGGAAAUUGUAGGUUUUCUUCAUGGCUUAUCUGUAACAAUGAGAAAUAAGCAUGACAAAUUGCAACCAAGAUGUAGAUGCAACAUUAAUAACACUGUUAAGCAGAAUCAAUCGAACAGAACAUAUGCCUCCUUUACUUGCUGCAAGCUGUUUUCUUUUUCUUUGCUGCAAGCUGUUUUCUUUUUCUUUGCUGCAUUUUAGUGGCGUUCUUUUAUAAUAAUUUUAUUCCUUCGAAGUUUGAGAGAGAUUUCCAUGUCUGAAUGGAUGACAAAGAUGGACUUAAAUUCAUCAUUUGUAGGUGGAUGCUUGUUGGUGUGUUGUGGAGAAAAUCCAACAUUGUAUAAGAGGGUGUGCCAUCACUACCUGUCGAUUAUAGAUUAAAACCUUUCACAAAGGAAAUUCUUGUUGCAAUUGUAAUUUGGGGGUAAGCCCGCUUUUCCUUCUUUUCUGUCUAAUACCGUGAACUCUCAUGCAGUUAUAGGAUCAGUCGUUUAAUUUGUUUUAAGUUCUUUUCUUGAUUCUGAGAGAUACGUGAAUCAGUUUCUUCUAAACAGUGAUAGAAUUUGUUUUAAUUUUUCCCAUUUGGUGUUCUGUAUGAUUUUUAGUAGCAAAACAGAAUUUCUCUUUUUGUGUCGAGAGCCUUCUUUUGCCCUAAAAGUGGAAGUUUGAUUAUCUCCUCUCCACUUUAUAUUACGUUUUCGUUUAAAGCCCCAUCAAGCAUUUUAUCUUCAGUUUAUUUUGGUAGAAAACAUUUGAAGCGCACACGCUUUUGAACUCUCAUUGCAAGAAUUAUAUUUUAUGCCUUCUUCAUUUAUGGGUACAAUUUCAUACCUGCAUUUAGCUUAUAGUAUCUUUUCUCACUGCACCAACAUUGGAUUGCUAAUACAAUUUCCCCAAGUCCCUCAAUAUUUUUUUAAAUUUAUUAUCUAACAAUUCGCAAACUCAGGUCCCAGGCUUCCCCACUACAAAGGAUCAAAAUAUACCCACGGAAUUGGCAUCGAUGGUAAAAUUUUCUCAGUACCUGCGAUUGUAUAGAAAACUAAUAACUUUGGGCAGCUGCAAAAUCAAACAUUUUAGCCUCAAUUUGGCAAAAUCUAAAGCGAGCCCGUAUUUCGCCAAAGUUGAGUUCAUUAUAAGCUCACUGUUGUAGACACGGAGGCUCUAACCCAUGGGCAUUUGGCAAGUCUUAUAGAUCAGCUUGGUAUCAAGGGCCGGAUAAUGCUUGUGCGCAAAAAAAAGGUGUUGGAACUACAGAAAUUAUAAUUCAAAAGAGUAAUUGCCGGUAUGUGUGAAGGUAUGUUUUUCUAUCAUAUUUUGUUGCUGUCCAUAAUGCAGUUUACUCGUAAUCGAAAGGAAAGCCUAUAUCUCUCCAUUGCAGCCUGAUUUUCGGGAACUCCUGAGCAGAUCUCAGAUGUGUUCAUAUCAAUGAAAGGGGUGACUCAUUAUUUUGAUUAAUGAUUUCUUCGGACAUAAAGAAGAUUCUGUAAAUACUUACUCCAAAUCUCGCUUUUCAGGAUCUGAUGCAGAAGAAUUUUUGGAAGGAUUUUCUUCGCAGCUCUGGUCAGGCCAUUUGGUCUCAGUCGCAGUUUCUUUGUUUUUGAUUCAGCCCAGCCCGGAAUUCUAUUGUUCGACUCGGAAAAUUUUCAUUUAGGUUGGAUGUAGAAGCAUAUAUAUGCCGGCCUUGGGCUCAAAACCCGGCCUUGCCCGAAAUUGGUUCAUCGCGGCUUUUAAUGUCGUGCUAUUGAAAAUGUUAUCGUAUUAAAACCCUUUAAACAUAAUUUCUCUAUAAUAAAAAUAAAAAUUCUAAAUUAUGGGUUUUAUUUUCGAAAUGCUGGGUUUUGCGUGAGCUUUGUUGUUGUUGUUUCGCACAAAUGUUACACUCUCCUUUCAUUAGUUGAUUUUCACUCGUGAUUCGUCCUCGUUCGUGAUCUAAGCGAGUUUUUUUUUUCAUUCAAUUUGAUCCUAUCAAAGAAAACUUAGUGUCGGAAAAUCACCGCUAAUUUUUUUAAAAAAAAUAUGGCGAGUUAUUCGUUUCAUUCAUUGUAAAACUGAACUAAACAACAAGAACAAACUAGAUUGAGAUCACAAAACCGCAAAACUUAGGAAGUGCCUUUAAAAUUCUGAUCUUCUGUAUUGCGAUUGCUCGAUUUUUCUUCUUUUUUUUUCCUGAAUUGGGCACACUGACAAUUUGGUUACCACGUGCUGUUUCUUAUCUUUAUCCAAAUAUUAUAAAGUCUCAAUUCGUCUUCACGUAUCUUUAGGCUCUUUAGGCAAAAGAAUGAGAGCUUCCCAAUAAAAAUCAGAUGUUAUUGGAAAGCUGAAAAGUUAAACUGUUACGAAAUAGUAUUUAAAUAUAUUUUUUAUUUUAAUAUCAUAUUAAAUAAUUAUUAUAUUGUAAAAAUUUAAAUAAUUAAAAAAUAGUGUUUAAAUAUUUUUAUAUUUAACAUGAGUGUUUGUCGGAGAGCUCAGUGCAAUGGAUAAGCUCGAGCCCCAUUGAUUCCCCCUUCCGAUCGAAUAAACACCAUUCGUGGAAACGCACAUGGGCGACUACUUAGUCAAACCUCUUUUAAUCUUUGAAUCAUGUUUGCGUUUCCUUAUUAGCGUACGAUUUACGCGUCAAACGCGAGAGCGUUCGACGAAGUCAAGCUCGGAUGAUCACGGUCCAAAUACGAAUCCGAAGCUUCCACUGCCUCUUCCGGGAACUUUUUCUUUUUCUUUUUCUUCUUUUUUUUUUUUUUCCAAAUUAGUCUAUAAUUCAAAUUUUUAAAUUCGGCCUCUAUGAAGGGUCCACCAACAAAUUCAUAGAACCCCCUCGAUUAUAGGCUAUUUCGACAAUAUGUUUUUCGAUAAAUUUUCUUUUUUUGUGAGUGAUUACAAUCCCUUAUCGUUGUGUUUAAUCGACCCCUUUGUGGUUUUUUUAUAUUUUUAAAAAAUAAAGUAAUUAGCUACAGCUUUGAUAUUUGAUAUUAGGGGGCCAAAAACAAAUUUGUAUUACAGUAAACCAAAUAAUAAUCUAAGGGUGCGCCUACAUCAAAUUGGGCUGAAGCCAAUUAUAGUGUUUUUGAAAAGUUCGAGUUACGAACAUAUUCGUAUUACAACAGUAAACCAGAUAAUAAAAAAUAUAUAUAUUUACGAUAAAAAAAUUCCUUCAUCUCUUUUCACUUUGGAUAGAACAAACCUCCUCCCUUCUCUCCCUGAUUUUCACCAAUGAAGGUACAACAACACCCACCCCUGUUUUAUAUAGCAAUUUUUGGUCAAAAAUUGCUUUCUUAGUUAAGUUCAUUGGACAUGUCCAAUCAACUUUAGGUUAAAGAUGAUUUAAUUAAUAGUGAUCAGACCAAUUUCUUGAUGAAUAUGUUGACUUAAACCAUAAGAAGAACCAUUCUCUAACUAUUGAAUAUAAAAUAUAUAAGCGUCGUUCUCUUAUAGCUUAAAUUUUCAGAGAUAAACGAUUAUUUUAUACAAUUUAAUACGGUAUCAGUGCAGUGAAUCAUGAAUUCGAGACCCGCAAGACUCUUAACAUUAUUUAGUUUUCUCCCCUUUUUAUUAAGUCUACGUUUUGAGUAUAUUAAAAAGUUUCGAGUCCAAAUAAGAAGAGGCUUGUUAUUUUGAAGAUAAAUAAUUAUUUUAUAUAAUUUAACACUCACCCUAAUCAAAUCAUAUUAUUUUAAUAUAUAGAACUCAUGGCGCACACGUUUUGACAGUGUUUUCUUAAAAAGCAAUUAAGAAACAAUUGAGGGCAAAAGGAUUUAAUUUGGUCAGGGUGUCAACAUCAACAAAUGCAGUACUAAAUUGCCCUUUAUAAUUUAUUUUAUAUAUUAAGCUAAGAUGCUAGUAUUAUAUUUUUGGGAUGGUUCUAUCCUAAUUAGCACCUAAUGAUUAUUUGUAAGGUAAAUUACACUUUGGUCCUCAAACCAUGAGAGGCGUGACGCUUUAGUCCUCGGACUUUAAUUCGUUGCCCAUGGACUAAACAUUGUGCAUGACACUUUAAUCCUCAAAUUUUAAUUAGUUAUAAUUUUUUAUUCGAACUAUAAAGCAUGCGACAUUUUAGUCCUUGGACAUUUUGAAUUGUUGUAAUUAAAUUUCUUAAUACAAUUUUUUUAAUAAAUAUUAAUGAAUUUACAAAUAUCGAAAAAUUAUAAUAUUUUAAUUAUUAUUGUAUCAUCAAGUAAGAUAUUACUACAAUUCAAAAAAUUUGAGGAUUAAAAUAUCUUAUACCUCAUAUAGUUCGAAUAAAAAAUUAUAACUAAUUAAAAUUUAAGAAAUAAAAUAUCAGGCAUCUCACAAUUUAAGAACCAAAAGUGCAAUUUACCUUUAUUUUUAUGUUAUCAUUUUUGUAACCUAGUAUCUAACAAUGCUUUUGUUCUUUUUGCUUUUUCCUGUCCUUUUUUUUUUUUUGCUGAAGUAAAUCUUUUCUGAGAUAUCCAAAACUAUAAACUGUCAAAUAGUGUCAUCAAUAUUUUUGCAUGCACAAAUAUCUAACUUUUGAUUUCUAUAGUAGAGUAAAUAAUGCUCUUCUAGUCCGUGCUUCGAAGAUAGACGACAUAUAAAAUAUUAUUUCUCCGCAGUUUUAACUUGUUCAUCACAAUAAUUAUUUAUUGACGUCAGAAACCAAAAUAUCCCUUCAAUUGAAUUAGGUUGUUUUCUAAUUUUUAUGUUUGAUUUAGUAAUUAAAAAUAGAUUAAAAACACAAAUAAAUCUCAUAUAAAUUAAUAUCCAUUUUUUAUUUAUUUCGCCUAACUUCAAACAAUUUAUAUUUUACCCUAUCAAAAUUCAAGAAAAUACGCUUACUUUCAAGAAGAAAAACAUAAUUGUUUAAUUUAUUUCUAUACUUUAAGUGAUAUUUUACGGUUAUACAAUCAAAAACAAAUGGAACACGUGAUGAGCCCUGGGAGAAGAUAGCAAAUAUCAAACUUAAAAUUUACAACAUGAUAAAAAAAUGUUAAAUAUAAAAGUAUUAAAUAAUUAUCUCUACUUCUAAGUUUUUAGAGAAUAACGAGACUGUUUCGUAUAAUUAACAAAUAUCAAAUUGCUGAAAAUGUAGAAAGACAAAAACAAAAUGUCAAUGACGAUUUUUUUAUAUCUUAACUCUAAAAAAAACAGCUAAACUAUUAAAGAGAAAUUUAUGAACAUAAGUAAAAUGUUAAAUAAUCUUUUUUUUCUUCUCAUUUUGAGAGGUAAGACGCCCAAAAGCAGCAGUAAAACCAAAAGGUUUCAUAACCUUCACAUUUCCCCCUUUUUUUUUUUUUUUGGUAAACUUCAAAUACCACUCCGGUGGUUUCGCACUUUCUCACUUUAGUACCUUUUAGUUUAAAGUGUAUUAAUUCAGUACCCUGUCGUAUCAUUUUUUUUUUUUUCGUCAGCUCCUCCGUUAACAUUUCGUUAAAUUAUAUACAAAAAAUUUCAGAUAGCCUACCUAAAUUUAUUAAAUAUUCACUUUUAGUACCUUUUAGUUUUACCUUUGUCACUGAUUUAACAAAAAAAAAUUAAUAAAUAAGAUAAUAAAAAGAAAAUAAUAAAAUAAUAAAAUACAAAAUUAAUAUACUUUAAACUACAAAAUAUUAAAAUAAAAGAAUACGAAAUAACCAAAAUAGUAUUUAAAUUUUUUUUUUUUUUUGGUUUUUCUUUUGGCCUUCUCUUUUUUGGCCUCUGUUUGGGUCAAAGUAGCCGUCCAAACAAAGGCUGCGUCCUACAGCUUUUUCGAGAAGCCCUUUUGCAACUCCAAAUGACUCUUCUUUGCAUUGAGGGUUAAAAAAACAAAAAAAAGAAAAAUUUCAAAUAUUAUCUCUGUGAUUUCAAUUUUUUCCACUUUAAUAUUUUAUAAUUUAAAGUGUAUCAAUUUAGAAUUCUGUAAUUUUUUUCUUUUUUUAUUAUCGAUUUUACUUUUUUUUUGUUAAAUCAGUGACAAAGUUAAAAUUAAAAGGUACUAAAGUGAAUAUUUGAUAAAUCUAGGUGUGAUAUCUGAAAUUUUUUUGCAUAUAAUUUAACGAAAUAUUAACGAAAAAAAUAAUGAAAAGAUAAAAAUGAAACCAUAGGACACUAAUUUGAUACACUUUAAAUCACAUAAUACUAAAAUGAGAAAGAGCGAAAUCACAAUAGUGGUAUUUGGAGUUUACCAAAAGCAAAAGUGCUCACUAAUUAUUAGUGUACUAAUGCCAUUUGGGUAAAAGAGAUGAACUAUAUAUAAUUAAAUACUAAAAUUAUUUUAAUUUCUUUACCUUUUUCUUUUUGCUUUAUUUCCUCUUAUAAGCAUGUGCUUUUUCUGCGGAAUAAGUACUUACACUUUUUUUCUUUUUUUUUUUGAGAGAUAGAUAGAUAGCACGCUACCCGCUUCGUUUAUUUCAUUUAGAAAUAAAUUUAGCUAGAAAUGUGAAUUAACUAGGAUUCGAACUUGGGUCUCGAGUACCAACUACCAAGCCUUUUUGCCACUUGCGCUAGGAACGGUCGGUAUAAGUACUUACACUUAAAAAUGGUGUGGCGGGGUAUCCAUUUUUUUAAAUUUUUUAAAAAGUAUGAAAAAAUAAUUAUAAAAAAAAUUAUGAUUUUUUUUCUUCAGUGUUCCUUCGUCUGAUUUAAGAAAAAUUGAUUUUUAAAAUUAUUUUUAUAAUUUACAGAAAACUGGUGUUUUCGUUUCCCUAAAAAAAAAAAAAGAAACAUUAAUUUUCCAAAAAAUCUGAAAAAAAAAAGUUUUCAAAAAAAUUAAUGAUUUUUAGAACCACACAGAUGAAAAGUUGAAAAAAAAAAAUAAUUCCAUGAAAAACUUUUUUCUAGAAAAAUAUUUUUUUCAUAUUUUCUUGAAAAAAAUUCUAUUAAGUCCCGGAGACAUAUGCGACCAAUCUAGUAGUUGGUGGGUGUAAUUGUUGACGAGCAACAAAGGGGAUCGCUUAGAGAAAUUACUGCUUCAAUUAAAUUCGUCAUGCCUCGAUUUUGAAUAACAGAUUUUAAAUUUGAAUCCUGCAAAAUUAUAUAAUAUUGAGACUUUAUAUAAUAUAAAUUACUUUAAGAAAUUAUUUGAGAAGCAAGGUCAAUUAUAAGACAUUUGCUUNAAAAAAUCUUAAAUUAUCAUUAUAUUUAUGUUAUAUAAUAAUAUAAUAAUAUAUUUGUAUAAUAAUGAGUGAAUAGCAAAUAUAUACCUAUAAAGUUAAACUUUCAUAUAUUUUUUCUGCAAAAGUUCUAAUAUUUUUAAAUAUGUUCUUCUGAUUUGUUACCAUUGAAAAACUAUUUAUAUUUUUAAUUUUACCAAAAAAUAUGUCUCUGCACAAGUCAUAACACUAUAAUAUAAUACAAGUAAAAAUGUCAAAAUUUAAUCAGGGUUAAGUAUUUAACCUAUAGUUAACUAAAUUUUUUUAACGAAUUCUAACAAUAGGAAUAUAUUUGAAAACAUGAGGACUUUUACAGUGACAAUAUAUGAAAGUUGAAUUUUAUGAAAUUAUAUUUAUUAUUCACUAUAUUUGCAGAAACCUGUAUUAAAUUAACCUUAUAAUAUAAUACACAUUAAUUAAUUUACAGUGUAUGGUUGAUACCUGAGAGCUUGGUGGUUGGUAACCGAGGUUUUAAGUUCGAUUUCUAAUUGAUUCAUAUUUUCAGCUAAAUUUAUUUCUAAAUAAAAUAAACGAAGCAGAAAGCAUGCUACCUAUCUCUCUCAAAAAAAAUUAUAGUCCGUGGUUGGUAAGUCGUACAAAUAUGUGAGACAUGUUAAUUAAAUAGAAAGGUAGGUGUUACCAUCCGGGGACUUUUUUUAUAACCCUUCUUCAUGUCCUCAUCACUACAUCUUUAAUUAUCCAUCAAAAUAUAAUUAUUUUUUUCCUUACAAACUAACAUUUUUAGUUUCUAAACUAUGAGUCAGCGCGGCAUUUUGAUUUUUUAACUUUAAUUUGUUACAAUAAUAUUUUAUUUUGAUGUUUCAAAUUAUUUUAAUUAUGUUUUAAAAUUUAAUUUAUUUGAGUAAAUGCUGAUGUUUCAUUAAUAUAAAAGUGAUGUCACAAUAUAAUAUAAUAAUUAAAAAUAUAAUAUUAUUUUUAUAUUAAUUACACGUUAAUAUUUAAUUAAUUAAUUAUAAUAAAGUAAAAUUUAAUGCCCACCAAAAGUUUAAUUCAAACGUCCCUUCUUUGUGACGUGGCACUUUUUUAUUGGGCCAAAAUUUGGACCGGGGUGUCACACAUUCCACGUCGUAAGAAAGGUACCAAAUCCAUACCCAAACCUAUUUAAAAUAAAUAAAUUGUUAAGGAUACUUCUGAAUGUACCCCAAAAUAUAGUUUAUUAUAGUCAUUUUUUCUGAUGGUAAACUUUAAAUACCACUUUCGUGGUUUCGCAUUUUCUCACUUUAGUAAUUUGUGAUUUAAAAUGUACCAAUUUAGUAUCCUAUGGUUUCAUCUUUUUUUUUUUCGUCAGUCUCUCUGUUAAUUUUUUGUUAAAUCAUAUAUAAAAAACUUCAUAUACCCCACCUAUAGUUUAUUGAAUAUUCACUUUAAUGUUACUUAGUUUUAAUUUUAUUACUGAUUUAACGAAAAUAUUAGUGGAGGGGAUAAUAAGAAGAGAAAAAUAAAAUCAUAAGGUACGAAAGUGAUACACUUUGAAUUAUAGGGUACUAAAGUAAGAAAUUACGAAAUCACAGAAGUGGUACAUGAAGUUUUUUUCAAAAAUUUUUUUUUUAUCAAACUUAUCUACCUCUCAUGUCACGUUUGAAAUUUAAGACAUAGUGAAAACGAUGGUAACUAUGACAGUAUAUUUGUCUAAAUAAAAUUUAAUUUUCUUAUAACAUCUGCAAAUGAAACGAGUUUAAGCUUUUGUUAAACAAAAAGUAAAAAUAUACUCUUAAGGUCUAAAUGUUGCAUCCUAAUCAACCACAAUGCUUCUAUUUUAUUGCAAAAAAAAAAAAAUUAUCUAAAAACAUUUGAAAUGUAUAGUGAUUUUAAUAGUUCUUAUUAUAUUUAGUAAUUUAACUAAUAUUAUUGUAUUUUAUUGCAAGGCUAACAAGUGUCCUUUAUACAGUGGCGGAAUGAUAAUUGGAUUUGGUUUUUUUCUUUAUAUUUAGAAAUGGCAAUGAGAUACUAUUGGAAUCUACAACAUGUUUCUACGCUUGUUUUGCCAGAAAAAAAAGAAAAACAAUUCUAUAACUUCCUUGAAUUCUAUUGGUUAAAAAUCUACUGUCUUUUUCUUUAUUCUAUUUAUAGAAGUUUUCAAUUUGCGCAUGCAGAUUGAAACAUAGUUGGACAGUAUAAUUUUCAGCGUAUAUGGGACGAAUCUAAAAUACAGCAAAUCGCAAAUCUACAAUAGCUCUAAGUUUAUAACUAGUUGAAGCUUCUACCAUAUAUUCAUCUUAUUUCUUAUGCUUAUUUUGAGGCUCGAAUUUUUAAACUUAGUCAAUGUCAAAUUCGCUCCAUGCAGAAUAAGUCAAGUUUAGACACCCAAACUUGAACACGGCAUUUGCAUAUUAUAUUAUUUUUAGCCACAUUUCUAUUUUUCUAGAACUUUGGGUAGCUAUUGGUGGCCUACUUUUAUUCAACCAAAAUAAUAAUAAUAAUAAUAAUAAUAAUAAUAAUAACAAAACACGCAUUCUUAAUUUGGCGACAAAAUGGAGGAGGCGAAUUGAGGGGUCAAUAAUUCAACACCAUCAUUAUUCCAAGUCAAUUUAGGAGAAAUAAAAUAAAUAAUAUAAGAUAUAUAUAAAUAAUAGCUAAGAGAGAGAAAGAGGAAGCUAUUGUGUGAACCCGGUGCGCCCAUACACUUGUAAGAUUCCAGAUAGUUUUAUAUAUAAGAUAUAGUAGGUCUAAACUCUUAAUCUGAUUUAAGCAUUUUAGGUGGUGAUUAGGCCCAAAAGAUUAAGAGAAUUAAGCGUAUUAGAACGAGAGUAGUCAUAAGAUAGGUGAUUAUUUGAAAAGUUGGGACGUCACAGCAAAAGCAUGCAUUUGGUUUCGUCAAGAAACAAUGAACAACACAUUUGUAUCGAGCGUAUCAAGUUAUUUGAGAUGUAGUUUUUACAGUUCUAUCAAAAAAUAUUUCGCCCUAUUUUUUUUUUUUUUUAUUUAUAGUAUUAGACAUCCUUAAAUAACAUAUGAAUUCUUAAUAUUUUAUUAUGAGACCUUUAAUUUUGGUGGAUGUGUUCUAUGAUGUUAUAAAAAAUUACAUAUCAUGAGACCAAAAAAUAUCUUACUCAAAUUAAAUUGAAAUCAAGGUUUUUCAAAUGAAUUGCAAAACAAUUGUUGAAAUCAAGGUUUUAGUGCAUUUUAAGUUUUUUGUUUAUUUUAGCAUUUUCAUAAGUCGAAAUUUCUUCUGGCACUCUAACUUUGGAAUAUAAAUCACGCCAUCUUUAAAACAUUAUCAUUAAACAUNUCAAGGAUUUUCAAAUGAAUUGCAAAACAAUUGUUGAAAUCAAGGUUUUAGUGCAUUUUAAGUUUUUUGUUUAUUUUAGCAUUUUCAUAAGUCGAAAUUUCUUCUGGCACUCUAACUUUGGAAUAUAAAUCACGCCAUCUUUAAAACAUUAUCAUUAAACAUUAAGAUUCUAUUUGGAUGUAAAAAUAUUUUUUUUGUUAAUAUAUUUUUAAUUUACUUAAGAAAUUUAAUAGUAUUUGAUAAAAAAAGAGUAUGAUUAAUAAAUAUUCAGACAAAAUAUCACAUUUCAUUUUCAAGUCAACUUUUUUUUAAAAAAAUAAGAUAAAUUAUUUUAUUGACAAAAUAUACUAUCCUAAUAAGUUAUUAGUAAAACUGUAUAAAACUUACCUGAACUAUAAACCAUUUUGAUUCUGUUAUAGCACCCAAUCUUUUUAUUUAUUUGAAUGAACUAAUUUGAUGACUCUUCGAAUGCAAAAUCUAAGCUAAUCGCUUACUUUAAUUAAUUUAAAUGCAUUGAGAUUUUAAAGUCAGACAGUUACAAAUUGACUCAAAUUAAAUAAAUUAAAAGAUUGGACGGUAAAAUUAAAAUUUUUAAAGAUUAAUCAAAAAAGAAAAUAAUUGAGGCGGUUGUUUGGUUCUCAGAAAAAUAUGAAAAAGAAAAGGGUUUUCUAGCAGUUUUUCGUCCACUUGACUUUUUAAGAAAAACUAGCUUUUUUUUGAAAACUGGUUUUUUUGUUUUAUUUUGUAAAUUCAGAUAACAAAAAUAUUCACUUACCAUAAAAUUUAGACGGACUAAAAAAUUUAAAAAAAAGAAUUUUUAUGAAAAAUUAUUUUUGUAAAUUUUUUUUGGGACAAUUGCUUAUAUAUUCUUGAAAAGUUACUAACUUUCUAAUUUAUCUUUCUUAGAAGGCUAAUAUUAUAUUCCAAAUUAUUUCAAAUAUACUUCUAGAGUUAAAUUCUGAUAAUGAACUGUUAGCAAUAGUCGUUAUCUCUGUAAAAUUAUUAUUUUGUAUUUUCAAAUAUAUUCUUCUGCCAUCACCAAUUUUUCUUACUUGCUCUUAAGUUAGGGUACAAAAAAUAUUUUGAUUUUUAGUCUUUUCAAAUACACCCUUCUAUCAUCACCAAUAUUUCUUAUUUGUCCUUAAGUUAAAGUCAAAAGAGAUAUUUUAAUUUUUUUAAAACUUUAAUAGAUAUUUAACUCACAUUUAAUCGAAGUUAACUUAACGGAUUGUAACUGUAGGGGUAUUUUAGAAUAACGGAGGAACAUAUAAGAGAUAUAUUAAAAAGAGAAAAAAAAGGGGGCAAAUUAGAUAUUUUUAAAAUUUUGAGGGGUAUAUAAGCAAAUAUAAUUUUUGUUUUCAUACUAUUCCGAGGUCAAAACAGGACGUGAGUGCGGUGCAUGAAUUAUAUAAUACACCAGGUGCAAUGUAACAGUUUCCAAAUGUUAGAGAGAGAGAGAGAGAGAGAGAGAGAGAGAGAGAGAGGUAUAGGAACAUUGAUACAGGUACGCUUGUCUCACGUAAUUCCUUUCCCACCCCUCUCUCUCUCUCUCUCUCUUUCUCUCUCUCUCUCUCUUUCCCACAACAACACAUCUUUAAAAACGCAACAUCUCUUCUUCUUCUUCUUCUUCUUCUUCUUCUUCCCCACCCUCCCCGACACCCAAAGCGUCGCUAAACCCCUACCCCCUUCUCUCUCUCUCGCGCUCCCUCUCCUUCCUCGCGCGAAACCCUAGUUUCCUCCUAAUCUCCGCAAGAAGGGAUCGGGAACAGGAGCAGUGGAGGUGAUGAGGCCGCCCCCUGUGGUGGUCGUGCUCCUCCUCCUCCUCUUCGCCGCGGCGGCGGCGGCGGGGAUUGAGGGGUUUCCGAAGAGGAUGAGGUUGGAGAGGGCCUUGCCCCGCCAUGGAGUCGCGUUGGAGCACCUCAAGGCGCGGGAUAGGGCUCGCCAUAGCCGGAUGCUCCUCGGCUCGUCGUCGCCCUCCGUCGAAGGGGUCGUCGAUUUCCCCGUCGAGGGCUCCGCGAAUCCCUUCACCGUUGGGUACCCUUUUCGAUCCCUCCUGCUUAUUACGGUUCCGGGAACUCUUCUUUUGCUUAUUUUUGACGUGUCUCUUUCUUUUCGUUUUUGAUGACUUUUUGUGAUUGAAUCUUCGCUUUUCAGCGAAAUCUCUCUUAGGGUUCUGAAUUGGUUUGUUGUAUGAUGUGCCUUUCGUUUUCCUCUCCUCUCUUGGCUUUCUAUAUUUUAGAAUUUUCAAGAAUUUAUGAUGAAGAGUUUAGCGUUGUUGGUAUCGGUUCUUUAAUUAUCUGCAAGUGUGGCUUAUUAUCGUGGAGGGAAAAAAAAAGGUCAAAUUUUCUUCUUUUUGGCAAUAAAGAUGUGUUUUUUUUUUUCCUUUUAUUUUCCUGAUUUUGGGUUUUAAAUUCUUAGGCUUUACUUCACGCGCGUGCAAUUGGGGAAUCCGCCGAAGGAAUUCUACGUUCAGAUCGACACCGGAAGCGAUAUUUUGUGGGUGGCUUGCAAUCCCUGUAAUGGAUGCCCCACAUCCAGCGGAUUAAAUGUGAGGCCUCCCAUUUCGUCAAAUUCUUCUUUUUCUUUCACAAUUGUGUGUUUUUUUUUUCUUUUUUGUUUCAUAUCGGUUAAAUUGAACGCAUAAUCUUGCUUUUUAUAUUGGUGAAGAAUGUUUGGAGACCCAACUCCAUUUUUAAAUUGAUGCCCCAUCAAAGUUUAUUUGUUUCUCAUUUGAGUAACUUUUGUUGGUUGUUGAAUUGGAGGUUUUGUUGAAUUUCACUACGCUCCGCCAGCUUUUCAGCUGAUGGAACUGUGGAUUCAAAUGGUUAAUUUAAUGGCCGAUAACUAACGAAAAUGAGCCAGAGUCGAAGCAUCUAAAAUUUGAGGGGGCCAAUAGAAAAGGACUAAUGUUCGAGGGACUAUUUCAGUAUGGCUUGAAUAUUUUGUAAUUUUCUUUUUUCAGAUUCAACUAGAGUUUUUUGACCCCGACAAGUCAUCUACUUCAUCGAAGAUCGCUUGCUCAGAUAAUCGGUGCACAUCUGCCCUCCAGUCCGGCGAGGCGAUCUGCUCCACUUCCGGCUCAUCAAGCUCUCCGUGUGAUUAUUCUUUCCAGUAUGGUGAUGGAAGUGGAACUUCUGGGUACUAUGUAUCUGAUACGAUGUACUUCGACACUAUUAUGGGGAAUGAGCAGACUGCCAACUCUUCAGCUACGGUUGUUUUUGGGUAAGAAUAGUGUGUGAGUUUGUUUGAUAUACUUUAUGAUUGGGAUGUUCUACUAAAUUAUAUUCUUUUUUUUUAAAAAAAAAAUCCAUCCUGUAGCAUGGGGGGUUUGGAGGACCCAUACCUAUAUAUAUAUAUAUAUAGCAUCAAUUAUGUUUAAAAGGCAAAUAUUAUACUAUAAUUUCAUUAUAGAAAAUAUGCAGUCUAACAAUUAUUCAAUAUUUCAAUUAAUGUUUUAUAGACAGUGACAAGAAAGACUUUUGCUUCUUUUUAUAUCUAUUGCAAGGCUGCAUGCCUUUGGCACCACUAAUUUCAAACCAGAUUUUGCAGAGUUAGUCAUUUUGAUUUCUUCUAAUUGAUUAGGCUGAAUAAUUCAUGCAAUCAUUGGAGACAAAUGUCUAGGCGUCCAUAUCAGGCCAUUAAUAGGAGAGUUCCGACAAAACAAGAUAUUCUGAAUUAUUAGUUCACGUACUGCUCUCGUUGUUGUUUUCAUGUGAUCCUGGGACCCAAAUAGUCAAAAAGCAUUAUGCAGUAUGUGACAGUUGAUCGAUGCAGUAUGUGGUGCAUGUGCGUUUAGCAAUUAAAAUAAUAAAACAAUAUAACUUAAAACAAUUGUAGUAAUACACUUCUUAUAAUUAGGAUUGUAUAAAUGCACUAUAACUUGGCUAAAAUGUAAAGCAUAUUAUAAAGUUCAAACCGUGAAAUAGAAUCACAAAACUGCCGAACAAAAUUUACCAGAGAAAUAGGACACUAACUACACUUAAAAAAAAAAAAACAGAGCAUAUAGGANGAGAGGCCGCAUAAUAUUAUACGGCCAAUAUGUGGCCGCAUAUUAUUAUGGGGACUGCAUAUGAGGCCCAAUAUGCGGACCGACCACAUAUACUAUCGUAUAUUGAUACCCGGUGCAUUUAAGAACCGCAUAUGCGGUGCGUAGACCGCUUUUUAAAACCAUGGCAUAACGUUUUUGGCUGCAAAAAUUAUGUAUCUGCUACUGACAUGGCUGUAAGAAGUGGUAUAUUACAUCAAUAUGAAUUUGAACUUUCCUCUUAAGUUUCACUUAGUCCUUGAAGCAUUUGACUAAUAUUGUGUAAGUGUUUCUUUAUAAGUCCCCCCUGCAAGCAUGAAUGUUAUAUGUGUAAGGAAAUUCUAAUGUGCCUUCCAAUUACUCAAAAUUUGGAUAUUGAUAUUUUGUCAAUUGGCUACAGUCAUGUGCAAUUUAUAGUUUUUGCUUAAGGAUUGAACAUCAUGAUGCAAUUUAUUUCUGUUAUCUUUGCUAGAUAAUAAGUUAUGUUAUGCUUUUUCCUUAAACAGAUGUAGCAACUCACAGUCAGGAGACCUAACCAAGCCAGAUAGGGCAGUUGAUGGGAUUUUUGGGUUUGGACAGCAUGACUUGUCUGUCAUUUCACAAUUGAACUCUUUAGGGGUGGCUCCUAAGGUGUUUUCUCAUUGCUUAAAAGGUUCAGAUAAUGGUGGAGGCAUACUUGUUCUCGGUGAGAUUGUAGAACCGGGAAUAGUCUACACCCCACUCGUACAAUCACAGUAAGUGAUAUUUGGUAAGAGUUCUAGGGUCUGAUUGGCCCUGUGGCUCUUUUCAAUGUUGGAUUUACUCAUUCCAUACUUUAUAUGAAUGGUCUUUAAAUAGCAGAGUUUUAUAGUAAUUUGCUUAUUUUAUUCUAUGCACGCUUUCUUCUUUUGGUCUUUCUUCUCAUGAAUGAUGCAACUGUUGCUUGUUCAACUUUGCUUUGCUCUCCUGGGCUCCUUUCACCAUUAGUUUGUACAUGCUUUUUCCGGGAUAGGACAAUCAAAUAUGUACUAUGUAACAAAAAUCUUCCUAAAAGAGAAAAUGAAUACAUUGCAUCAUCUACUUCUCAUACUUUCGUUCUUGCAUAAACAGCAUAUUAUCAGGCUGAUAUACUCUUCGUAAAUAGCUUCUUGUUGUAUCUCUUUAUCAUCUACCUUUGAUUGCUGCUUUUUAAGCUGGAUGUGAACUUGUUGAGUGUGCAUACAAUAUUCAUAGCUAUUUACAACUGCAUUGCAAUAUCUCAAUGUGACUGCAAAGUGUGAGAACUUUUAUUUCUGCAUUCUUUCUCUUCUCUUCUUGUCUAAAAACACAUUGGUGACUAUUAUAAAAAUGUGAACUUAAUUGGUUGAGGUUGCAUAAUUUUAAGCACACACUUAAUAAUCUCAAAUUCAUGAAAUAGUUGGUAUUAGAUACUUUUAGUUAAGAAGUUCUUUCCUUGUCAUCUGGAGAUAAACAUGAUUGUCUUACAGCAUCUGACAAAAAGAUGCUUUAGUAAUGGCGCUCUCUUUAUUACCUUUAUAGGCCUCAUUACAACUUGAAUCUUGAGAGUAUUGCUGUCAAUGGUCAAACACUGUCUAUUGAUUCCUCACUGUUUGCGACAUCAAACACACAAGGAACCAUUGUUGAUUCUGGGACGACUCUGGCUUACCUUGCAGAUCAAGCAUAUGAUCCUUUUGUUAAUGCUGUAAGUAUAAUAUAUUUUUACUUCUCCAAGUGAUUUGAAAACUACAGGAUUGUACUUGCGUAUGCUCUUGAACUACUCUUUCUUUAGUUGUGGGCAAACUCACAGAGACAGCUGCUCCUACCUGGACCAUCUAGUGGCUUAGGAGAUCGAUCAAUUUAAGUUGAAAACACUCUGUAAUGUUUAGCCUUGUUUUUGUCCGAAUAUAGUGCCAACCUUCUAUGUGAUUAAUUUGACAUAAUGAGGAACAACUAGCACCAGUAAGUCAAUAAUUAAUAGGAAAAUAACCAGAAAAGUAGAAACUAGAAAGUAAACACAAAAGAUGGAGAAACUACAAUUGUACGCUAUUGAACAUUUUAACCUUGUUAAUCUAAUAAAUGUCACUCCCCACUAUAUUCCUUAAUUUUUGAAUGUUCAUUUUGCUAUUUCUACCCACCACUUUGUCAAAUAUUCCAAAAAGUCAAAAUUUUAACUGGAACAUCUAAGAUGUGUGGGUUGCUUGAAAGUUCUAUGUUAUCAGAAUGUAUCAAAUCUCAUCAGCUAAAUCAUAUUUAGAAGAAAUAUGAGCCAUCUAAGUUAACCCUGUCCACGUCUUCAAGUAACAUUUAAAUUUGGUGUGAAUUGAACAUAAAAAAUGUGCUCAAAAGCUUUAUCCUCUUGAUCAUUGUAUAAUGAUAAUUUUGCUUACAGUGAAGGCUUUUCACUCUGUGCAGAUAACAUCUUCUCUCUCAUCGUCAGUACAUUCCUUUAUUGUAAAAGGGAACCAAUGUUUUCUUACAUCCAACAGGUUUUUAUUCUUUUAACAAUAGUAAUUCAUAAUCUCAUAUUCUGUAAAGAUGUUCAGUAGCUUAUUAUUCUAUAUAAUCCCUGCUUCUGUGUCAGUGUUGAUUCAUCAUUUCCAACUGUUUCAUUGAAUUUUAUGGGGGGAGCAACCUUGUUAUUAAAGCCGGAGGACUAUCUUUUGCAGCAGGGUUCUGUCGUAAGUUGCUGCACAUGUUUCUUCACUCUACAAUCUGAUUAUCCGCUUUUUACCACUAACAGGAUGAGUCUGUACUUUCAGGCUCGUCCUUUCUUUCGAACUUUGUUUACCUUUUCUUUAAUAUCCAUACACAUUUCUGUUUGCAGGAUAAUUCUAUUAUAUGGUGCAUUGGCUGGCAAAAGAACCAGGGCCAAGAAAUCACAAUAUUAGGAGGUAUGUGGAAGAUUUUUUUUUAAAAAUUAAAACCUCCUCCUUUUCUUGUAACAUGCUGGUAAAUAAACAUUGUAGCCACACGACAGAUACAUGUUACUGGAACAAUAUGAUAGUAUUAGGACUAGUAGGUCUAAUAUGAAUUUUUAACCAUUUAAAUCAUUUACAUCAUGAAUUUACUGUUUAUACUUUGCCUGCAAGAUCCCAAGAUGAGAGCCUCAACCUUGUUGCUUAGAUUUCAUAGUUAUACCUAAUUAACUAUAUGGAGCGUGUGUGUGUCAUUUAUGUACUAGUCUCUACCUGUAGGAACCUCAAAUCAAAUGACUAGAGUACUAUAGUUGGCAGUUGACUUUCAACCCAUGAGAUAGUCUUAGUCCGUUGUCUUGAGAUCUAAAAUUAACACUUAUUUCUGAUGCAUGGUCUGGCUUAAGGAGAUGUGUUGGUUCUGAUCCUCAUUAGAAUCCAUUACCUUGUCAAUCAAAAUUUUAGCUUUUCAGUUUUAGUCUCUGUAUUGUGGGAAAAGCUUCACACACUUUUAUACCUUAUGAUUUACUAUAGUAUUAAAUUUGUGGCACUUCUUUGCUUUUAGUUAUUAGAAUCCAUUUGGAAGUCAUUUUAAGGAAAAGGAAUAUACCAGAAAAGAUGGCUACUGAGCAAAUAUCGGAAUAAUAGUACAUGAAAGAAAAAUAAAGACAAUACACUUAUUUCCUGUAAUCAAAUUAAAUGGCCUUUUUGACUGGUCAAGUUAUUAAAUGAAGUUAAUUUUGCAGUUACAACUUUGAAGAUUCUACUGCAGAAUUUUUAAUUUGUAGAUUUAUUGUUUUUUUAAUAACAUACUUCAAAUGGACUUUCUUUUAUAAGUUGAUGUUGACAAACAUCAAUACACAAUUUAGCUAAUUAAAAAAAGGAUUGUAGGCUUGUAGUCGGAAAGGAUAUACUGUUGCUCAUCCAUCAACAGUUUUUGUUUUACUUUGUUAUUGUUAUUCAAUGAUGAGGCUUACAUUUUCAAAUAAAGCUUAUUCUUUUUAGAGUGCCUUGACUUUUAAAUCUUAAUAUACAUUAUCAUGUAUCAUUUUAUAGUUCAUUGAUAAUUAUUUCACAACAUAUUUUUUCUAAUAAAGCUUAUUCUUUUAGAGUGCUUUGAUAUUUAAACUCAACAUAAGUUAUUCUGCACCACUUUAGAUUUUAUUGAUGACUUUCAUUUUCCUGGCAGAUCUUGUUUUAAAGGACAAAAUUUUCGUUUACGACUUGGCUAAUCAGCGUGUUGGCUGGGUGGAUUAUGACUGUAAGUAUAACAAUCAUAAAACGAACACUUACUCUAAACAAUAAAGGCGAAGGUUUUUUUUUUUUUUUUUUUUUCCAAAGUCAAUUCUUAGAUUGUAAAGUUUGCCUCCACUUUUCUUUUCUGUUCAGGUUCCAUGUCUGUUAAUGUUACUACAUCAUCUGGAAAGAAUCAGUAUCUAAAUGCCGGGCAAUUGGAUGUAAGUGCCUCACCAAACACCGCAUUUUAUGGGAUAAUGCCCGCUGGAAUUGUAAUUUUCCUUGUGCAUAUUUUUGUUCUGGCCAUCUCACAGAGAUAGCAACAUACGCACACGCACACGCACACUUAUGUUAUUCAUUCUUUAUUGAUGUAUUCGGACAUCAAUGACUCGAUUACUCACACCAAUUGCUAUAUCAUUCUUAUGUAAAUUCUUUAUACCACAAUGUAUGUAAUGAUUAAUUGCAUUCACAUUUUUCGCCGUUCUACAUCAAUUUUAUUACAUUUCUGUGCUGAUAGUAGGCUAUGUUUACUCUGCUUUUUCAAACUGCUAGCUACCGUAAUGCCUUCGAGAUGAUGUAUAGAUACUUAAGCUCAUUGAUGUUUGUGUAAAAACAUUUGUAGUGUAUGAAAUAGCUUCUUUUAUUUUUAUACAUAAUGAUCAAUGAUCAGGUAGGAUACAACUUAUCUUUAGUACUCUGCUGUGUAUUGGCCAACUCUUUAUUCUUUUCCCUUUCUUUCAUCUCUAACUUUUGCUAGUUUUAUAAUCCUCACUUUAACCUCACUGACUCUUUUCUCCCUUCUUUUAAUAACUUUUCCCUACUCACUGUUUUCUUCUCGAUUCAUCUGGAACUUGUGUGACAUUCCACCUGUUCACACAUACCAUGUGCUUGUGUAGGAUAAUGAUGUUCUGUAAAAAGAGCUAUGUGCCUAAUUUAUCACUGUUGCAUUCUAUUCUGAUAAAUCUCUUUAGGUGUUUUUUUCUUGUUUUUGGAUUGUUAAAUCAAUUUUGGCAAAUACAUCAAUAUUUUCUUUUUACUACAUUAUUAUGAAAACCACAGCGAAAACUAGAAUGCUUCCAAUAUAAUGAAUGAUGGAUUCUUAAUUGGAGUCGCCUUUUUGUUUCGUUCCAUUUCCUUCCAAAUUUUUCCUCGCUUUUGCUUUCAUUUCAUCGUAUUUUUAUCAAACACCUGGGCCCAACGUUGAAAAGCAACGAGAGAUUGAAUAUAACAAUUUAUAAAUCCUAACAUUUGUUUGGAUGUACGAACAUAUUAUUCGGCGCAUCAUCUUGUAUUUACUGAAAAAAAAUACAGAUAAUCAUAGAUGUGGGGUGUGAUUACCUGUAUGAGUAUGAAAAUCAGUUCCUGUUACUGACUCUUUUCUAGUCAACAAUAUCUAUAGAAUCAACAGCUCUUUAAUUUGUUCAUCGAUUUAUGCGAAUAGUUUCUGCAAGAAACGAAUGAAUGAUUCAACAAGGGAACGCUACGUUGCACGUUGGUUUAAAGUAAUUAUUGUGUAGGCCCACAAAGAUCCCAACAGGGAGCGUAAAUUAUAUAAUAAUAUGAUCACCAUUCAAAAGAUGAGUAAGCUUUUCAACAUUGUCAAAGUAAGGAUUCGCGUUCAACAGAUCGAGUCCACGGCCCAGAAAAGUCUUAGCUGCUACGCAUGCUUACAUACUGGACAGAAGAAUACAUUGUUGACUAAUAAGAACUUAAGAGAUACAACAAUCCUUGUGUAGAUGAGAAUGAUAUAUGUAAUCAUAAAAUAAGAGGAUAGGAAAGAGGGGUUGUAAUUGGAACUGGAAUUGUAGAUUUUGUUAUUUUAUACGUAGGAUGACGAAAUUACCUUAAAAAACAAAGUUUAUAUUUUGUUUUUGUUUUUGUUUUUUUUUUUUUUUUUUUUCCUGAGGCUAAAAAACAGCAAGUUUUUCUCUUUUAGUACCUGUUUUUGGACAAAAAUUCUAUGGGCACCGGCCUCAAAUUAGUUAGUUUGGGGCCGGUCCCCGAUGGGCGCCGCAUGGCACAGGCGCCACGCGGCGCCCAUCCGCCACUGCUCUCCCAAUAUGGGGAGAGCAGUGGAAUUUCUGGGCGCACCUGGUGCAUGUAUACCAGGUGCACCAUAAUUGUAAUUUGUUUAAUUUUUUUAAAAUUGUAACUUAAUAUGGUAGUAUAUAUGUUAUGAUUUAAGAUUUAUAUAUAUGGUCUGUAAUUCAUGAUUAUUGAUUUAGAAAAUUAAAAUUUUAAAAUAAAUUUAUUUUUGGUUUCGUGGAAUAGCGUGGAUAAUUUUUAUUAUUCCUAAUUUUUUUUCGGAACCAAAUAUAAUUUAAAAUUUUAAUCUCUACAUGAUAACUCCUAAAUAAAUAAAUAAAUAAAUUAUUACAUAAAAUUGUAAUUUAAAAAACUAACAAUUAAAAAUUAAUUUUAUGGUGCACCUGGUAUAGAUGCACCAGGUGCACCUAGAAGUUCCAAUGCUCUCCCCAUAUUGGGAGAGCAGUGGUGGAUGGGCGCCGCGUGGCGCCUGUGCCAUGCAGCGCCCAUCGGAGACGGGCCCCAAACUAACUAAUUUGGGGCCGGUGCCCAUAAAAUUUUUGCCCCCUAUUUUUUUAAUUUUUUUCGUGAUUUUUGAAAUUUUAUAUAUUUUUUCUUAACAUUUUAGAAAUGUUUUCAGAGAAUUACGGUGUUAAUGAAGAGGGCGAAAUGACCGAAUUGUCUUUACUUGUUUUAUAAGAAAAAAUAAAUUUUCAAUAUAUUUCUAUCAAUUUUUAAGAUAUUUUUUAGUACAAAUUAUAAAAAAGGAUGAAAUAGUGACAAAAUUCUGAUGGUGAUAGAUUAAAUGUAUUAGCUUGAAAUUUUGAUAAGGUAACAUAUAGAUUUUCGAAAAUUAGAACCAAAAAGUAAAAAAAAAAAGGUAUUUAUGGGGGGAGGCUCUUUUUCUUUAUUUUAAAAGCAGACACACAGUUAAGAUUAUUUUUGAUGUAAAAUUAUUUUCUUUAACUACUGCAUAUUUACCCGUACACAAAUUGGAUGCAACUAAAUCUGCAAUUAAAUUAGGCCUUCAUCUGUAAUAAUAAACUAAACAUAACUUUAAGUUUGCCAGUACUUGCAGAUUCAUUGCAUGUUAAAUUACAACCUGAAAAAACUUCACCCAAAUAACUAAACUUAAAAAAAGGUACAGUAACUACAUGUUCAUUUACUUGGCUCAUGGAGGUUUCUUAGAUUAGUUUUAAUCUAAGAAACCUCCAUGAGCCAAGUAAAUGAACAUGUAGAUGUUUUUGUUGGAUUAUAUAUAAUUAAUGAUGAUGGAGCUUUAAUUAGAUCACUAUUUAGCAAGACCAUAAAAAAACCAUAGUACAUAGUAGUGAACAUUAAUUAUUAUGUUUGAUGAUCCUUAUCAACAUUACAUAAAGUCAAAGAUACAUAUAUAUUUUUUUUCCUCUUUGUGUUAUUCUUUGUGAUGAUCGCUUUGGAAACACGCAUCUUUUGCAUGUCAUAGUCACUGUGACGCUCUACGUAGACAUCUACAUAUCAUCAAUCUAGAAGGUUUUAACAAUCAAAUGGUUUAAUUUGUAAGAAGAAUCUCACCAAUGCCACCAAUUCUGGGAAAAGCUUUGGGACUUGGAUUGCGACAUCAAACCAAUCCAAUGUGUAGCCCAUUUCUUAAUUCCCUUUUCAAAGUUACCAUUUUAGUUUUGACUUAGAUUAGUUGAUGUAAAAGUUUUGGAUUAAUUAAACCUUGAUCCAGUUCAUGUUAGGUGGCAAUAACAGCAACCAAGGAUGUGUGUGUAUAUAUUAUAUAUAUACUAUAUAUUAUAUAUAUAAAUUAUAUAUAAAGGAGGCUGUUGCGCUCUCAGGAGCACCGGAGGCCUCGUGCUCUGAGCGUUUUUCGAUGAUGCGAAUUUUCGAAAUCGACGAUCGCUCCGUUAGACUUGAUCUUAGCGCAUUUAAAGUUUCUAGAAAUAAUUUUUGCCGAUUUUUCGAUAUCAUUUACCUAGUGAUAGAAAGGAUUCAAAAUCUAUAAUUUUUAAUGGUUGAUAUCUUGCCGUUUUCAAGUUUAAUGGUGUAGAAGUAUUCAAAUCAGAUAAAAUUUGAUAGAAAAUUCUUUAUACUAUCUACAACAAGAUUUUAUUUUUGAUCGAAAAUUUUAGUGCUAUAUCACACUUUUUAUAGAAUUUUUAUUUUCAACCGUUAAAAAUUAUUGAUUUUGAAUCCUUUUGAUUGCUAGGUAAAUGAUAUCGAAAAAUCGCAAAAUUAUUUUCUAGAAACUUUAAAUGCGGUAGAUCAAAUUUAAACGGAGCGAUCAUCGAUUCGAAAACUCCGAUCACAGAAAACGCUCAGGAGCACGGAGCCUCCGUGCUCCUCGUAGCCACAGCAGCCACUGCUAUAUAUAUAUAUAUAUAUAUAUAUAUAUAUAUAUAUAUAUAUAUAUAUAUAUAUAAUAUAAUAUAUAUAUAUAUAAUAUAUAUAUAUUAUAGAUUCAUUGAGUGAGAUAAGGGAAUCUAAAAACUGUCGAAGAAAUUGAUUUUCAAGCUAGAAAAGAGUUUUUUCAAAUGUUUAGCUUUCACGCAAGUACUUUAGUUUCCUAAGAAGUAUAUUUACCUUCUUUAGAAAAAUGCUAGCUUUGAUUUUUCAAAUAUUGUUUCGAAGCAAACUGAAGAUCAAUCUAUCUGUUGCAAACAAACACGCACGUGCUUCAAAACUAUUUCGUUUUUCGCCAAGAGAAUUAAGCAGCGGUAACCAAAAGUUUUUUUUUUUUUCAACGAAUAAUACUUUUCUUCUGAAAACCGUUCUUGAAACUUUUUACGUAGACAUAAAUGUUGAGAGACGGCGUGCUUUAUCAGCGAUAUAUUGUAAUUAUUAUUAUACAUGAAAGAUUAUAAAGAAAUGUAGCCAAAUGAAUCUACUAUAUCUAAAUUAUGUUUCAUCGAUCCUUCUUUCAUUAAUGAACAUACUAAAUGCAUGUAAAUUAAUAAUUAUAAGGUGAUAAAAAGAGAGGUAAAAUAUGUAAAAAAUCGAGAAUCAUAUUUUUUUCGUUUGCGUUUUGACUUGUCUAAGCCCCAUUAUAUUAUUGUAGUAAUAAAUUGGACCUUAAUCAUAAAAUAAAUAAAUUAUAAGCUGAUAAUAAACCCAGUAUUUUUCUACAAAAAUCAAGCAUCAGAAACAAAUUAAUAUACAUUUUGAGACCACUCUAACCAAAUUCCUGAGGGAAAUUCACGUGAUUUACUUUUUCGUUUAUAUGAUCGAAGUUUCACACGUGCAAAUUGAGUGGACUCUAACACUUGCUUUACAUUCUGUUAAAAAGAGUUAAUUUGUAAAAAAAAAAAAAAAAAAAAGAAGAAAAGAAAAGAAAAAGAAUCCACUUGUGCUUUAAUAUAUAUGCAUCAUCAUUAAUGUGGCCUCUCUAUAAGGAAUAAAUUUCAAUCCUGCUUUACUAUAUUGUCACAAAAGUUUAAAAUUUUGAAAUGUAUUUACUCGAGGAUUCACAUAAAAUUAAAUAAAUUGGUUCAGUAGCUUAUAACCUAUUUUUGUUGGCUAAAUAUUGACAAAUUAUUUAAUAUAAGUUCAAUGUGAGAGUAUUGUAUUAAUGAUGCAAUGAUAAUUAAGAUGCUGCAUCACUUUUAAAUCAACCAUACGUCAAUAUUUAGUCAGUUAAAUUAGGUUAUAGAAACUUGAUUGUAAUAAUUCUAAAGUUCGAAUUAAAAAUUAUAAUAAAUUAAGGUUUAGAACCAAAAAAUUACCCGCCUCAUAGUUUUAAGGACCGGACAUGCAAUUUACCCUUUAUGUAAUUUUAGUCAGGAAGGAAAAGAUAAAUUAUUGCUUCUUUGGGAAUCACUUACUGACUUUUUUUUUCUUUUUUUUUUUUCCUUUUUUGGUUGCUUAUUGGUGUGGUGCUGAAUCUUUGUGAAGUGCUUUAUUAAUUCUUGUUUGGUUUUCCUUCUCCAGUAAGACAUUUUUGUUAGUUAUUUUUAGAAGUGAAUAUGAUACUAUUUUUCCUUGUUUGUUAAUUAUUAAUUCUUGUUUAUUUUGUUAGUGUGGUGACUCCCUAGGCUUUGGUACACGUAGAUGAUUGACUCCUACUUUUGCUACAGUUUAUUUUAAUAAUAUUCAUAAAUAAUAAAAAUAAAAAGAAAGUUUUUAAGAGAAGGCGAAAAUAAAUUUUAGGUUUCAAAAACAAAUAACUCAGAAAGGCUUUACGCAACUUUAGGCCAUGCUUAUCUCAUAUUUAUAUUGCCUAACAUCCAAUUAAUAUAUUAUAGCUUGUUUGCGUGCUAAUGUAUGUGAUACGAAGAGUUUUGAUUGAUUCAUGCACGUAAUAGAAGGCAUCGGACAGAUUAAUUAAUAUGGCGAAUCAAUAGAGAUUUUUUGUAAGGAACGUUCUAUUCUUCAAAUUUUAAAUAAAAAGUAUUCUUUUCACUAGAUCAUAGAGAUUGAUGAGUACUCUUUAAAUGAGCAAAUAGGUCUUUUUUUGCAUUUAGAUCCUGGCAAAUUUUUAUUUUAAAAAUAGUCAUGUCAAAAUUUAAUUUGCAAAAAUGGCCCUGAGCCUGCCACGCAGGCGCCACGUCAGCGCCACGCGACAGGGCCGAGCUUGUGUGUUAAGUUGAACACGGUGAACCAUUCACCGUGUUCAACACGGUGAAUGAUUUACCGUGUUUAGUACGUAUUUUUCAUAUAUAUUGAAAAGAGGAAUAAGAAACAGGGAUGUCAUAGAUAUGGAUAUCCGAAAUAUUAUUUGAAUUCAAAUCGAAUAAUUAUUAUAUUAUAUAUAUAUUAUAUAUAUAUAUUAUAUAUAUAAAAUUUAUUUUUAUUUAUUUAUUUAUACAAUAAUAAAAUAUUUAAUAAUUUUUAUUCCUUAAUCUUAUCCAAUCCAGCGGAUUUAAAAUCUAUACCGUUGGAUGAAGAUCUAAAGAAUAAAAUUAUUAAAUAUUUUAUAUAUUGUAUAAAUAAACAAAAAUAAAUUACGUGAUAAUAUAUAUAUAUAUAUAUUAUAUAUAUAUAUUAAUUUAUUCGGGUUGGAUUCAGAUAAUAUUUCGGAUAUCCAUACUUUUUGAUAUCCCUACUCUUUAUUCCAACUUUUCAAUAUACAAAAAAUACGUAUUAAACACGGUGAACCAGUUCACCGUGUUUAGAUACGGUGAAUGAUUCACCGUAUUCAUUAAUGUCCUGGCCCCAGCCCUGCCCGCGUGGGCUGACGUGGCGCCUGCGUGCAGGGGACAGGGCGUUUUGCAAUUUUAAUUUUGAUAGAUGCUAUUUUUAAAAUAAAAAUUAAUCAUGGCGGCUAUUUGCAAAAAAAACCCGAGCAAAUAUUAUGUAUUGAUCGGUUAAAAUUAUAAAUUUUCUGAUCCGUUGAUAUUUAGUUCAAUGAUAUCAAAAAAAGUAUAAAUUUGUUUCUAAACAGACGUGAUUUGGAAUCUCUAUCAUCGAAAACAGAUCAAAAAUUCAUUUACUAUCAAUUGAAGCCAACUUCUCUCUUUAUGUAUAUAAAUAAUAAUAAUAAUAUAAUAAUAAUAAUAUCUCUUUAAAGAGGAGAGAGUGAGAGUGAGCCCAAUUAUUACUAUGUUAUUAAUAGGACAACUUCUUUUUGUCUGUCAAGUCAUUUUCGAUGAUUAAGAGUCCGAAUCAGUGGGCGGUUAGUAUAGUCAAACAUGAUCUAAAACAUAUAAAGUGUCUCAAAAUUAAAUUUCAUGAUUUUUAAAAGUCAUUAUCUAGUUAUCAAAAAAUUUAUAAAUAAUGUAAAAAUGAAUAAAGUUAUGCAAUAGAGGUUAGAACUUCUCAAUACAAAAUCGGGGUAUGGUCAUGAUCAGACAGUGAAAAAAAUUUUAUAAAAAUUUAAUAAAUUUAAAUUAUUUUACACUAUUAAACAGCAAAUAAUUUAUAUUGUCGGUUCGAGUCUUAAUUCAUUAAAAACGACUUGACAGAAUAGAGUGCUUUGUCUUUGUCUAAUUAAUGAGAUAAUAACUAAUCAGGUAGGACAGUAACUAGAAUCUACAUAGAACCCAAUUACAUUUUUGUAGUGGGACUAGCAUAGCAUGCAUACAGGCAUUCCAUUUUAUUUUGGGAAAAAACUUUAAAAUUCUCAUAUGGUUUCAAACUUUUUCAUUUUAGGUACUCUACUAUAGUUUAAAAUAUAUCAAGUUAGUACCAUAUGGUUUCACACUUUCUCACUUUAGUAUCCUAUGGUUUAAAGUGUAUCAAAGUUAGUACUGUGUGUUUAUUUUUGUAUCAAGUUAAUACCGUGUGAUUUUAUUUUUAUAUCAAGUUAGUAUCCUGUGGUUUAAACCACAUGGUACUAAAGUGGAAGUACAAAACAUAGGUACUAAAGUGAGAAAGUACGAAACACAGGGGUACUAACUUGAUACACUUUAAACCACAGAAUACUAAACGUGAAAAAGUGUAAAACCACAGGGUAUUAAUUUGAUAUACUUUAAAACCAAGAUACUAAUGUGAGAAAGAGUAAAACCACAUGGGGAUUUGAAGUUUUCCUUUUUAUUUUUGCAGUGGGAAUAGUAUUACUCAGAUUAAUAAAAGAUUAAAUUAAUUGGAUAGGCAAACAUAUAUUUGGUAUGCAAAUUUGUUGCAUAUUGACAAGUGGCUACAUAAUGUAGUUCCAACAAGGGAAAGUUAUCUAUAAAUAUAAUUUUUUAUCUAUGUAGUUAAUUGUGGUCAAUUGUUUGUGAAAGAAGUUUAAUCUUUAAAAGUUAUCCUAUAAAAAUAGUGUUUUAAUAUAUAUUUUUUUAGUUAUCUUUUUCUUUAUGUCGGAUUUGAUUUUUUUUUUUGAUAACUAGGCUCAAGACGUAGAUUAAAUUAAAUAUAUAAAGAGAAUAUAUAAGGGUUAUGUAUUUGCAUAUAACUACAGCUACAAUACUCUAGUUGUAACUAUAUAACAAAUUCAAAUCCGGUGUCUGCUUUUUAUGUUGUGACGCCCUAAAUUCCCAGGGGUCACCUAUCCUAGGACUACUCCCGUCCUAGCCACGCUUAACUCUUUUAACCUCUUGGCCUUGCACCACAUCAAAAUGCUUAAGCCGGGUUAGAGUUAGUAGCCUAUUAUAUUUAUUAUAUAGGACUAAUUCGCAGUUUCACAAUUAUCCUUUAAGCCUAACGUUUCGUCAGCAGGCUCAGGACUCACAAGCUACAGCGAUGUGAGACUAUCUCGUUAGCCCUUCAUCCAGUCCCUGGUUCAGUCGAGACUCAUCUCACACUUCGGCAGUAAUUGGCUGAUACCAUCUGUGACGCCACAAUUCCUAGGGGGAUCAUCCUCCUGGACUAUUCCCGUCCUAGCACGCUUAACUCUCUUAACCUCUUGGUCUUGCCACACCAAAAUGCUUAAGUAGGGUUAAAGAGUUUAGCCUAUUAUAUCUUUAUUAUAGGACUAUCAGGGUCUCACAGUAUGUAUUUAAAUUCAACUGUUGUUAUUUGGAAUUAUGCGUUAAAUUGAUCGUAGUUUUAACUAUAGCAACUUUAAAUAAAAGAUAAGUUACUAUCGUAAUUAUUUUUAAAAUUGUAAAUUUAUUUUUUUUUUUUUUUUUCAUUGCAGGUAAUCGCCACCAGCCACUCAUACAAGUGAUAAAAUUUUUACAAAUUUAUUUUUAAAUAAAUGUAUACAACAAAAAUAAAUUUUUUGAUAGUUGCAGGUAAUUUCUAUCGCGGUCCGAACCCGAAAAUGUAUGUAUAGCUGCAAAUAUUGCACUUCUAAAGCAUUACGUGGAACCAAACAGCCCCGUGAGUAGGAGAACGGUAGGAUUGAGCUGUUAGACAAUGAUAUAUUUAAAUAAUAUUAUAUAUUUAAUAUUUAUCGUAUCAAAAUAAAUGGCUUACAUGUCUCGCCUUAUAAACCACUCAAUAAUUGAAAAUGUCAAAGUAUAAUAAGCCCAGCCUGGUUGUAGUCUCUUCAGUUGAUUACCAGUCGUCCCUUGACUUGGAAUUCAUUUUAAAUUUAAUACUAUUCUAAUUCGAGAAGGUCACGGACUCGAACCUAUUUUCAGGCACUGCCAGAAAAAUCAAAAUGCACCUUCAAAAUGUACUUAUUAAUUAGAUCUGGUGUGAGACCCAGAUAAUCCUAUAUAUAAGAUAUAAUAGAUAGGGCUAACUCUUAACUCGGUUAAGCAUUUUGGGUAGUGGCAUAGACUAAGAGGUUAAGAGAGUUAAGCGUGUUAGAGACGGAGUAGUCCUAGGAUGAAUAACCCCCUGGGAAGUCGGGGCGUCACAGAAUGAUAUCGGAGCCAAUUACCACCGGAAGUGUGAGAUAGUCUCGACUGAGCCAGAGUCUGGAUGACGGCUAGCGAGACGAGUCUCACAUCGCCUGGGUACUUGUGAGUCUGAGCUGCCGGAACGUCAAGGCUUAAAGGGGGAAAGAUUGUGAGACCCAGAUAGUCUAUAUUAUAGAUAUAAUAGGGCUAAACUCUUAACCCGGCUUAAGCAUUUUGGGUGGUGGCUAGACCAAGAGGUUUUAGAGAGUUAAGCGUGCUAGGACGGGAGUAGUCUAGGAUGGGUGACCCCUAGGAAGUCGGGGCGUCACAUCUGAACACCAAGUAUUAAAUAUAAAAAUAAAAAGUUUUGAGGAAAACUUAAAUCUACCCAUUGUAAGUACAAUGAAAACUUUGGAUUAAAUGUCUUAGUGUAAUUAAACACAAAUCAUCAAAUUUAGGUUGUGUUAUAUGUGUACAUGUACUAAUAUACACUUUGCAUACAACUAAUAGCUCAUAUAUAUAUAUAUACCUGUUGUUCUUAAUAAUAAAAAAAUUAAAUUACAGAAAUUUUCUUGUAAAUAUUCUAUUGUUUUUGUUUUUUCUCUUAACUUUAAUUCAAAAAUCUAUAUUUUAUAUUUGUUAAUAAUUUCAAAUUAUUGGCAUUUAGUCACACUCAGUAGGAUUUCAUCAGCAAUUCCUUUCCUCACUAUUCUUUUUAUUUUUAAUAUAUAUCGAAAAAAACGCUUCAAAAUACAAAAAAAUAAUAAAAAAUAUUUAUUUCUCUCAUCAGAAAGAGUAAGAAUAAUUUAAUGCCUCAUUUUGCUAGCUCUCUAUUAUGCCGUACCCUCCCUAAAAAUAUUUCAAAAUUUCAGUAGAGAUCGUCAUCUCUAGGAGCACGUGACGAAGGGUUUGGUGGUUGGGACAUGAGGUCCGCAAGUUCGAAAAUUAUUGAAUUUCAUUUUCAUGCUAAGUUUAUUUCUAAAUGAAUGAACGAGACGGUCGCGGCUAUCUAUCCCUAAAAAAAAAAAAUUUGAAUAGUAACAAAAUUUUAGAUUUAAAUCAUAAAAAUAAAAAUAACUAUUUACAUAAUUUUUUUUUGUAAUUUGUUUAAUUAUAAAAAUACAUUUGUGUGUAAAGUUCACAGCGCUCAUUCCGGGCAUAAUGUAUUAUUUUUAUUUUUUUUUUUUUUUGAGAGAAAAAUGUUUAUAUUUUUUAAGUACCUUAUUAUGGUUUUAGUUUCUAUUAGCUCUCUUGUUGACAUUUUGAAUCCUUGUGAUGUAGACAAUUAAUUUGACACACAGUAGGUGAUCAGACAUUAAUUAAUGCAUACAUGUGUAUUAACUAAUAACAGAGCUCGAUUGCUUGUUCCACGCUAUUCUACAGCAUAUAGUGCUUAGCACAUAAAAUAAUCUUUUGAUAUAGGUUUCUUUUUUUUUUUAUUUUAAAAAAAAAAGAACUUUCUCUACUAAUAAAAUCCAUAAUAACUUGAUAAACUAUUAAUAUUGGUGUGUGUAGGUUUCUCAUUGACUGAUUAGCCCAUGAACUAAUUAAAAUUGCUGAUAUUAUAUACACUUGGAUUGCAAUUUAACAUAUAAUAAUAAAGUUAAUUUUUUUUUAUAAUGUAGCUAAAAUUACUCUUAGGUAAGCAUUAAGGGUGUUGAAAGAUGUACAACUGCUCUUUAAGAAACCUCGUCUAAACUAUGUUAAUAUAAAAGUUUGAAUACUAUUAAAUGAAUUAAUAUUAUUUAUUAUCUAUGUAUCACGGACACUUUUUCAAGCGCCAUCGCGUGUCCGUAUCGGACUCGGCAAAUCCAUGUCGGACGUAGCGCUGUGUCGCGUGUUAGAACGAUUCGUAUUGAUAAUGGAACACUUCUUGGCACGCUCAUUUAUGGCGAUCCAUAAGCGUAUAAACUAAAAAUAUCAUAUCUAUUUUUGUUUACUUUUUUUAUACAUAUGUAAUGUAAGAGAAUGAAAAUUUAGAUUUUUUAAGAAUGUAUAUAAUUUCUUUUAGACAAAUAUAAACAAUUAUGGUAUGUGGAAUAAUUUCUUUUCUUAAAAUAAUGAACUAUCAUAAAAUUUUACUAAUUUUAUUCGUACGCAUAUAAUAUAUAUAUAUUUAUCAAAUUAAUAUUUUAUACAUAAUAAAAAUAUAUUAUUGAUAUAUAUAUUUAUUUAGUUAAGUGUCCAUGUUGUAUCCUGUCUAAAUUUUUUGAAAAUUGCUGAGUACGCGUGUUGUAGGUGUCCCGUGUCAGUGUCCGUGAUGCUUCAGUUUAUUAUUAAUUUUAGUCUUUAAAUUUUUAUAGAGUCAAUCACCAAAUAGUAAUUUUAGGCAUCUAAAGGAGAAGAAUCAGCUAUUACAGGAGAUAAUAUAGAUAGGGAUAAGAAAAAUAGUGUUUUGGAUGAAAAUUAGGUUGUUCCGCACGGAAUUAAGAAUAAUUUUAGAUAAGUUUUAUAUAGGAAAUAGGUGUCUGGUGGAAUAAACGAAGAAACUCUAUUUCUGCGAUAAAAAAUUAGCGUUUGGCGUAUAGGAGGGAUAAGGUCCUAUCUAUCCUAUCCGACUAACCAACGCAAUACAGAAAAUAAAUAGCAAUUCUUUUUUCUAUUAUUUAGUAGUAUUCCUUAUCCGGCUACAUAUAUACUACAAUCGGAAGAAAAUUAUAUUAAAAAAACGCCAAACAUGUAUUUUACGUAGGAUUGCGGGAGGAGCUAUCAAGAUUAAAAUUCUUAUGUUGAGGCUCAAAUUUUGUCCUUUUAAAAGGUGUCCUAGGUAAAAAGCUAGACAUGUAACAUUUAUAUAACAUAUAGUGUAUAUAUUGCAUCUCUCUCAUCUGAAUUUACAAUAAUUUUUUAAAAGUUUUUUUUAAUAUUAUAAAAAAGUUAAUAAAACUUGUAAAAUAUAAAUAUAAUCUUUGAUUAGUACGUAAAUACAAAUUCAGGUACAAACAUCGUCAUAUGCCACUUCAAAAGUGUCAAAAAAAUCUCUAAUUUUCUAGAAUUUACAAAUGAGACCUAGAUUUUAGAAUAUAUUUUUGGACAAUUUAAAGGAUAAAUUUAAAUUUUUAAUAAUAUAUAAGCAAUAAAUAAAUGUAAAAGUUUCUAAAUAUAUACUAAUUUAACAAGGUGUACCAGAUAGUACUGUCAUUACGCAAAAUUUCAUUUCCAUUUUUACAUUCAAAAAAAAAAAAACAAACAAAUUUCAUUCACACAUGUACGGAUAAGAGUUUGCUAAGAAAUAAUUUGUAAGAAAGUUUCGACUAGCUUGAUUCACACAUUCAGGGAUUAGAGUUUUUUUUUUUCUUUUGUGUUUUUGAAAAGGUGCAAUGCAUGGUUUCUAGAAGUAGUGGAUAUAUGAUAAUCUUGAUCACUUUAAUCCGAUACCUUGGGAUUAUAUAAUCAAGAUUAUAAUUCGCGAGAUAGGUUAGCCAAUUUUUUUUAAAAAAAUUGCUGAGUAAUAAAACAUUCUUAGCUUAUGAAUAAUUGGGAACUUUGUGUACCAAACUCCCAACUCUACAAUUAAAUAAAAAAAAAGAAAGGAAAAUUAAGCACGUUCAUAUAAGUUCUCACACCAUAUUAAUCAGUCAGGUUCUCCAAGUACAAAAAGAUCAAUAAAUAAAUUAAGAUAAAUAAAAAAUAAAAACCCUUUCUCAACAUCCCUAAAUUUCAACCCUUUAACCAAAGCCAAACUCAAAUAACAGUCAAUGCACAACCAAUAACAUAGUUCACACUUCACAAUCCUUUUAACUCUCCAAAUUUAGAAGGAAAUAAAUUAGUGACAUGGACACGCUUAUGACCGAGACAAUUUAUAUAUUUCAUUAUAAGUUUGCUGCUAACUAAUCUCCACCUAUAAGAUAUCUCGAAAUAUGUAAAACAAGUAUAGCGCUACUCUUAUCUGACACUAUUCUAGAGAAUAUAAAUUAUAGAAUUAAUUUAUACAUAUUUGCAAAUAUAUAAAUAAUUUUCAUAUAAUAUUUUUACAAACAGUAUAUAUUUUCAAAUGCUGUAUAAGUUUGUACGUGUAGGAACGUUUAAUUAUUUAAUUUUAGCUAUUACAAAUAUUCUACUCCAUAAGGAUACUUAGUAUUAAUAAUAAAUAACAGGGCUAAAAAUUAUCAAAAACUGAUAGAGCUAUAGUUGAUGUAACAUGAGUUACUAAUUAUCUAAUACGGAUUCUAACGGCUUUGAGGGAUAAUUUGAAAAUCGUUCAGGAUUUGUAAGGGACAAAUUACGAAAGUUGAACAUUUGCUAGGGAUUAUUUGUAUUCACUUAUGUGACGAAAGUUGAAUUAUGUAAGCGAAUAUAUAUUAAUUAUGUUUAUAGUUAGAAAUGUAUGAUAAAUUUAACUAUAUAAAUUUAUAACUUCUUUAGAAGGUCCCAGACUAUAGACGGGAUGUAUGCGCAUGACUCAUUUCCAGGGUGCUGAAGCCCGAUCUACUCUAGUGGAUGCAAAUGGAUCGGGUUGGUGGAGCUCCGCCGACGAUACCGCCCCGAAAUGGGGUGGUAAGUGUUAGAACAAAAAAUACUAAAAAAAUAUAACGCCACCGAAUCCGCCCCGAUCGCAAGUAAAGGGAGCGGAGAGAGUGGGAGACUCUUUUCUUCUUCAAUCCGCCCGAUCCGCUAAAAAUCAGAGUUUCCGGGCCGAUCGCCCGAUAUGGAGACGGUAAGUGGGAAGACAAAAUAAAUAAAAAGUACGCGCCAUGGAUUCGCCGACCCCGAUAGAAAUGGAGAGCGGGAGGUGGGGGACUCUCCCGCCGGAUCCGCACGUUUGAUCUAGAUCUCUCAUUAGUCGACAGGUCGAUCACUUGCACUGUAUUUUACUUUGAGACUUAUUCUCAUUGCCAAACAAUACAACUCCUCGUUCUUACUCCCACACUCUUAAAACUACAUGUUGUCAGCAUCUCCCCUCAUUGCGUCUGGCUGCUGCUGCUGCUGCUGUGUGCGCCUUCUGAUCUAGAAUAAAAAAAUAUUGAUUUGAUUUGAAUUUGAUUUGAAUUUGAAUUUAAGCAAAUUAAAGAGAAGAUGGUGUAUAAAUAAAGCAAAAGGAAAGAAGAAGGCGCGGCGGCAGCAGCAGCGGCAGCAUGCGGUUAGGGAGGAUGGCGUUUUGAGUGGGCCGUUCGCGGUGGGGCGGUGGUGCGGCCCUUGGCGGUGGUUCAUGGUGUUCGCGAUCGAUGCUGAAUAUUGAGCGGCGUCGGGACAGAGGCGACGCCGUACAUAAUCGAGGACUAUACUCCAAGACCUGAAGGCGGCGUCGCUUACGACCAGCAGACGGCUGAACACGGCUGAGCUUCUUAAGAGCUGGGGCGCCAAACGUCGGACGUGCAACGUCGGCAUCAAUCAACGAUGGUCACGGCCGCCGACUCUCCCGGUCGUGCUCGCCAUCGGCGCCGUCAUGAAACCUCUUCGGCUACUCGAUGAUUACCUCGCCAGAUUCACGGCCGCCAGCCCCGGCCAGCGUCCGCCCUCAUGAUGCUUCUACAUCUUAUCGGGCAACUCGAGUGUGCCUGACAUUAUAUAUUUAUAUAGGAUAUUUUUCUGAUGCAGUUCAUUCGACUUACGCAGUUAGAAGCUAAGAAGUAGUAUAGAUAGAGAUCUAUUCCUCUUGUUGUUUCGUUUUUUUCUUUUUUGAAAUAAAUAGAGACUAACCAAUUUUUCAUUGUAAAUUUUAUGAUUUUAAUUGGUAAAUUGUAUCAAGCGCCUUAAUAAUUUAAGUUAUUGCAGAUUUUAUUAAAAUAUUUUUUUUCCUUUUAUUUUACUAUUUUGUGUAUACUUUGCAAAAGUAUAUAUAUUAUAUAUGUAUAGGAUUGAUUUUUAAUUAGAAAUUGAAAUAUAGAGAUGAGGAUAGAAAAAUUAUUGCAGCUGAGUAUGUAUGUAUUGUAUGCAUUGCAGGCGUGGUCGCUAACACAGGGCGGCGCUGGUGACGUGCGUGAAGAACUUCACCGGAGAGCUGGCGUGAGAUUUGCUCGGGCCUCCUGAAAGGGCUUGUCGGGAUCAGCGGCGGCCAUCUUUCCGGCUGUAUCGCCAUCUCACACGGUGGCGAGGACUCCAAGUCCCGUCUCUCAUUAGCUGGGUCCGGCCGUCAUCUACAUCCUCUUCGUCCCACCAAUCCGAAUCAUUCCCCUACCGCCGCAGGCCGCCAUUGCAGCCGGAACCACCCCUUCUACUGCUUCUCGAUAAUCGUCCAUCGUCCCUCGCCACCAUACUCAUGGUCGUCAUCGUACGUCGAGAACAGAGUCGGCGUUCUCGCACGCCGAGUAUCAGGAAUCGGCGCCGCCGUCCUGGUCGUUCCUGCUCUUUUCCUCCCCUGCGCCGUCGUCCCGGUAAGCAGCAGAGGUCAGGGAGACUCCAAGCCAAGAAGAAAGGCAGUCGAUUCGGUCAUUCCUCCUCUAAUCUCAGAACGGUCCCCGCUGAACCAGCAUCGCGAUCGUCGAAGAGAGUCGACUGCGGAAGAGGAGGAGGAGCCACGAGAGCGGUCGUGCUCGGGAUGUUUCAGCCUCCGGCGAGGGACGACGACUACUCGAUCCUGCAGGCAACUGUCGUCGAGCGUGGACAUUGAUCGUGCUUGUUCGUGGCGACGAUAUACGGGAUGUGGGCGGACGAUGACGGCGAUCGACAACUGGGCCAGAUCGCGGCGUUCGUCGGCUUUACCGACGAGGCAGCAAUAAACCUUCGUCUCGCUUGGUGAGCAUCUGGAACUACGCGAUCGGGCGCGUCGCCCGCGGUGUUCGCGUCGAGUUCUCCUCGCAGCAGUUACAAGUUCCCAGCGCUCGCCUCGUGACUUCAACCUUCGUGCUCCUGUCGCUGCGUCGGCCACCUCCUCAUCGAUUCGGGCCGUGCCGCAAGUCGAAUCUACGCCACUCCUCAUAUCGGCUUUGCUUUCGGGCGCAGUGGUGGGCGCUGCUCUUUCCGCAUUUCAUCUACGAGGUGUUCGGCCCUCAAUACUAACUCGACGCCUCUAAACUUCGGCUCAGUCGAGCGAGCCGAUCGGCGUCGUACAUAAACUCAACGUGAGGAUCACCUGGGACCACUUGUUACGACCGCCGAGCGCGAAGGAAGAGCGACGGGCUCGCGGAUGUGGUCCGGCAAUGGACACGACGUGGCAUGGUGAGUGCACUGCCUUCAAGCUCUCGUUUCAUGUAUAAUAAGCGCGCUGACCCGUGGUGGCGGGGCCUUGGUCAUCGUUAAGAUACUGGUGUGUGAGGACAAUGGAGUUUACUAUAAGAGAGAUAUAUAUAGCUAAAUGUCAGAGACUCUUUCCUCUAUGUGGAUAUUUGUGCGAGAAAUAAUGUAAUAAGCAAUGGAGUGGUGGGCGAGAGUGUUAAAUGGAGGUGGAGGGAAGUGUGUUCAACAGAGAUAAAUGCGAGUGAAUGGGAUGGGGUGAGGUUAUAAGAGAAUAGGUUUGUUGUUUUAAUUUAAAAAAAAAAGUAGAUUUGAACUUGUAUAAGUAGCAAAAAACUCAUAUUUAUUUAGUGUGUGAAGAUAUAUAUAAAAGAAUAUUUCCGAGCUUCUUAUUUCUAUAAAACACUUUUAUAGGAGAAAUAUAAUAAUAUGCCAUUAAGUUCAUUACUCUUCAAAAUUUGUUAAGAGUUCAACUACUAUUAAUAUAAUUUAUAAAGAGAAAAAAAUUAUUUGCGUUCCAUCAUACAGCUAUAAGAUGCUUUUAGAUUUAUAAUAAAUUUUAUUGAAUAUGCUUUAUAUAUAUAUUUUGGAUUCGAUGUUAACCGACUUAGGCCAAAAAGCUUUCGACAAGUUAGUAAUACCGGAGUCUAGUUAGCUGUGCUUAACUUAUAGUGCAUUCAAAACAAAAUUUGCGAAAUAUAUAAAAUAGGUUUUGUGCUACAUGGAGAAGUGACUUUUCAAACAAAAAAUAAUUUGAAUUGGAUCAUUAGUGAGUUGCAUAGAAACAUUGCUAACAAUAAUUUCAUUCUUUAUUUUUUGGCGGGUUAGUAGAUUAAUUUACAAGCAAUUGAGUCAAUAUGAAUUCUCUUGUGAUAGAGACUGGAGGUGGAACCGAGACGAGCUCGAGCGGGCUUAUGCUAGUCAAAUUCGGCCAUUGAAAUUAAUUUCGAGCCUAAAAUCUAGGCUUCAUUUUAAUUCGAGCGAGCCCGAGCGGAGCCUAAUUUUUGAGUCGAGCAGGAAGCGAAGCUUAAGCGAGGCGAUUAGAAAUUCUCGAAUUAUAUAAUCAUGGUUUAAUUUUUAUAGAACAUUACUUAUAAUAUUGAUGCAAUAUUGCUCAAUAGUUCAAAAUACAAAAAUUACAAGAAUAGUGAGCUUAUUGGCGUGAACUGCCUGACUUGGGUGAGGGCCUGAGAGAUGAGAGAGAUAUUAAAUGAGAUGACGAGAGAGAGAGAAUGGGAUGGGGGGGGGGUGCGAAUUAGGAAUUUGAAAAUUUGAAAUGUGUAUCUAUUUUAGUGUCUCUGUUUUGGGUUUUGGUAAUGUGCAAUAGUGAAAAUCUGAAAGAGAGAAGUGUGUUAUAUAAAUUUUAGAAUUGGCUCAUAUUCACGGUUUCGUAGCUUAUUUGGGUAUUAUUUUAUUGCGCAACAAUAAUGGCCCUUAAAAUUAAUUAAGGCUAUAUAUAUUAAAUACAUUUCUAUAUAUAUUACUAUUAUAUUCGAGCUUUACGAGUCUUUUCGAGACAUAAUUCGCAACGAGGCCGAGUAAUACUCAAGCUCGCUUCAUUGAUAAUUUCGAGUCGGACUCGAAGACGAGCUGAAUAUUCGAGACCGCAACAACGGAAUCGAAGCGAGCCGGUCGCUCGGUUUGCAAGGCCCUAAUAGAGAAUUGCAUUUAUUAAUAUUUUCAUUUGGGAUUAAAUUGAUUUUUCUCUCUAUAAAGUUAGCUGAUUAGGCAUAAGUAUACAAAUACAACACUGAAACUGGUUCAGACUAUAUAUUCGUUUAGAAAAACGAAAACUUUUCGUUCGUGUUAAGUCCGUUUUAGAUGAUAUGAUUCGAAUCUGAUGAUCGGAACAGUUUAAACUUUUGAUUAGGUAUUAUAAACGUCUAGAAUAUAAAUUUUUUAAAUUUGAAUUCGUUAUCAAGUCAUUGAAGAGUCGAAAAGGAAAUAACUGUGAAAAUAGAUGUUAGACUUUUUAAUUUAUGAUCGGGUUAUCAAACGUUUAUCUAAUUAGGGAUAAAAAUUUUGUAUCAAAAAUCAAAUUGUUUGGAUUGUUUAUAUAUCGAUAUUAAAAUAAGGAAAACAAUCUAUUGACCGUUCAAAAAAUCUGUUGAUUUGUGAUUCUUUGAUAUACUAAAUGAAUUUUUAAAUUUGUUUAAAAUUUAGUUUCUAGACAUUUUUAAAUACUUAGAUCAAUUUUAACUGGUUUAGUCAUCGAUUCGAAAUUAUGUUAUCUAACGGAAAGCUUUAGAAGAUUGAAGACCCCCAUCAUUCUAAAAGGAUAGUAGCUAGAAUUCACAUAAUCCUAGAUUAAAGGAAUUCGUUCUUUUUUUUCAGGUAUAAAAGAAAGCAUUUUCAUUGUAUUAAACAAAAGAUAAUUUUAUAUGAAGAUUAAAAAUUUCAAUAUGAUGUUAGGAAGCAUGAUUUUCACCGAACAAUUAUUAGAAUCGGAAAUUUGUGCAUCGAAUACGAUAUUUAACAGUGACUAAAUUUAGAACAAAAUUAUAUGAAGAAAGAGGAUAUUGGAUAGAAAAGAUAACUAAAACUAAUCUUUAAUUAAUUUAAAAAAAUUAUUAUACCUUAGAGACAGUGCACUUAGUGCAACAUUUCAUAGCACUUGUUAUCUAAUUAAACCAAUUGCUAAAAAUAUAUUAUAAAAGUCAUUAACCAGAUGAUAAAUCAAUUUUUAUUUUGAUAAUUAUAAACAUAUAAUUUGAAAUAAACUUUUAUUAUCUAAGUUCAAUUUUAGAUUAAGGUUGGAUUAUUAUUAUCAACAUGAAUGUUAUUUAUUGAGUUGAUCGGUAAGAUGGACCCUCUCGAAAUAGCAGAUUUAAUGUAUGUCUUUAUUAUAUAUAAUCUGCAUCCUAGUGAUCUACAUAAGUAUAGGCUUAGUUUGCGUAAUUGAUGUCUAUCUAACGUAAUACGAUAAAAUGGAGUUGUGGAAAAAGACAUAUAGAAAUUAUGUUUAUGCGUUAUACGUAGAUAGACCGCAGAAUUUAUUGUAACUGAUCAUCGAUAUUGCGGAAGGCCGAUUUAAUUCAGAACAAACAGCAGAUAUUUUUUUUAAACCGUACUUUCUCAACGCCGUAAGCGACAAAUUCCCCGCAAUCCCAAACGAAGCUAAAUAAUUAUAUAAUUUACAGUAAUUAAUCACUAUAAAUUAUGGAAAGUUGUGGACAAGGAUCAACUUGAUAGAGCAUUCAACACCGAAUUGUUGAUCUAAACUUAUAUUGUAUUUUUUUUUGGCAGUAAACUUCAAAUACCACCUCGUAGGGUUUUUAUUUUUACAUUUAGUAAUCAUGUUUAAAGACUGUAUACACUUUAGUACCAAUAGUGGUUUAAUUUUUCUACUUGAUUUGAUCGGCUCCUCAGUUAAUAUUUCGUUAAGAUUUAUAUCAAAAACCUUAGAUAUCAUACCUAGAUUGAAUGAAUAUUCACUUUAUAACUUUUGUUUAACUUUUUCAUGAUUUAUAAAAAAAUUAAUAUAGAGGAGAUAAUAAUAAAGAAAAAUAAACAAUGAUAUAGAAUUAACAUAUUUUAAAUACAGAGUAUUUAAAGUGAGAAAUGCGAAACUACAGGAGUAGUAUUUGAAGUUUUAUUUUUUCUUUUUUUAAGGAAGAAACAAGAAAGACACCACCUCUAAUUGAAAGGACAUGUAAGGGACAUGAUAUUAAUAUUUUCUUUUUGAAAAAUUGAUAUAUUUUGAAUUUAUCUACAAAAUAAUUAGGUGCUGCUUCAUUAGUUAGCUAAUGAAUGCUCAGCUUUGAAAAUGGACCUAAAUCAGUGAAGUUUGGCCCUAAAAUUGAUCCGUAAGGUUUUUGAACCUCAAAACAAGUUUUGCCAAGUUCAAGCUGGUCAAUAAUAGAGUCAAUUUGGAAAAGAGGUUGUUUUCUUCGGGUUUUAACGUUCAAUUUGAGAUUUGGAUUUGAUUGAUUUUGUAAUCUCUAUUGUUCUGCAAAUUCGGGACCCGUAAUCUAUUUGGGCUAUUUCAGGCCAAGCUGAAUUGGCAUGAAUUCAAUUGCUAGGCUAGCUUGGUUGGUUUAUUAGAUGUUGUUUUUCUUUGUGAGAAGAGAAGAGAGGAGAGAGAGUAAAGCUAAAAAUUAUCCUCUUCAUUAUAAUUUGCAUAAAAAAUAGAGUAACUAAAAAUGUAAAAGUAAGUGAUUUUGAAAUUUUGAAAACUUGCAAUACCCGAUCGGAGUAUUUAAUCAAACUGACCAUGGUCAGUAAUGGAAGUAAUUAUUUUUAUUUAGAGCAUUGGUUUCUUCCGUCGUCGAGCAGAAGGCUAGUUGUACUUCGUUGAUCUGUAAGCAUGGGCAAGUCAGAUCAAGCAUAUGAUCUCCUCGUGCCGUUGUGNNNNNNNNNNNNNNNNNNNNNNNNNUUAUUAUAAUAUUAUAUAUAUUAUAAUUAAUUAUAUUUAUAUCUAAAGCGGCUGCUGCACUACUAGGGCCUCACGGGGUCUCCUGUUGUCCUGUGAAGCCCGUUUUCGAUGAGAUUUCGAUCGACGAUCGUGCUAGUUAGAUUGAUUUAGCGCAUUAAAGUUUUCUGCAAAAAUUUUUGCAGAAUUUUUCAGAUAUAUUUCCCUAGUGUAGAAAGGAUGUCAAAUCUUAUUUUUAAUGGUUGAUAUCGUUGCGUUUUCCAGUUUAAUGGUGUUGAAGUAUUCGAAUCAGAUAAUUUGAUAGAAAUUCUUUAUACUAUUCAAAAGAUUUAUUUUCUGAUCGAAAUUUUCGUGUUAUAUCACACAUUUUUUAUAGAUUUUGUAUUUAACGUAAAAAUAUUGAUUUGAAUCCUUUUGAUUGCUAGAGUAAAUGAUAUGAAAAAUCGCCAAAAAUUAUUUCAGACGUUUAAUUGCGAUAGAUACCUUUACGGAAGCAGAAUCAUUCGAUUCGAAACUCUAUCAUCGAACGGAUCAGGGCAGGGAGGCUUCCGUGCUCUCUGAGAGCACAGCAGCGCUAUAUAUAUAAUAUAUAUUAAAAAGCAUCUAUAUAUAUAUAUUAUAUAUAUAUAUUAUAAUUUUAUAUUUCUAUAUUACUAUUAUAUUUAUUAUAGGAUUCAUCUGGUGAGAUAAAGGGCAUCUUAAAUAAGUGAGGAAUUGAUUUUCACGCUAGAAAAGAGUUUUUCAAUGUAUUAGUUCCGCAAGUACCUUUAGUUUCAUAAAGAGUAUAUUUACCUUCUUUAGAAAAUGUAGUGGAUUGAUUUGUCAAAUAUUGUUCGAAGCCAAAACUUGAAGAUCAAUACUAUCUGUUGGCAACACACGCCUGUGUUUCAAACUAUUUUCGUUUUUUCGCAAGGAGAAUUGAAGCGCAAGGUAACCAAAAAAUUUUUUUUUUUUCAUACGAAUAAUACUUUUUCUUCUGAAAACCGUGUCUUGAAUUUUUUACGUAGACAUAUUGUGAGGACGGCAAGUCAAUAACCGGAAAUCACGAUGCUUUAUCAAAGCGGAUAAUAUUGUAAUUUAUUCUAUACAUGAAAUAUAAGAAUAUGUUAGCCAAUGAAUCUAUAUAUUAAUUUAUGUUCAAUCGAUCUUUUUCAUUAAAUGAACUACUAAAUGCAUGUAAGUUAUAUAUAUAAAGGUGUAAAAAGAGGAUAAAUAUGUAAAAAAUGAGAUAUUAUUUUUUCGUUUUGCGUUUUGAUUGAUCUAAGCCGCACCAAUAUAUAUCUAUUGUAGUUAUAAUUGGACCUUAAAUCAUAUAAAUAAUAAUUAUAAAGCUGAUAAUAACCCCAGUUUUUCUAACAAAAUUCACAAAGAUCAGAACAAAUUUAAUUUCAUUUUUAACCACUCUAAACAACAUUCUGAGGGAAUUCACGUGCAUUUCUUUUUGUUUCUAUUUGUGCGAAGUUUCACACGUUGCAAUUUGGUGGACUCUCCACUUGCUUUACAAUUUUGUUUAAAGGUAAUUUGUAAAAAAAAAAAAAAAGAAAAGAAAAGAAAAGAAAAAGAAAAUCCACUUGUGCUUUAAUAUAUAUGCAUCAUCAUUAAUGUGCCUCUCUAUAAGGAUAAAUUUCAAUCCUGCUUUACUAUAUUGUCACAAAAGUUUAAAAUUUUGAAAUGUAUUUACUCGAGUGAAUUCACAUAAAUUAAAUAAAUUGUUCAGUAGCUUAUAACCUAUUUUUGUUGGCUAAAUAUUGACAAAUUAUUAAUAUAAGUUCAAUGUGAGAGUAUUGUAAUUAAUGAUGCAAUGAUAAUUAAGAUGCUGCAUCACUUUUAAAUCAACCAUACGUCAAUAUUUAGUCAGUUAAAUUAGGUUAUAGAAACUUGAUUGUAAUAAUUCUAAAGUUCGAAUUAAAAAUUAUAAUAAAUUAAGGUUUAAGAACCAAAAUAUUACCCGCCUCAUAGUUUUAAGGACCGGACAUGCAAUUUACCCUUUAUGUAAUUUUAGUCAGGAAGGGAAAAGAUAAAAUUAUUGCUUCUUUGGGAAUUCCACUUACUUGACCUUUUUUUUUCUUUUUUUUUUUUCCUUUUUGGUUGCUUAUUGCGUGUGGUGCUGAAUCUUUGUGAAGUGCUUUAUUAAUUCCUUGUUUGGUUUUUCCUUCUCCAGUAAGACAUUUUGUUAGUGUUUAUUUUUAGAAGUGAAUAUGAUACUAUUUUUCCUUGUUUGUUAAUUAUUAAUUCCUUGUUUAUUUUGUUAGUGUGGUGACUCCCCUAGGCUUUGGUACGUAGAUGAUUGACUCCUACUUUUCGCUACAGUUUAUUUUAAUAUAAUAUUCAUAAAUAAUAAAAUCAAAAAAGAAAGUUUUUAAGAGAAGGCCGAAAAUAAAAUUUUAGGUUUCAAAAACAAAAAUAACUCAGAAAGGCUUUUACGCAACCUUUAGGCCAUGCUUAUCUCAUAUUUAUAUUGCCUACCAUCCAAUUAAUAUAUUAUAGCUUGUUUGCGUGCUAAUGUAUGUGAUACGAAGAGUUUUGAUUGAUUCAUGCACGUAAUAGAAGGCAUCGGACAGAUUAAUUAAUAUGGCGAAUCAAUAAGAGAUUUUUUUGUAAGGAACGUUCACUAUUCUUCAAAUUUUAAAUAAAAAGUAUUCUCUUUCACUAGAUCAUAGAGAUUGAAUGAGUACUCUUUAAAUGAGCAAAUAGGUCUUUUUUUGCAUUUAGAUCCCUGGCAAAUUUUUAUUUUAAAAAUAGCCUUGUCAAAAUUUAAUUUGCAAAAAUGGCCCUACCCCUACCACGCANNNNNNNNNNNNNNNNNNNNNNNNNNNNNNNNNNNNNNNNNNNNNNNNNNNNNNNNNNNNNNNNNNNNNNNNNNNNNNNNNNNNNNNNNNNNNNNNNNNNNNNNNNNNNNNNNNNNNNNNNNNNNNNNNNNNNNNNNNNNNNNNNNNNNNNNNNNNNNNNNNNNNNNNNNNNNNNNNNNNNNNNNNNNNNNNNNNNNNNNNNNNNNNNNNNNNNNNNNNNNNNNNNNNNNNNNNNNNNNNNNNNNNNNNNNNNNNNNNNNNNNNNNNNNNNNNNNNNNNNNNNNNNNNNNNNNNNNNNNNNNNNNNNNNNNNNNNNNNNNNNNNNNNNNNNNNNNNNNNNNNNNNNNNNNNNAGAAGCCGGACCCUAUAUAUAUAUAUAUAUAUAUAUAUAUAUAAUUUAUUCGGGUUUGGAUUCAGAUAAUAUUUCGGAUAUCCAUACUUUUUGAUAUCCCUACUCUUUAUUCCACUUUUCAAUAUACAAAAAAUACGUAUUAAACACGGUGAACCAUUCACCGUGUUUAGAUACGGUGAAUGAUUCACCGUAUUCAACUUAAUGUCCUGGCCCCAGCCCUGCCCGCGUGGCGCUGACGUGGCGCCUGCGUGGCAGGGACAGGGCCGUUUUUGCAAUUUUAAUUUUGAUAGAGCUAUUUUUAAAAUAAAAAUUACUCAUGGGGCUAUUUGCAAAAAAAACCCGAGCAAAUAUUAUGUAUUGAUCGUUAAAAUUAUAAAUUUUCUGAUCCGUUGAUAUUAGUUCAAUGAUAUCAAAAAAGAUAUAAAUUUUGUUUCUAAAACAGACCGUGAUUUGGAAUCUCUAUCAUCGAAAACAGAUCAAAAAUUCAUUUACUAUCAAUUGAAGCCAAACUCUCUCUUUAUGUAUAUAAAAUAAUAAUAAUAAUAAUAUAAUAAUAAUAAUAUCUCUCUAAAGAGAGAGAGUGAGAGUGAGCCCACUUAAUUACUAUGUUAUUAAUAGGACAACUUCUUUUUGUCUGUCAAGUCAUUUUCGAUGAUUAAGAGUCCGAAUCAGUGGGCGGUUAGUAUAGUCAAACAUGAUCUAAAACAUAUAAAGUGUCUCAAAAUUAAAUUUCAUGAUUUUUAAAAGUCAUUAUCUAGUUCAUCAAAAAAAUUAUAAAAUAAAUAGUAAAAAAUGAAUAAAGUUAUGCAAUAGAGGUUAGAACUUCUCAAUACAAAAUCGGUAUGGUCAUGAUCAGACAGUGAAAAAAACUUUCUAUAAAAAAUUUAAUAAAUUUAAAUUAUUUUACACUAUUAAACGAGCAAAUAAUUUAUAUGUCGGUUCGAGCUCUUAAUCAUUAAAAACGACUUGACAGAAUAGGGUGCUUUGUCUUUGUCUAAUUAAUGAGAUAAUAACUAAUCAGUAGGACAGUAACUAGAAUCUACAUAGAACCCAAUUACAUUUUUGUAGUGGGACUAGCAUAGGCAUGCAUACAGGCAUUCCAUUUUAUUUUGGGAAAACUUUAAAAAUUCUCCAUAUGGUUUCAAACUUUUUCAUUUUAGGUACUCUACUAUAGUUUAAAAUAUAUCAAGUUAGUACCAUAUGGUUUCACACUUUCUCACUUUAGUAUCCUAUGGUUUAAAGUGUAUCAAGUUAGUACUGUGUGAUUUUAUUUUUGUAUCAAGUUAAUACCGUGUGAUUUUAUUUUUAUAUCAAGUUAGUAUCCUGUGGUUUAAACCACAUGGGUACUAAAGUGAGAAAGUACAAAACAUAGGGUACUAAAGUGAGAAAGUACGAAACCACAGGGUACUAACUUGAUACACUUUAAACCACAGAAUACUAAAGUGAAAAAGUGUAAAACCACAGGGUAUUAAUUUGAUAUACUUUAAACCACAAGAUACUAAUGUGAGAAAGAGUAAAACCACAUGGGGCUAUUUGAAGUUUUCCCUUUUAUUUUUGCAGUGGGAAUAGUAUUACUCAGAUUAAUAAAAGAUUAAAUUAAUUGGAUAGGGACAACAUAUAUUUGGUAUGCAAAUUUUGUUGCAUAUUGACAAGUGGCUACAUAAUGUAGUUCCCAACAAGGGAAGUUAAUCUAUAAAUAUAAUUUUUUAUCUAUGGUAGUUAAUUGUGGUCAAUUGUUUGUGAAAGAAGUUUAUCUUUAAAAGGUUAUGCUAUUAAAAAAUAGUGUUUUAAUAUAAUAUUUUUUUAGUAAUCUUUUUCUUUAUGUCCGGAUUUGAUUUUUUUUUUUGAUAACUAGGCUCAAGACGUAGAUUUAAAUUAAAUAUAUAAAAGAGAAUUAUAUAAGGGGUUAUGUAUUUG
This 100115-nucleotide long non-coding RNA is filed under the name Ananas comosus (pineapple). Its description in RNAcentral is "long non-coding RNA (ACOM_LNC011592)". The record is from RNAcentral. Lineage: Eukaryota; Viridiplantae; Streptophyta; Magnoliopsida; Poales; Bromeliaceae.